AUUGGAUAUGUGCCUUCUGCUUUGGGGAAGUUGCAAAGUCUUACUGCCCUUUUCUUGGGUGACAACAGGCUAGAAGCAAACGACAGUCAAGGGUGGGAAUUCAUCACUUCACUGGCAAACAGCUCCCAACUUCAGCUUCUUGUUCUCGGCAACAACUCUUUCAGCGGGCAACUGCCUAAUUCAGUCACAAACCUGUCAUCAACUCUGCAAGGUCUUUAUUUGGGAGACAAUAUGAUUUCUGGGAAUAUUCCAAUAAACAUCGGAAAUUUGGUUGGUCUUACAGUAUUUGAGAUGGGAAAUAAUACUUUUGUAUCUGGACAGAUUCCAGAGAGCAUUGGUCAGCUAAGAAACUUGGGUGUGUUAGGCCUUUACAACACUAGCUUGUCAGGCCUCAUACCUUCAUCACUAGAAAAUCUUACACAGUUGAAUCAUCUUUAUUUAUACUAUGGAAACUUAGAGGGGCCAAUUCCAUCAAACUUGGGGAACUUAAAGAAUGUGUUUGCCUUUGAUCUCUCAACAAAUCGACUCAAUGGUUCAAUUCCUAUAGAGGUUUUAAAACUUCCUCGACUUUCCUGGUACUUAGACUUAUCAUAUAAUUCAUUAUCCGGGCCACUUCCAACUGAGGUUGGUACCAUGGUGAAUCUUAACGAACUGAUUCUGUCUGGAAACAAGUUGUCAGGCACCAUACCAGCUAGUGUUGGGAACUGUAUAUCGUUGGUACGGCUGCUGCUCGAUAACAACUUAUUAGAAGGAAGCAUACCUCAAUCUCUGAAGAACUUAAAAGGUCUUGCAUUACUGAACCUAACAAUGAACAAGCUAUCUGGUAGUAUUCCUGAUGCCCUUGCUAGCAUUGGCAACCUGCAACAACUGUAUCUAGCACACAACAACUUGUCAGGUUCCAUCCCCAAAGUUCUACAGAAUUUGACAUUGUUGGCAAAACUGGAUUUGUCAUUCAAUGAUCUGCAAGGCGAAGUGCCAAAAGGGGGUCCUUUUGCAAAUGCAACUCACUUGUCAAUUGAUGGAAAUGAUGAGCUUUGUGGUGGAAACCCUCAACUUCACUUAGCUCCGUGCUUCACAGCUGCUGCGGGGAAGAACAGAAGGCGAAUGUCAAGGUCAGUUAUGGUCACCGUAGCGUCAAUCUGCGCACUUCUAUUCUUAGGUUUAGUAGUUUUUCUUAUCCAUUUGAUCCACAAGACGCUCAGACAAGGAAAGGAAAAUCAACUCAUUCCCACAGUAAUUGAUGAACAGCACGAAAGGGUUUCAUAUCAAGCAUUAGCAAAUGGGACUGACCAUUUUUCGGAGGUUAAUCUGCUCGGACAAGGAAGCUAUGGUGCAGUUUAUAAGUGCACUUUACAUGACAAGGGAAUUACCGCAGCUGUAAAGGUAUUCAACGUAUGGCAAUCUGGUUCUACUAGAAGUUUUGUGGCUGAAUGUGAGGCACUGCGAAGGGUGCGCCACCGAUGUCUCAUAAAGAUCAUCACCUGUUGCUUAAGCAUUGAUCACCAAGGCCAAGAAUUCAAGGCACUGGUUUUUGAGUUCAUGCCCAAUGGUAACCUAAAUGGUUGGCUGCAUCCAGCAUCCAAAAUACAGAGUCUGAGCAAUACGCUCAGCUUAGCUCAGAGACUGGACAUUGCGGUAGAUAUCAUGGAUGCUCUGGAUUAUCUUCACAAUCAGUGUCAACCGCCUAUUAUCCAUUGUGAUCUCAAACCAAGUAACAUCCUCCUUGCCGAAGAUAUGAGUGCUCGGGUUGGAGAUUUCGGCAUAUCAAAAAUCCUUCCUGACGACACUAGCAAAACUCUGCUGAAUUCAGUUAGCUUCACUGGACUAAGAGGUUCCAUCGGAUAUGUCGCUCCAGGUAACAGAAACUAACACUGAUAUUGCUAUGUUCAGUUUUUUAACUUCCAUUUUGCCAAGUCCAGUUAUCUCGGCAUGCACGUUCAUAAGUAGCUUGCCAUGAAUCCACUGACCAAAUAGUGUCUGAAAUCUGAAUUGACUGCAGAGUACGGCGAGGGUCGCGCUGUCUCAACUCUUGGAGAUGUUUACAGCCUCGGCAUACUGUUGCUUGAGAUGUUCACCGGGGUGAGCCCUACUGACGACAUGUUCAAAGACUCCUUGGACCUUCAUAAGUUCGCCGAGGCCGCUCUCCCGGACAGAGCCUUGGAGGUAGCCGACCCGGCAAUCUGGCUUCAUGAAGAAGCAAAGGGGAAAGACCCUGCCACGGUGAGAAGCAGAAGCGAGGUGUGCUUGGCUUCAGUGAUCGGGCUUGGCGUGUCCUGCUCAAAGCAGCUGCCAAGGGAGCGGACGGCGAUGCGGGAUGCUGCCGCUGAGAUGCGUCCGAUCAGAGAUGCCUUCCUGGUUCAAUGUGCAACAGAGACUUGGGCUGCAGUCGGCACCACCGGCCUUGGAAGCGCAGACAGUUGAAUGGUGGACGGAGCUACGGUCUCUUGACGCACCAAGGAGCACCGGACUAGCAACUCUGCAACUAACAGAGUGGAGAAAGCGCCCCUUAAUGAAAAGAAAAACAGCCGGUGCAAGGCUUUAUACAAAGAAUGUGACAGCCACUGCGUGUAUCCGAGGCUUUAUACAACUCUGCCUUAUCUAAUCUACCGAGGAUUGUUGCGUAUGGAUGCGUAUAGAUUAUGCACGUACUCCCUCCUCCGUCCUAAAAUAAACGCACAUCUCGUUUCUCGAGGAGUCAAACUUUUAAGUUUGACUAAAAUUUAUAAAAAAAAUGUACUACUAUUUAUAAUGUAUAAUAAAUGUCAUUAUUGAGCAUUGGGUAUACUUUCCUAAUACAUUUAUUUGAAGAUGCAAAUAUUGUUACUAUUUUCUAUAUUCUUAGUCAAACUUAAAAACCCGUCAUGGGGAUUAGUCACGAUAUAAGUAGGGACUAGCAAGCAUCAAAACCCCAUUCACUGCCCAUCUAUCGCUCAAAUAAAAGAAACCAUUGCAUAUGGUGGCGAUGCGCUCGCGAGCCUUUCUCCAACCUUUCUGCUCUCGCGAGCCUUGAACUCGCAUGGAACAGUUUUAGUGAGAGUGUGCCUCCAACUUUGGGAAGAUUGUGAAGCCUUAUUUACCUGUCCUUAAGUGGCAAUAAGUUAUGAUCGAAUGAUAAGGACGGAUUGGAAUUCAUCACCAUGCUAGCAAACUGCAGCCAGCUUCAGCAACUGGCUUUUGAUAAUAAUUCAUUCAUCGGUGAACUUCCUAGCUCAAUAGCAAAUCUAUCGACAACUCACCAAUUACUCUAUAUAGGAAACAAUUGGAUUUCGGGAUUUAUUCCAUCCAGCAUAGGUAAUUUGCUUGGUCUAGAACUGCUUACGUUGGCAAAUACUUUCAUAUCCGGAGUGAUUCCAGAUAGCAUUGGUCGCAUAGAAGACAUGUCCGUGUUAGGCAUUUACUACGCUAGCUUGUCAGGCAUCAUACCUUCAUCACAAGAAACCUUACACAGUUGAAAACUCUAUGCAUACGAUAGCAACUUGGAGGGUCCAAUUCCAGCAAGCUUGGGGAACUUAAAGAAUCUUUUUGUUCUUGAUCUUUCAACGAAAGUGUGUUACCCGUUAAGAUUUCAUGUCGAAGCAGAGCAUAAACCUCUCUCAAGACUGCAAAGCUAUCAUAGAGCAGAUCAGUCUGAGGGCCGGGCUAUGUACCCUUUCGGUAAGAUUACCCCAAACUAGAGUCUGUAAUUAAUUAGCCAAGACUAGAAUUACGUAGUUCUUGUGGUUGUACUGUUUUCCUGGGUGGCCGCUCCAUGUUCCAAUUAAGCAUGAUGAUCUUGUAUUAAUAAAAGGUAUAUCAUAAAUAAAACAAGUUUAAUCAUUGAGUUCAUUAAAACCAUCACAACCCAAGGUAUUGCAACUAAGCAUAUCUACCAAAAAAAGGGUAAAACCCAGGUUGACAAAGAAUGAUCAUAAAAACUAGGUAAACCUUAAUAGGGCCCAUCAAUUUUAAGUGCACAGCAAUGCAAAAGUGAUUAAAUAUAGUUAUUGGGACAAAAGCACAUGGACACACUUGCCUUUCUCCAAAGAAUAGCUGCUCUGAUUAUCUUCAACUCUUGUUCCUCAAAGCUCUCGAACAACGUUCCUUAUACUCACAUCAAUCAUUGGCACAAGCAUACAAAGCAAACAACAAUCACAACUAAGAACAAUACAUCAAUCAUAGGAAAGCUUUAAAAGAGCGCACUAAAGGAUAAGGCUUGAAUCUGAAACACUGGGAACUAAACUAUGGUUGAAAUGACAAAGCUAUCGAGAGAUUUGAAUUAUAAAAGAAAGAGAAAAGCCUAUGCGCUUCAUAUAUUUCAAUAAAGAAAAUAAUGUAAAGAUAUUUUAGAGAAACAUCCUUAGCAAGUUAUAUUUAUAUAUGAAAAGAUAAUGUAGAACUUAGUCAAAUUUUAUUUAUAAACAUUCAAGUACAAUUUAUGCAAAUUAAAAAUUUAAUUUGAAAAUAAAGUAUAUGGAAACAUCUAAGCGCAUAGCUUUAUGAUUCGGGUUGAACUAACCAAAUAUAAUUCAAAAACAUAUUUAUAUUUAUAUUAAGUCAAAUUAACAUAUAAUUAUGAAACCUCGAGAUAUAACUUAUGUAGCUUUUAUUUAGAAAACAAAUUGAAUAAACAUUAAUCAAUUUAAGUUCAAUUAUGAACCACCGUGGUGCAUCUCUAAUUCACUUUUAAUUGAAAGAGUUAUUUAAAUAAGCAUUAACUAAAUUAAUAUUUAUUAUGAAAAGUGGUUAUAACACUAAGUAGCUUUUAAUUAAGGAAGGCAUGUUUAACAUGCAUUAAUUAGAUUAAUAUUAAAUUUAUUUUAAAAACAUGCAUGAUGGAAAGAUCAGUACUAACAUGUAAUUUGUGUUAUCACGAACCUAACUCAACAAGAACGGAUAUAAACGGAGCUGUAACGAGGAGUCUAUGGGUUAAACAAGGUUGCAGGGCCUAAUCACGAUUAACGGAAGGUUGUUGGGGCUAGCAAGGAAGAUUUGCAAGACACUGGAAUAGAGCUCGUUAUUAGGUCAAAGCAUAGGGUUAGAUCUGUUAAAGUGCUCAGGUUGGACUUGGUUGCACGGAUACAAUCUAAUCAGGGACAUGGAUGAAAAAAACAAGACACAAGGAAAAACUAACUAUAUAUAGAGCUUUCUAGGGGCCUAUGCGCAAAAGCACCAUAGCUCAGCAUCCAUGGUGGACGGGCUCCUUGACGGCAAAAUCCUCAUGCUGGAUUUAUAAGCCUGGUAGUCCACCAAGGGGUUUCCCAAGUAGUUGAUUUGUAGGUGAGGGUGAUUGUGAAACCAAGAACUCGAAGGUGAUUGUGAGAACACGAAGGGACACAAAGGUUUUAGACAUGUUCGGGCCUCCGAAGAGUAAUACCCUACGUCCUAUAUGCUGGUUUGUAUUGCUUGAGAUUGAUGUGAUUGUUGCGAUAUCCUCGGGGGUGCCCUUGGCCACCUUAUAUAGGUUGACGACCAAGAGUUAAAAGUCGGUUUGAAUCUAAUCUACUCGGUAGUUACAUGGAAAGUAAUCUGAGUUGGACUACAAUACACGUUCCAUGAUAUCCGAGCAGAUUUGAACUGUCUUGUUGCCUUGACUUGCACUCCAAGUAACUUCAUAUCCUCGGCCCACACGCCCUGGUCGAGCGAGCCCUACUUGUCAGGUUCGGCCAGUAUCCUGGUCGGCUGGGGCCCAUGGGGUACCCAUUUCUCUCAAGCCCCCGAGCGUUGUGUAGGCAAAUAGAAACUUGAGGUCACCAAAACGAAACUUGAAAUGAAGUCGGCUGAAGCUGCGAAGGCGUCAUUGCGACGGAGAGGCUGCGCAGUGCUUAAAAGAAGAAAAUCUGAGCAAACACAGAGCCAACGCGUAGAGCGAAGACGAGUGCCGAGUUGAUGGAUGCUGGCAUCCAGUAGGUCGGAGCGAAGGUUACGGAGGGCGUCGCAAGAGAAACUCCGUAGGAGUAGCCCCCGAGCAUUGAAACGAUUAAGAUAAUCGGUACAUUGGUCAAAGUACAAAAAAUUAUCCCAUGAUGUAGAUCCUAGUGCUCGAACACAAGGAUGGGUGCAGCCAUGGAGGCCCGCCCACUAGAAGUAGGCACCCAGACCCAAGGACGAGGACUGAUAGGACCGCGUAGCCACGCUGACCUGAAAUAGGCGUCCAACCCCCGAGGACGAGGACUAGCGGAGCCGCGGAGGCAUGCUGACCUGAAGUAGGCGCCCAGCCCCCGAGGAUGAGGACUGGCGGAGCCAUGAAGGCACGCCGACUUGAAAUAGGCACCAAGUGUAACAACUCUACCUAAAUUAAGUGCUUUUAAAUAUAAACUAGUGGCUAAUCACUAAGUUAAAGAAGUAAAAUGACCAUUUUAACCCUAAGAAGCUCUUUUUGGAGUUUGAAAUAAAACUUGGAAUUUUAUAUGCAAACUUAAAAUUUUGCCCAAACAAGAGUUGUAAAACUUUCAAUUUCAAACAACUUUUGUUAAACGAACUUUGACUAAUUCAGAGUGGGAGGAAGUCAAAAAUAGCAAUCAAAACUGGAGUACUAAAGAACCCUAUAAACCUCCUAAGUCCUGGUUUUCAAAUUUUCCCUCCAACUUUGCAAGCCUUUAUCUCAUGAUUUCUUAUCCAAACUCAAGUCAGGCUCUUAAUAAAAGUUGUAGUCCCUCGAGUGUGUUCCAACUUUGUUACACUGACCCAGGUCCAAAUCGGGCCAGAACCUGUUCAAAAUCUUGGUCAAAGUGAGGUAAAACAGUCAACUCAUCCCUUGAGCCCCACAACGCUAAGUCUGAAAAACUGCUCAGAGUGCACCUCUUGGCGAGGGCGUUCCUCCAAAUUUUUGAACUAAACUCAAGAAAUACCCUAAAUAAAAGCUUAAACCCAGGGACCCCUACGUAGUUAAACCUUAAACCCAGGGGCUUGCUUGCAACUUUGUCACAGCUUUUCUUUUAAAUAAUAGGCAGAAAUAUGGUUGAAUUUUGUAAAUGCCCAGUAAAUCGUAGAAUAAUCAUAAAAAUGCCAAACUACUUUUGCUAGAAUCCUUUCUCUGUCUAGUUCCUAAGAAAAAUAAGUUUGCUCAUGUUACUGUUGUAAAUAAUAUCCUACGCUUUUAAUCAUGUUGUAGGCCUUUUAAAUCCUAAUAAAUAGAAGAAAAGUGGGAAAAAUGUGGAACCAACUCUGUGAUGCUUGUUUCUAUGUGUAGAAGCUUAGAAAAAUAGUUAGGGCUCUGGUGUAGCACUUUAAGUCACUGUUUUGACUUUAAAUUGGGAAUCUAAGUAUAAAUCUUCCUUUUUGCAUAAGUUUUGAUCUAGAGCUUAGAAAAAUGUGAAACUAGUUGGGUUAAUUUUGUUUUGCUGUAAAGUUCUCAGGAAAAAUAUAAAUUGUUGUGCAAAUCAGAAAUAAAAACACCUUCCUUGCUAAGCAUGUUUAAUUAAGAAAAGAAAUAGAGUAAAUAGUAACCUUGUCCAAAAAUUACGAAAAAAUUCACCAAAGCACCUGUAACAUACCCUUAACACACUGCUUAAGUUUCACCCUCUGUUGCACAAUAAUUUUGAAGAUGGAAAAAAUUAAGCUCAGUUUACCUUUAAUAAUAAAAUGCAUGUAACUUCUUUUUAAGUCAUCCUUUGGCCCCCAAACUUUUACAGUAACCUAGUGAUGGCUUAAGUGAGGUGCUGUAAUUUUAUCAAUGACUUUAACUACUUUUUGGAUAUGAAGUCAUUUUGGUUAAUUAAUCAACCUAAAGGAAUAAAAGGAGAGCGCGAAUUCUAAUACGAUAAAUAAGUGGACACUGAAAGAGGUACAUAAAAACAUUCAGAAGUAAGUAAUUAUUCCAAUGCAUCCAAACCACCCAACACGACCUUUCACACUCUUUAUGCAACUCUAAAUGCAAGAAAGCUAUAUAUGUACACAAUCGCCAUUCAACGCGAACUCAAGUUUAAAACGACCACUUUCGUUUGAAGUUAAAAAAAGUAAACCUCAUCAAAGUGUUUGUGGCUGUUGUGACUCUUGUCUUAAGCCAUGCCUUGUGUCGUUGAAUAAACGCGCGAGUCCAACUAAAUUUUUGUAUGUGCAUGUCGUAUAGAAGCAACUCUCGCCGACGGAACCUACGAGCUCCACCCGGCACCAGAGAAAGACCCCGCUACGGAGCUUCACCACUUGGAAGGCGAGCCCGAACCGGAGCAAGAUCCUGAGGACCCGCUAACUUUUCCUGAAGGCAAGCCCCGGAGCAUAAAUUCCUAUCUUUGAAUACUUGCAAUAUUAUUGAACACUUUGAUUGCGCAUUUACGUUUCUAGGAGUUGUAAUGAAACCUUAGAUGCAUGAACUUAGUACCUUGUUUGAAUACUAGUUGCUAAAGUCGAGUAGUUGCAAUGCUUAAUAGGUUCCGGUAAAAGUCGAGUGAUUUCCUAUCACUCGCGAGUUAUAGGAGUUGAAUGUUUACUUAUGUUGCAACUAUAAGGACGAUGGAUGUGGUCGGGCUUAUGUUCGAUACUUGGUGGUUUUUCCCCGUCUGUCUAAAGGAAAUUGAUCUAAGGUUGAAAUGUGUCGGCGUUCGUGAUCAAGUGUUUGAAAGUACUAAUCUCAUACCUAGUAUGGGAUGGGGAAGCCUAGUACCUGAUUGAACUGGGGCAUGGCAUACUCCCCCAGCUGCCUUGGAACACCGUUCCCAUGGUGCAUCAUGUGGGUGCAAGUGCGGUCAUAGUACGGCAGAGGCCGGGAUUAUGGAGCAUGGCAUGCCAAAGGCAGUUGGCCCUGACACGUGCCUAAGGGAUCGAUGGGGACGGCUGACAAAUGAAGCAACCCUUCGUGGUGCGCGGAUGUCGUGAGAUUAGGUUCGCCAUGCAUGGUUAAUAAAUUCGAAUCGAUUCGUCUGCCUCUCACAGUUUGGGACUACUUGAUCGCUAUUCUGCACUGAGUAACGAUGAAACAUGAUUACGAGAUUAAGUUGAUGCUUGUUAUUUAACUGCUUGGAAAUCAUGCUUGUUUAGCAUAAGUGGCUAAUCUAGAAUGGUUAAAGAACGUAGAACUUGAGCUAAAAUAUUGAAAGUAAGGACUGAUUGUAGACGCUUGUGGCAAAGAAAUCGCAGAGCCAGAAAGCCUUGCAUGUCUAGGUCUUGGUAAAGCUUUUCACUCGACGGGUCAGUCUUGCUGAGUAUUAGUUGCUCAGCCUUGUUGUGGCUUAAUCUUUUCCAGUGAUGUCAAUAGUUUGGUUGCGGGCACCACUUGGCCUACCCAGCUCCCUCCGGGCUGGACAGUCGAGUGGGAUCCCUCCUCGGACGGCGAGGGAAGGGAUUUUUGAUGUCAUGAUUGGAUCCGUCGUGAUGUCAUGUAUCGAUGUUUAGCUUCCGCUUGUUUUAUCCGACUUUUCGAACCUUGCAACUUGUUUGAAUUUUCAGAAACUCUGAUGUAAUAAUUUGUGACACUAAGGAAUGUGAUGGAAUGUAGUAAUCUCUGUGCUACUCACCUUCAUGUGAGCGAUGCUUCUCGAUCCUGUUUAGGUGGUUCAUCGGAUGAAAUCCAACGGUCGACCAGUUUGACUUGCUUAAAGUGCAUAAUCGCGUGUCAGGCGACUUCAACGCAUUUUAGUCAGGUUAAUUUGGGUGGUUCCGCCACAGCUAGCAUCAGAGCUCGAAGCACGGUAUGGAGAACAACAAACCUUAAAACACUUUUCCUGACUAAAACUUGCAAGAAACGAGUUGAAAAAUUCGUAAGUUCGUUAAGGAUGAAUUUAGUACGAGGAGCCCUAGGGGAAUUUUGGGUCUUUUAAGGUGGCUAAUAAUUAUUGGUUAUCUUCUGACUUCCAGCACUUGUUACCACGUCUAUCAUACGUGUGCCGAGAUCUGCAUCGCGAGUGUGCGAAGGGUGAUAGGAAUUCGAUUCCAACGAGCCUAUCAUCACGGUUGUUUCGCCCACGUCUAUUAUACGUGCGCAGGUUCCGUAUGUUAAUUCAUGCGAAGGAUGGUAUGGUUCGAUUCCAACGAGCCUAUCAUCACGGUUGUUCGCCCACGUUUAUUAUACGUGUGCAUGAUUCCGCAUCACGAGAAUGUGAAGGGUUAUAUGGUUCUAUUCAAGGGAACCUAUUUCCACGGUUGUUGCGCUGUCCAUGCAGCGUUAAACGCAUGGGUGCCGUUUCUAUAGUGAACGGUAAUGAUUGUGGACGCUUUUGUGAGUACUGGCACGGAAAGUUCAAGCUAUGAUGUGUUUUUCUGCGGGUACACUAACAACGUUGCGUACGAAACGAUGCUUAGCAACUCGACUAGUUAUUAUAGUGAGAGUCGUAUUGUUGCCUUGCCACCGGCACUAACCACGUAAGUUCAAAGAUUUUUGGCGAUUAUUUUUGGUUGAGAGGAUGACUAGGACGUGCAUGCAUUAAGAAAUAAAAACCGCAACCUAAGGAAAUAAAACCAAGCUCGAGUGUGUCGUAAAAAGAAAUGCACCGCGAUAAGGAUCGUCUAGUUGUCCUUUUUUUUCCGCCAUGCACGUUUAAAUAAAUCUUUCAGGUUGUUCCAUAUGAUAACUUCAGAAACUUUAUAUAAGAAAUUUGUGUUAAAUCUCCCAAGUAAACUGCUGAAAAUUUUUCACAAAGUACUACCACUUGGGUUGAGAGUUGUGAUCAGUUUUGUGACCCCCUGUUGGCUGUUAGCCCUGAGUGCACACCAGUUGGAAUUCUGCUGUUUCGACCACCUUAAGAACUUUUUCUGCUAGGAGUCCCUUAAGAAACGUUUCUCAAAACUUAAUAAAGAACUUACUGGUAAAAUUGCAGCUUCAUUAGGUCUCUUGUUUUGAAGUUAUGUUCAGUUUACUUUGACUCGGGUCUGAAAAAUUCUAGCAUGUACACUUAAUGGGAAUCUGAGGUUAUCACCUUGUUAGGUCCUGUUCUAGCCCUACCUUUGAAUACCAAACUUGUUACGCACUAUCUAAAGAACAUGCUGGUAAAAUUUGAGAAAUUUUGGAUGAAUAAUUGCUGAGUUAUGAGCUUUUCUCUAACUGCUAGAAAUCUGUUUUGAUUUCCAAGUGUUAACUCCGUUUCUCACUUGUCCUUUGGUUACAGUGGCUCAGCCUGUGCACGUUGCAGUCGGUACGGAUGGCACCACCUACUCACGGUGCCUUCACUACGAGGGUUUCCUAGCCGUACUGUGGGACACCCUGCGCUCUUUUGGGUACCCGUCACCGCCAGUUUACGCGGGACGUGCAUACCAGGACCGCGGGAUUCCGCGGAGUCGCGUGCACGUGCGGGUGCCCCCGCCUCCGGGUCAGCCACAGUGUCCGCUUUUGGAGGUGGUGGCCGAGGGAUAGACACUACAGGACACCUGGGAGUUCGCAGCCUUGCAGACCCUGACACAGUUUUGCCGGGCACACCCUCUUGAGAUCGUGCUGGACCCGAUUGGGUUGUGCUCUGCUCGGGAUACGAGGGACCCGGAUUGGUUGGAUCGUAUGGAGCAUAUGGACUUACUCAGGGUUAUGGAUCCACAACGCACGAUUUUUGUUUCAGCUCGUUGCCUGAACGUGUUCUUCCGGAUGGUUGAGAUGCAGAGCCGAGCGAUGGCUACGGUGAUCGGGAUGGCAGUGGCCAACCAGGUCGCUUUAUCUGCCGUGCAGAGUGGCAUGGUGGACCAGUCGCUUGAGCUAGUACAGAAGGAUGUCCAGAUUGCUGAGAUGCAGGACAAGAUCACUCGUUUGGAGGAGGAGAUUGUGGAUAUGGAGCAUGAUAUGGAGAUCUUGGCUGACCAGUUCUAUGAUGUGAACAUGGAGCCGGCGAACGUCAAUGAGCACCUGCAGGAGCAUCACGAUGAGCUUAAUGCCAUUCACACCUUAGAGAUGCAGCAGGAUGAGCCGAUGGCCCAGGAGGAGGAGCCUGAGGAGAUCGAGGGCUUUUCGAGCAUGGACUAUGAGGAGGCCUCUCCGCAGCCUCCAGUUGGCGAUGCUCACUCUCCUGCCCUUAGCUUUGCCUCCGUGGGCAACCUCGACGACUUCUAGUUGUGUUGACUUGUUGUUGAGGGGUUCUCUUUUGUUUUUACUCCUCGGCGACCUAUAUUUUGGCUAGUGAUAUAAUAGGUUAGCUUGAGUUGAGUAUUUGGGAGUUGAGAAACUGAUUCUAUGUUGGAUUGCCGUUGCUAUCUUUAGUGUAAUGUCUGAAAUUUAUGGCAGAACUGCAGUGACUGUUUCUCCUCAGUUUUACCCCUGUCUCCACUCGUUUUUGAGCCAAAGUUUGAAUACCAAAGUUGUGCAAAAACUUCUGUUCUAACUAUUCGUAAAUUUUCAGCUCCUUCGGAUCUGUCAAACGCCCGCUAGAGCCAAAACCCCACUGUUCAGCUUGCUGAAAAAUCAGCCGGACAGCAACUUGCUAGAACGUCUAAACGACCUCUUUUCCUUCCUUUUCGGUCGACAAGCGUAACAUGAAAGUGGUUGUGUACGAUAUAUUCUAACCCUCACUUAAGGAUGAGAACCUUGUGCACUUCGAAGAAGAGAUAUGCACCUACUCAAUAAAAGUUUUGAUUGUUGCUUUUGCACCAUCGGCAAGACUAGCGUUUAUCAUUUCCGCACAUAAUGUUUCCUUAUGGUUAAACAAGAUUUUGGGGCUAUGUGACUAAUGGAAAGGUGAAUCUUGCAGAUGGCACAUCGCAUAUGCUCCGGCUCCAUUCCUAGUGGCAGCGAGGUGCCUCCCCCACCUCCGCCUCCAACCACCCUCGAGGCAAUCUUGGCGGCUCAAACCGAGCUGCUGAGGCACAUCGCUCAGGGACAGCAGCAGCAGCAGCCCUAGGGAGGAAGAGCCCAUCAGCAGCCUCAUGUUGCUCGCUACGAGGACUUUCUGGGGACCCAGCCUCCUCUGUUCCACAAGACGGAGGACCCGCUUGACGCCGAUGCCUGGAUUCGUGCCAUCGAGUCCAAGUUCUCCCUUCUCACCGCCCAUUGCCCGGAGGAGAACAAGGUUCGGUUCGCCGCGCAACAGUUGCAUGGUUCUGCUCUCCUGUGGUGGGAUCACUACCACGCCAUGCAGCCGGCCGACCACGUCGUCGGCUGGGAGGAAUUCAAGACAGCGUUCAAGGGCCAUCACAUCCCUGAGGGUCUUCUGGAGCGCAAGCUCAAUGAGUUCCUGGCUCUCACCCAGGGAGGCCGCGACGUCCUGCACUAUGCGCAGGCUUUCAAUGACCUGUGUCGCUAUGCAGGCUAUCAUGCAGACUCUGAUGAGAAGUAGAGGGACCGCUUCCACAGAGGCUUGAGCCUGGAGCUCAAGGAAAGCCUGAAUCCCAUCAAGGUGGAUUCCUACAAUGAACUGGUGAACCUGGCAAUUUCCCAGGAAGAUUGCAUGAGGGCUCUCAAGGCUGACCUGAAGCGAAAGGCUCCAAUGCCGGCACCCGGCCCACCGGCCCAGAAAUACAAAGUGGUUCCCCCACAGGCGUCUCACAGGCCCGCACAACCUAGGAGAUGGGUUGCUCGACCUCCACCGCAGGCAGCACCUCAUUUCCCUGGAUUCCAGCCGCAAGGGCCCCGACCUACUCUUCCUAUGCCGCCAUGCCUAGUCACUGGAAACCGCUGUUUCACCUGCGGGAACCCAAGACACUUUGCCAAGAACUGCCCCCGCAACAAGAAUCAACGACCCGGUCAGAGCAAUGCACUGAGCAACAAGGGGAAGAAGCCGAGGGUUCAGGUCCGACAAGGCAGGCUGAACUACACCACCCUUGCUGAACUUCCAGAGGGUGCACCAGUGAUGACGGGUACCUUUUCUAUCUAUAACCAACCCGUCCUUAUUCUGUUUGAUUCGGGAGCAUCUCAUAGUUUCAUUGGGACUAGAACCAGUGCUAAGUGUGGGUUAGAUUUCUGUCACACAAAAGGUGCUUAUAUAAUCUCUACCCUGGGUAGGAAAGUAACUUCACACCAAGUGAGCCGCAAGGUGCCUAUCCAGUUGGGGAGAACCCUUUUUAAGGAAAACCUCCUUAUCCUUGGGAUAGAAGGAAUAGAUAUUAUCUUGGGUAUGGAUUGGAUGACUCGACAUCGAGUGGCACUAGACAUCCCUGCCAGAGCCGUCCAUAUAAACUCACCCAUUUAUGGUAGCUCAAUCAUACACUUACCCCCCCGAGAGUGCCAAACUUUUUGUGCCUAUCCCUUGACUGAAGCCCGUUUAGAAGACAUCCCAGUGGUGUGCGAGUAUCCCGAUGUGUUUCUAGAUGAUUUGCUGGGUAUGCUGCCUAAUAGAGAUAUCGAGUUUGCUAUUGAGUUGCAACCAGGUACUGCCCCAAUUUCAAAGAGACCGUACCGGAUGCCACCAGCCGAGCUGGCAGAAAUGAAAGCUCAGUUUCACGAUCUGUUGGACAAAGGUUUUAUUCAUCCAAGUACAUCACCUUGGGGUGUCCCCGCCUUGUUUGUGAAAAAGAAGGACGACAGUCUGCGUAUGUGUCUGGACUACUGCCCUCUCAAUGCGGUGACGAUAGAGAACAAGUACCCACUACCCCGCAUUGAUGUUCUGUUCGAUCAGUUAGCUGGAGCUAGAGUGUUUUCCAAAAUUGACCUCCAUUCUGGCUACCAUCAAAUCAAGAUCCACCCGUGCGACAUUCCUAAGACUGCUUUCUCUACACGGUAUGGACUCUAUGAGUACUUAGUCAUGUCAUUUGGGCUUACUAAUGCACCAGCUUAUUUCAUGUACCUCAUGAAUUCGGUGUUUAUGCUCGAACUCGACAAAUUCAUCGUGGUUUUCAUUGACGAUAUCUUGGUGUACUCAAAGGAUGAGGAAGAACAUGCAGAGCACCUACAUACUGUACUCCAACGCUUAAGAGAUCACCAACAAUAUGCCAAAUUCUCUAAGUGUGACUUCUGGCUGGACAGUGUUAAAUUCUUGGGGCACACCAUAUCCAGAGACGGUAUAGCAGUAGACCCAAGCAAAGUGCAAGAAGUAAUGGACUGGAAGUCGCCCACUUCAGUUCAUCGGAUUCGAAGUUUUCUCGGGUUAGCAGGUUACUACCGUCGCUUCAUUCCUGACUUCUCAAAAAUAGCUAAGCCAAUGACGAAACUGCUAAGGAAGGGAGUUAAGUUCAUGUGGAGUGACAAAUGUGAAGAAGCCUUCCACACCCUGAGACAAUUACUGACCUCUGCGCCGGUUUUAGCUCAGCCCAACACCACUAGGCUGUUUGACGUAUAUUGCGAUGCCUCUAGCACUAGACUGGGUUGUGUUCUUAUGCAAGACAGCCGAGUCAUUGCCUAUGCCUCACGAGCGCUACGGCCACAUGAGUUGAACUACCCUACCCAUGAUCUCGAGUUAGCAGCAAUCGUUCAUGCUCUGAAAUUAUGGAGGCAUUAUCUUAUGGGAACUCGAUGCAACAUCUAUACGGAUCACAAGAGUCUUAUGUACAUCUUCACUCAAGCAGACCUCAACAUGCGCAAGAGAAGAUGGUUAGAAUUAAUCAAAGAUUAUGACCUAGAAGUGCACUAUCACCCAUGCAAAGCCAAUGUAGUUGCCGAUGCUCUCAGCCGCAAGAUCCAUUGUAACUGCUUAUCGGCAAUUAAUUAUGCCGAGACCCUCUGUCAUGAAAUGGCUAAACUCAACUUGGAAAUUGUUCCCCAUGGCACCUUAAGUCAUAUUUCUUUAGAGCCUACCCUGCUUGACCAAAUAAUUUUAGCACAACUAGAGGAUGAAGAGAUAAACCUUAUCAAGGAGAAACUCGCACAGGAGGAUGAGGGAUAUAAGCAUUUCUGAUAGGAUUGGAGAGGAGUGGUACAUUAUGAAGCUCGACUCGUAGUUCCAAAUGAUCCCGAUCUUAGGAAACAAAUUCUGGACGAAGCACACCUUUCCAAGUUCUCGAUUCACCCUGGUAGUACCAAGAUGUACCACAACCUCUGACAAAAUUUCUGGUGGAGUGGAAUGAAACCCGACAUUGCACGAUAUGUUUCAGAGUGUGAUACCUGUCAGCGAGUCAAAGCAAGCCACUUAAGGGUAGCUGGCCCCUUGCGGCCACUGCCUAUUCCCUCGUGGAAGUGGGAGGACAUAAGCAUUAUAGUCAGACUACCCAAUACCUCCCGCAAACAUGAUUCGAUAUGGGUUAUAGUAGACCGACUUACCAAAACAGCGCAUUUUCUUCCAGUACACACCACCCGCGCCAUACAGAAAUAUGCAGAACUGUACCUUGACCGGAUUGUUUCCUUGCAUGGUGUACCUAAGACGAUCAUCUCUGAUCGAGGUAGUCAGUUUGUAGCACGCUUUUGGGAGCAGUUGCAGUUUUCACUUGACACUAAAUUUAUUCGUAGUUCCACAUAUCAUCCUUAAACCGAUGGACAAACUGAAAGGGUUAACCAGAUUUUGGAAGAUAUGCUACGCGCCUGUGCCAUUCAUUAUGACAAGAACUGGGAUAAGUGUUUGCCAUUAGCGGAAUUCUCAUACAACAAUAGUUACCAAGCUAGCCUGAAAAUGGCGCCUUUUGAAGCCUUGUAUGGACGUAGAUGCCGAACCCCGCUAAGCUGGUCGCAACAGUGUAUGGACCUGACCUGGUCAUGGAGGCCGAAGAAAAAGUAAGAGUUAUUCGUGAAAAUCUCAAGGCCGCCCAGUCUCGACAAAAGAGCUAUUCCGAUCAAAGAAGAAGACCUAUCCAAUUUGAGGUUGGGGAUUUUGUAUACCUGCGGGUUUCACCGACCAAAGGCGUACAACGUUUUGGAGUAAAAGGAAAGUUGGCUCCGCGCUAUAUUGGUCCCUAUGAGAUUGUAGAAGUUUGUGGACCCGUAGCGUAUCGAGUUAAACUUCCAGAGAAGAUUGCAGCGAUACACGAUGUUUUCCAUGUCUCACAACUCAAGAAGUGCAUUCGGGUUCCAACUGAAAUCAUCGCCUCGGAAGAAUUGGAGAUUGAACCCGAUUUAACAUACAAGGAGUAUCCUGUUAAGAUCCUUGACCGGAAGGAAAGACAUACUCGUAGGCAAAUGGUAAAAAUGUACAAAAUUUGGUGGAGUAACCAUACGGAAGAUGAAGCGACCUGGGAGACGGAAGAGUAUCUCAACACUAACUUCCGCGGUUUUCUUUUCGACCAGGAAGGUACGUUGCACCGGCCACACUAGUUCCUUUCUGCACUUGAAUCUCGGGGCGAGAUUCCUUUAAGGGGGGUAGGCUGUAACAACUCUACCUAAAUUAAGUGCUUUUAAAUAUAAACCAGUGGCUAAUCACUAAGUUAAAGAAGUAAAAUGACCAUUUUAACCCUAAGAAGCUCUUUUUGGAGUUUGAAAUAAAACUUGGAAUUUUAUAUGCAAACUUAAAAUUUUGCCCAAAUAAGAGUUGUAAAACUUUCAAUUUCAAACAACUUUUGUUAAAGGAACUUUGACUAAUUCGGAGUGGGAGGAAGUCAAAAACAGCAAUCAAAACCGGAGUACUAAAGAACCCUAUAAACCUCCUAAGUCCUGGUUUUCAAAUUUUCCCUCCAACUUUGCAAGCAUUUAUCUCACGAUUUUGUAUCUAAACUCAAGUCAGGCUCUUAAUAAAAGUUGUAGUCCCUCAAGUGUGUUCCAACUUUGUUACACUAACCCAGGUCCAAAUCGGGCCAGAACCUGUUCACAAUCUUGGUCAAAGUGAGGUAAAACAGUCAACUCAUCCCCUGAGCCCCACAACGCUAAGUCUGAAAAACUGCUCAGAGUGCACCUCUUGGCGAGGGCGUUCCUCCAAAUUUUUGAACUAAACUCAAGAAAUAACCUGAAUAAAAGUUUAAGUCCUCAGUUUGGAGAGCAACUCCUUCAAUAACACUUCAGUCUAAUUCAACUUGGAAGCUGCCCUAAAUUCGACUCAAACAUAGCUAAGUUCCUGAAAUUCCACCUCUCCGGCCAAAAUUGGCUAAGUCUGGAUUUCCAGAUUUUUAGCAAACUUUGGCACGAGAUAUCUUCAAAUCCUUUCACAAUCUAAACCAGCACCUUAAACCAAGUUUGAACUACGUCCAGAGUUGAACAAGUUUGUUUAAAGGAGUUUUGGAAGAUGUGUUGCAAAAUCUUAAGUUAGGAUCUCCCAAAGCCGGUCGGGCUUGCUGCCCGAAGGGGGCCUCGACGCCCGCGCGCCAGAGCACGUUCGCCCGCGCGCCACGCGUCGCGUGGCCGCCGGCCACCGGCAGUUCGCCGGCGCCCUAUCACCGGCAAGACAACGAUAGGGCAAGGGCCACGGCGCCCAACCCGCGCUUGCGACAGGACGGUGCGAAUGCCGGGCUAGCGAACCGCCGGCCGCGCGGGUGUCCUUUUCCCCCUGCCACGGCUCUGCUCCGCCAACCGUGCUCCGCCCGUCCGCGGGAGAAGCCGCCACGCCGAUGACAUCCCGCGCCUCCGCCCGCUCGCCCAACCCCAAUGGUAGCCCUCCGCUUCGCCCGCCCGACAGACCGGAAGCCUCAGACACGCAUCGCCCAAGGCCAAUCCCCGCCGGAGACCACUCGGAGCUCCGACUCCUCUGCCCAAUGGCGCCGCUGGCCAAUGGCCGCCUCGCCCGCGCACCCGCCGCACCUGGCCUUAUCCUUCCUCCACCAGAGCCCCGCCUCGACCCUCCGCUCCACCGCUGCCCUAUAAAAAGGUCCCUCUCACCGGCAACGCCACCCUUUGCCACCACCCACAAUCGCGCCACCGCUUCCUCCUCUGCGCCGCCACUAAUCUUCCGUGGAGCUCACCCCUCCGCGCCACCCCGCACUCCGGCGACUUCACCGCUUGCUUUGCCAACCCACCGCGCACGUCUCCGAGCAGCUCGUGGCCUCCCCGACGCCGCCGAUGCGCCGGAACGUCGCCUGCACCGCCGCCAGCCAAGCUCUGUUGCCGCCGCCGCGUUCCGAUCCCCGUCGGCCAUCUCCGUCGCCCCAACCCCGCCAAACCGAGCUCAGGUGAGCCCCCGCACCUCUCCGGCCACUUGUUGCCCCAUCCUCGCCGGCGAACCGCCGGGGAUUUCCUCACCGCCGCCGCGCGCGCCCCGGGGACCACAUUGCAUCGUCCCCAUUCUUUCCAGGGGCUUGAGCGCAAAACUCAAGGACCCCUGUGUAGUUAAACCUUAAACCCAGGGGCUUGCUUGCAAGUUUGCCACGGCUUUUCUUUUAAAUAAUAGGCAGAAAUAUGGUUGAACUUUGUAAAUGCCCAGUAAAUCGUAGAAAAAUCAUAAAAAUGCCAAACCACUUUUGCUAGGAUCCUUGCUCUGUCUAGUUCCUAAGAAAAAUAAGUUUGCUCAUGUUAAUGUUGUAAAUAAUAUCCUAUGCUUUUAAUCAUGUUGUAGGCCUUUUAAAUCCUAAUAAAUAGAAAAGUGGGAAAAAUGUGGAACCAACUCUGUGAUGCUUGUUUCUAUGUGUAGAAGCUCAGAAAAAUGGUUCGGGCUCUGGUCUAGCAUUUUAAGUCACUGUUUCGACUUUAAAUUGGGAAUCUAAAUAUAAAUCUUCCUUUUUGCAUAAGUUUUGAUCUAGAGCUCAGAAAAAUGUGAAACUAGUUGGGUUAAUUUUGUUUUGCUGUGAAGUUUGCUGGAAAAAUAUAAAUUGUUGUGCAAAUCAGAAAGAAAAACACCUUCCUUGCUAAGCAUGUUUAAUUAAGAAAAGAAAAGGAGUAAAUAGUAACCUUCUCCAAAAAUUAUGAAAAAUUCACCAAAGCUCCUGUAACAUACCCUUAACACACUGCUUAAGUUUCACCCUCUGUUGCACAGUAACUUUGAAGAUGGAAAAAGUUAAGCUCAGUUUACCUUUAAUAAUAAAAUGCAUGUAACUUCUUUUUAAGUCAUCCUUUGGCCCCCAAACUUUUACAGUAACCUAGUGAUGGCUUAAGUGAGGUGCUGUAAUUUUAUCAAUGCCUUUAACUACUAUUUGGAUAUGAAGUCAUUUUGGUUAAUUAAUCAACCUAAAGGAAUAAAAGGAGAGCGCAAAUUCUAAUACGAUAAAUAAGUGGACACUGAAAGAGGUACAUCAAAACAUUCAGAAGUAAGUAAUUAUUCCAAUGCACCCAAACCACCCAACACGACCUUUCACACUCUUUAUGCAACUCUAAAUGCAAGAAAGCUAUAUAUGUACACAAUCGCCAUUCAACGCGAACUCAAGUUUAAAACGACCACUUUCGUUUGAAGUUAAAAGAAAGUAAACCUCUCCAAAGUGUUUGUGGCUGUUGUGACUCUUGUCUUAAGCCAUGCCUUGUGUCGUUGAAUAAACGCGCGAGUCCAACUAAAUUUUUGCAUGUGCAUGUCGUAUAGAAGCAAAUCUCGCCGACGGAACCUACGAGCUCCACCCGGCACCAGAGAAAGACCCCGCUGCGGAGCUUCACCACUUGGAAGGCGAGCCCAAACCGGAGCAAGAUCCUAAGGACCCGCUAACUUUUCCUGAAGGCAAGCCCCGGAGCAUAAAUUCCUAUAUUUGAAUACUUGCAAUAUUAUUGAACACUUUGAUUGCGCAUUUACGUUUAUAGGAGUUGUAAUGAAACCUUAGAUGCAUGUACUAGUUGCUAAAGUCGAGUAGUUGCAAUGCUUAAUAGGUUCCGGUAAAAGUCGAGUGAUUUCCUAUCACUCGCGAGUUAUAAGAGUUGAAUGUUUACUUAUGUUGCAACUAUAAGGACGAUGGACAGGGUCGGGCUUAUGUUCGAUACUUGGUGAUUUUCCCCGUCUGUCUAAAGGAAAUUUAUCUAAGGUCGAAACGUGUCGGCGUUCGUGAUCAAGUGUUUGAAAGUACUAAUCUCAUACCUAGUAUGGGAUGGGGAAGCCUAGUACCUGAUUGAACUGGGGCGUGGCAUACUCCCCCGGCUGUCCUUGGAACACCGUUCCCAUGGUGCAUCAUGUGGGUGCAAGUGCGGUUAUAGUACGGCAGAGGCCGGGAUUAUGGAGCAUUGCAUGCCAAUGGCAAUUGGCCCUGACACGUGCCUAAGGGAUUGAUGGGGACGGCUGACAAAUGAAGCGACCCUUCGUGGUGCGCAGAUGUCGUGAGAUUAGGUUCGCCAUGCAUGGUUAAUAAAUUCAAAUCGAUUCGGCUGCCUCUCACAGUUUGGGACUACUUGAUCGCUAUUCUGCACUAAGUAACAAUGAAACAUGAUUAUGAGAUUAAGUUGAUGCUUGUUAUUUAACUGCUUGGAAAUCAUGCUUGUUUAGCAUAAGUGGCUAAUCUAGAAUGGUUAAAGAACGUAGAACUUGAGCUAAAAUAUUGAAAGUAAGGACCGAUUGUAGACGCUUGUGGCAAAGAAAUCGCAGAGCCAGGAAGCCUUGCAUGUCUAGGUCUUGGUAAAGCUUUUCACUCGACGGGUCAGUCUUGUUGAGUAUUAGUUGCUCAGCCUUGUUGUGGCUUAAUCUUUUCCGGUGAUGUCAAUAGUUUGGUUGCGGGCACCACUUGGCCUACCCAGCUCCCUCCGGGCUGGACAGUCGAGUGGGAUCCCUCCUCGGACGGCGAGGGAAGGGAUUUUUGAUGUCAUGAUUGGCUCCGUCGUGAUGUCAUGUAUCGACGUUUAGCUUCCGCUUUUUUUAUCUGACUUUUCGAACCUUGCAACUUGUUUGAAUUUUCAGAAACUCUGAUGUAAUAAUUUGUGAAACUAAGUAAUGUGAUGGAAUGUUGUAAUCUCUGUGCUACUCACCUUCGUGUGAGCGAUACUUCUCGAUCCUAUUUAGGUGGUUCAUCGGAUGAAAUCCGACGGUCGACCAGGUUGACUUGCUUAAAGUGCAUGAUCGUGUGUCAGGCGACUUCAAUGCAUUUUAGUCAGGUUAAUUUGGGCGGUUCCGCCACAGCAAGCCCCCGAGGACGAGGACCGGCAAAGCCAUGAACGCACGCUGACCAGAGUUAGGCGUCCAGCCCCCGAGCAUGAGCGCAAGGACUGGUGGAAGCACGUCGAGUUGCCUCCCGCCCUAAGCCGAGGCAGAGAGGUUGGCUGGGCGACGGGCGACACGUGGAGUCAUCUACGGUACCUAGCCGCCGAGCCUGGGAGCAGGACGAGUUGCAAAAGCAUGCCAAGUUGCCUCUUGCCCUGAGCUAGCAAGGUCGACCGGGUGACGGGAGGCACGCCAAGUCAUCUGCGGUGCCCAGCCCCCGAGCCUUGGAGCCGGCCGAGCCACAGAAGCACGCCAAGCCGCCUCCCGCCCCGAGCUAGAGAGGUCAGUCGGGCAAUGGGAGGCACGCCGAGUCGUCUGCGGUGCCCAGGCCCCGAGCCUAGGAGCCGGACGAGCCACAAAAGCAUGCCAAGUCGCUUCCUGUCCUGAGCUAGAGAGCUCGGCCGGGUGACGGGAGGCACACCGAGUAGUUUUUUGAGCUGUAAAAGGACAAUACAAUCAUUAUGUAGCAUAAUGUAGAUUAUUUAAUCAUUGAACAACUCGGAAGUUUAAUACGCUGUAGAAGUAAACUCUUGCUAAUCCUGCUCUUGUAGGCCAAGUAAAUUCCCCAGGUAGUUAGCUUAUUACGUUCAAGCACCUAGCCCUACUAACCACUGCUCAUGGAGAGGAUAGUUUAUCUCAGGCUAUAGCGCUGGGGCUGACCUGAUGCUCGCAUAUAGGAGACGCGCAGGAUGAGUCAAGGUUUCACGGAUUAAGGCGUGUGCUACCCGAGUACUUUAGCAACCGUUAACAGGGACGGAUAAGCCGCAAAGCAACUGGAGCUAUGCAAAAAAGCACCAGCAUGAGCUGGGCACCCAUGGGGUGUAGCCCCCGGCCGCCCGUGUAGUGGGUGGACCAAGCUGUAUAAGUAGGCACGGUGCGACCAAGGUGGUCGGCGAAAGUCACGAGGACAUAGGAGAGCUGAGGUGGUCGACAAAAGUCACAGGAACAUGGAGGAGCCGAGGUUUAUGUAGGUAUACGGAAGUCGUAAAAUAUUUAAUUAUAAAUAAGACUUAUCCUUAUUUGUGGUCAAGUCAAAAAACCCGCGUGUCAUCUUCGCGUUUAGGCUUAGAAGCCCCUGAGCGUGGUCGUCGGAUAGUUGUUGGUGAAGCAAACUAGUUGGGCAUGCCCAACUAAUUCAUGUCGAGGCCGAGUUGUUGGAGUUGUUAGCGGCACGUUUGUGGUAUGCUACUGCCGAGUCGAUGCGGCCAUCGGGUCGUGGCCGGCUGGCCGCCACGCUCACAGUACAACAUGCCUAGGUUGUGCUGCCAAACCAAGGGUGCAUGUAAAUCUUUCCGAAGCUUGUAAGGAAGCCCUCACAUAUUAAGGAACUCUAUACCUAAUACCAUCAUGGUUGUUUUGCAAAAAAGUCUCUCAACUUUUUUGUAAUCAACCCGCAGUCUUUGGAAUGUCUUGAAGAUUGUGCAAAAAGAUCCCCAAACUUUACUGCAAUUGGCCAUCGAAGCUCCCACAGCGUGCACCUAUGCCACAUGCGGUGCGGACGGGUGUGCCGGCUGCGACUGCAAGCUCCUCGCUGCGGCAGGGACCAGGUCGAGCAGCGACAGCAAUGACGAAGGGGAGUAGUCUGCGUCUGCGUGCCAUGCCACCGUCACCGGGCAAGCUGUGGUAGCGGCGGAGUGGGAGAGUGAGUCCAUUGGCGUGUGGAGGGUGCCGUGGGGCAGGUGGGUGGCGGAGAUCUGCAACCCACACCUCGCUGUGUGCAAGUGGCUCAGCACCUUCGACACCACUGAGGACGCCGCGCGUGCCUACAACGUCGCCACCGUCGAGUUCCGAGGCUGCUGUGCCAAGCUCAACUUCCCCGACGAUGCGGCUCUCGCACCUGCACCUUCCUAGGUGCUGACCUCGACAUACCAACACCACCACCACCUGCCGCAGCCGCUGCUCGAGAGCCUGCACGAGACCUGCGGGUCGAACGCAUCCUCAUCAGUGGACGUGGCUCUUGUGGUAGCGGCACCGACUGGGCAGCACGACACGAGGCCGGUGCCGAAGGAGCAGGACAUAUGGGACACGCUAAACGAGUUCAUGAUGAUGGAUGACGGUAGCUUCUGGUCGCCCAUGCCAUGAUCGUCAUAUUCUCCUCUUGUCUUCACUUUCGUUGCUUAGCAGAUAAUGGUGGUCAGCUGCCCUCUAGUCUGUCGUCAAUCGCCAGCCAUCCAUUGCUUUUAUAUGGUUUUACACUAGCUUUUGGGCUUUGAUCACACCUCCACACCCAUACGAAACGACUAGCUAGAGCGAUGUUGAUCUACUGCCUACCGCGCGCUAGGGCGAGCAGCUACUCACUCGGGCUGCAUGCCCUACCCACCACCUGGACCUAAGAGGUGAAGGAGAGAGGAGGAAGGGGGAAGGAAACAAGGAGCCGAGUGCCUCUUUGUAGUCAACCAAGUAGAGCCAUAUGCUAGUGAAGGCAUGGCGCCAGCGAGGGGGGCGCAGCGGCAGUCGGCAGGCAACGCAAACAGGGGCGGAGGUCGAGACCUCACACCCCCCUCUCAAUGACGUCCAUCCCCUUCAGAUCCGGAACUAAAGCCUCCACACCUAGCAAUUGGGGGCUCGAUUUUGCACUUGAUUGGAACGAUUUGGAGUGGAUUAUAGAAGGGAGGUGGAUGGAAAUGAGAAGAAGAGGAAAACGCACUCCUGCUCAUGGUGGCCAGAGGCACUGUGGCCUAGCGCUCAAAGCGGGAAUGAGGCUAGGCACGGGAAGGACGAGCGUUUGCCUGGGCGACGACGAGGAUGGCAAGAUGCGCAGCGCUUAGACGACGGUGAAGAUGGGGCAAGAUGUGGGUGGCACCGAUGGACGAAGAGGCAUCGACUGGUUAGAUGAUAAUGAGUACGGGGAAAAUUGAAUGAAUUUAUAGAGCGGUGGUUGAGCGGUGAUUUUUUUUGUUUCCAUGUGUGGGUCCCACGUAAUAAACAGAUGGCAUCAAACCACCCACAAAUAUCUUCUACUACUGUACUCGGACACCGCACCAACAUAUGGUGAAGUGAAGCUAACAUAUUAGAAACAAGCGAAUAAUAAUGUGAGAGUAAGUAAAGACCUGUAGUAACGUACGGGUAUUUCUGCUAGUAAGAAAAAAAAUUGUUAGUAAGCACCGAGCAACGUAGGAGAUCUACUGGAUGGAAUAGAUUAAAUAAUAAAGGGAAGGGAGAAUUGUUCUCUUUUUUUUCCGUGGCAGAUCUGACGUGUGUGCAUGCAACAAGUUGAGGUCGACGUGUCGUGCUAAAUCAACCAGAUCGUACCGGGGCUGGAUCAGGCGAGCUUGGUUGUGGCCGGGAUGAGGCCAAUAAGGGCGCCGCCCUUGACCUUGGCCUCCUAUUCCUCGCGGAUCUUCUGCAUCUGGAGCAUCCGCUCCAUGAUGAGCUUGUACUGGCACUUCUCGCAGGCGUGGCGCUCGGGCUCGCACUUCCAGCGGAGGUAGAACUGGGAGGUGCACGCACUGGUCAUGGUAGGCGAGUGGAACCCGAGCCUCCGCCAUCUCCACCUGCGUGACGAUCUGGAGCUUCGAGGAGCCGAACUGCACGCCGCCCGCCGCCUCCAUCUGUCACUUUGUUCCCCUCUCUCUCACUGGCGAGGUCGUUCCGUCGAUAUAUGGGCGCUGCGGGUUUGGUGCGGCGUGGGUGGGUAGGGUGCAGCAAGGAUGUGAGGAACCCUCUCGGAUAGAGAGAUUGCUGACCUACUGGGUAAGCGGUGUGAUGAUCCUUGGAUAGAGAACUUGCUCCACCAGAGUAAAUCUGACAGAUGCCGAGCUGGCGGCGGGCACCAAGUCGAAGUCCACUGACAUGCUCCUGAAGCGAAGCUGGAUCGGGUUGGUGAGAAAGUCCUUCAUGCUCUCAGGGAAAGUAAUGCCGGGGCGGGAUGCAAUCAAGCUCGCUAGGGAGGAUCUCACAAUCAUCCCUACCUGGCGCGCCAACUAUUGGAUUUAUAAGCCCGAUAGUCCACCAGGGGGUUACCCAAGUUGUUGAUUUGUAGGUGAGGGCGAUUGCGAAACCAAGAACUCUAAGGUGAUCGUGAAAACACGAAGGGACACGAAGGUUUUAGAUAGGUUGGAACCUCCGAAGAGUAAUACCCUACGUCCUGUAUGCUGGUUUGUAUUGCUUGAGAUUGAUAUGAUUGUUGGGAUACCCUUGGGGGUGCCCUUGGCCGCUUUAUAUAGGCUGACGAUCAAGAGUUACAAGUCAGUUUGAAUCUAAUCUACUCGAUAGUUACAUGGAAAGUAAUCUGAGUAGGACUAUAAUACGCGUUCCAUGAUAUUCGGCAUGUUUGAAUUGUCUUGUUGCUUUGACGUGCACUCCAAGUAACUUCAUGUCCUCAGCCCGUACGCCUUGGUCGAGUGGGCCCUACUUGUCAGGUAUGACCAGUAUCCUGAGGUACCCAUAUCUCUCACCUUGGUGCUCCGGCGAUUAGGGUCGGCAACGAGGAUGGGGAUUGGAAGAGGAGAUCGAGGGGACUUUAUGGAGAUGCUUACCGGCGGCGAGGUGGACGGAUUCCGGCUAGAAUUUGGCUGGCGGUGGAAGAACACGGCAACUGGCUCAGGUCUUCGCGAGUGAUGGUACUCCGGCGGUGGAGCGGCGACGAAGAAUGGUGGCAGAGCUGCUCCUCGAUGUCACGGAGCUCCCUAAGGCUCUAGCUUUCUUCGAUAGUCGACGGGCAUAGUGAAUCGGCCAGAGAAGGCUAGCAGCAGCUCCUAGCUCCGGCGGAUGUGGGGGAUGGCGGCGCUCGUGCAAGUAGGGAAGAGCGGCGGUGUGAGGCAGGGCAGUAGCAGGGGCACUGUCUCGACUUUUAUAGGUGUGUGGGUCCGCGCCUGCCUUGGCACGCACGCCGAGGUUCGGCGGUGGCGACGCCCAAGUGCAGCUACGCUUGGCCUUGACCCGCUAGUGGCCGAUGGGCCUAGCGAGCCUAGCCGAGCCAUCAGCUGGGCCGAGUCGGUGCAGGUUGGCUGGAGAGGGUCGGGCUACAAAGACUUGGCCCGAUCGAUUAGGAUUUUGCUUUUUUAGAAAUGAUUUCUCAUGAAAGAAAAAUCUAGAAAAAUUCUAGAUAAUUAAUUUAAAUAACGAAAAAAACCCUAAAAAUCCAAAAUUCCAGGAAAAAUCCUAGAGAUAGUUUGGGACAUGAGGAGUCCAAAUAAAAUACUUGGAGCUCAUGAAAAGGAUUCUAGAACCUUCCAAAAAUUGGAUUUAGCUAUAGAAAAAAUGAGAAUAAAUCUCAAAAAAUCUGGAAAUUCUCAUAAGAACCUAAUCGGCAUCUAAACGCAUUCCAAAAUAUUUGCACUUAUGAAAUACCAAGAUGCAUCGGUAUGAAUGCAACACAUACGGAGAACCAUUAUAUUUAAUUCAGAAAAACACUCAAUUAUUUCCCUAUACUAAAUUUCCUGUCAAGAAAAUAAAUGUUGGAAAAAUUUUAAAAUUAUGAGAAAAACAUUGUUUAAUUAUUAUUUUUAAUCUGAAAGUUCAAAAAUUUUAAGGUGUGGCAGAUACCCUCAGGUUUACAGAAUUUGACAUCCAUGUGCAAAUUGGAUGUAUCCUUCAAUGAUCUGCAAGGUGAAGUGCCAAUAGGGCUUUUUUUUUGCAAAUGCAUCUUACAUGUCGGUUUAUGGAAAUGAUCAGCUUUGUGGUGGAAUACGUCAACUUCAUUUAGCUCCAUUCUCCAUGUCCAGUGCAAAAAAGAAAAAAAAGGAAAUUUGUCGAAAACCCUUGUGAUCACCCUAACAUCAAUCAGUGCAGUUGUAUUCUCAGUUUCAGUACUUGCUGUAAUUGUGUUGAUCUGUAAGAAGCUUAGGAAAAGGCAUGAAAGUCAACUCAUAUCCACAACUGAGGAACGGUAUGAAAGAGUUUCUUAUCAUGCUUUGUCAAAUGGGACCAAUGGAUUUUCAGAGGACAAUUUACUUGGACAAGGAAGCUAUGGCAUGGUUUAUAAAUGUACUUUACAUGACCAGGGUACUACUGUAGCUGUAAAGGUGUUUAACAUAGAACAAUCUGGGACUUUUAGAAGUUUUGUCGCUGAAUGCGAGGCACUCAGAAGGGUGCAUCACCGUUGUCUCGUAAAGAUCAUCACUUGUUGCUCAAGCAUCAAUCACCGGGGUCAAGAGUUCAAGGCACUAGUUUUUGAGCUCAUGCCAAAAGGUAGCCUAAAUGGUUGGCUUCACGCAGAGUCUGACACACUUACCCCGACAGAUACUCUGAGCCUUGAACAAAGGCUACACAUUGCUGUCGAUAUCAUGGAUGCUUUGGACUAUCUUGAUAAUCACUGUCAGCCAUCAAUCAUUCAUUGCGAUCUCAAGCCAAGCAACAUCUUUCUUGCGGAAGACAUGAGUGAGUGCCCGAGUUGGAGGUUUUGGCAUAUCAAGAAUCCUUCCAGAAAGUGCUAGUAAAACCCAGCAAAAUUCGAAUAGCACAACUGGAAUAAGAGGCACCAUUGGUUAUGUUGCACCAGGUAAUGAAAGAGAUGGUUUUGGUAUUUGAAAAAUGUUCUUAGUUCUUAUGUAUACAUGAGCUGCUGACCUUUGGCUUUUUUUUUUCCAAUAAGAGUAUGGUGAAGGUUCUUCUGUCUCAACUCAAGGUGACGUUUAUAGCCUCGGCAUAUUGCUGCUUGAGAUGUUUACUGGAAGGAGCCCAACGGAUGAGAUAUUCAAUGAUUCUUUGGAUUUGCACAAGUUUUCAGAGAAUGCUCUUCCAGAGAGAAUAUGGGAUAUAGUUGAUCCGACAAUAUGGAUGCACACAGAUGCCUAUAACAGCACUAUAAGAAGUGGAAUUAAGAAUUGCUUGGUUUCUGUUGUUUCUCUUGGAAUAUCAUGCUCGAAGAAACAACCUAGGGAGCGGAUCCCGAUUCAGGAUGCAGCCAUUGAGAUGCACGCUAUUAGAGAUUCGUAUCUCAAGUUUGCCAGAUCUCUUUUGGUGGAGCAUGGAGUAGUAGCAACAACUCACAGUGAUUUCCCACAACAGUGAAUACAUAGGACUGAAAAUGGGCAAGAUGUCUGCAGGUGAUCAGUUUACCUGAAAUAACUGAAGAUGUAUGAAGCUUCAGCUUUAUAAUUCGUCCUUGCAUUUGUUUGCAUCAGAUAUAUGGAAGUAUAAAAUAAGUUUAGAAAAUGUUUCAAAAUAGAUUAGAUCAAGAGGUUUUACUUGUCGUCUGUAUGACACAUUUUUUGUAGAGAAUUCAGUAAUAUGUAUGAUUCAUAAUACAAUCAAUGCUCUGCAAAUUUCAGAUAGCACAAUUGGAAUAAAAAGCUCAUUCAUUGAUUAUGUUGCUCUAGGUGACUCAACUUAUUGUGAUGUUCACUGUAGAUUUCUCCAUGGUCCAAACGACCAUUGUGAUCAGUUAUGUUUAUGCAUUUUGUAGACUUGUUAAGUCUUUCCCUAACUUGCUGACAUAUCAGCCGGAGCAGAGCACUCUGCCAUUCUGCGCCACUCGCCUCUAGGCGGCGCUUGCCGCUUGGUGGCUGCGGUGGCGACCGGCGGCAUCCGUACCUGCUCUGUCGGAGGCUGAGGGGCACAAUUACGUCUUGGAGUCGCCACCGCGCGACCUUCGGAGCUCGCCCAUGCCUCGUCGGUACGAGCUCAGUCGCGCGGUGAAUGGCAUGCGCAUCUGGGGUCCCGUCAGCUGCAGGUGCAGAUGGGUAGAGAGCUUAGCUGCGCUAGGUCUUCAGAAGAUGUUGAGUGGGCUGGAUGGGGCUUUGCGGCUCUGAAUGGCGACGCGGGCAGGACGACGACGCUGGACGCGUGGGGAGGAGACGACCUGAACCAGGGGCAUUUCGGAUAAUAGUCGGAUCGCGAUCAAUAAUCGCAAUCCAAAUUAGGGGGCUAUUUACAAAUAAUAGGGGGUAUUCCGUAAAUAUUCGGUUCGCGAUCAUUAAUCGCGAUCCAAAUGAGGGGUUAAUUGAAAAUAUGAUGGGGGUGUCUUUUGAAAUUCCGGAUUGCGAUCCCAUCCUCCGCCGCGGCUCGCCGGAGCGCCGCCAGACGCCGGCCGUCCCUUGGGGUACCUCUUCUUCGUUCCGUCUGUCGGAGCCCUAAGACGCGGUCGGUGUUUUAUCUGACAAGGAACCCUGAAGUCCGAACUAACUGAAGAAAGACAUGAUGCUGACCUGGAAGAAGAAGACGGCCUCGCCAUGGCCGGAUGCGGCGCGGUGGAAGGACAGUGUGUUGGCGGAGCGGAUGUUGUCCGACGUGAACUCGCCAGCGGCGUGGUCCACCACAUUCCGUCGACGGGCGGUGCACUUGCUGUCGCCUGUCGGCUACUUCCAGGCAGUAGCUGAGCUUCAGAGUUCAGACAGGGUGCUUGUGCUUGCAACAAGUUCAGAACGAUGUCAUUGCUUUGAUGCAGAGGAUGGAGCAAACCGGUUGCAAAUUGGAUUCUGAUACAUAUAACUUAAUAUUGAACCUUUAUGUCGAUUGGAAAUAUGAGAAGGGGUGCCCCAAAUAUGGGAUGAGAUGGAGAGGAGUGGAUCAGGCCCAGAUCAACGAUCAUUUACUAUUAUGGUUCAUGGUCUUCAUUCCCAAGGAAAGCUUGAUGAGGCUCAACAAUGAAGUCAAGAGGGUUGAUCCCUGAACCAAGGACCAAGAUACUGGUGAAAGCUAUACAUAUGAAGAAAGAUGGGGCUGUCACAGAAGAUCAGUCUGUAAAUAUGACAGGGAAGAAUCUAAAACUGGAUCCACGAUCUAGACUAUUCCAUGUUCAUAAAUAGUUUGCUGUCAGAUCUUACUUCUAUAACCUGAACAGAGGAUUGCUGGGCACGUAUUAUGUGUCAAAAGAAUCUCUUCUACCAGUGUCCUGAUCACAAUGGCCACACCUUGGGCUACAAUAAAUCAUCAGCAAAGUGUGUUGGCAUUAUGUAUCCCAGAAAGUUUUGCUCAGACUUUCAAUGCCAGGGUAUGUUUUUUAUGUCUGAUAUGGAUCAAUUAUAUUGCAAGUACUGUAUUACACCCUCGUAUUAUGAAGGUUAUGUGAAAUAUGACAGAUGUUUGUUUAUUCAUUUGUUAUGCAUGGCUGUGUCUACUAUCUAGUUGUUGGCUUGUUGCCAACAUAUGCAGCAGCAGGUAGCUUCAGCCGCUCAGAAGCCCAAAUGAAGAAUGGUCCAGGCAGAAUAGCUAGUCUAGACCCAGAAAGCUUAGGACAUGUCUUGCCAGCCUGCAGUUUUGUACUCGUAGCACCAACCAUCUCCGGGUUCUGGCCGGUUAUAUACAUGGUCUGGAAUGGGCAUCCGCUGAUCGAUUGAAACCUUGAACUGCUUCCGUGUUUGUCUUUUACCAUCUAUAUAGUAUGGUUAGUCAACGGCAUGCAAUACACCCAUGCAUAUGAUUGCAGUAGGAUGACAUGGCGUGACCAGAACCCUUCUUUUGCCAGUUUUUUAUUCUUAUACACGGCCAACAACAGGGAGUUGCCGAUUGCAAUACACCCAUGCUACUAACGCAGCAGGGAGUUGCAUGCUAAGCAGUUCAGCGUAGGUGGUGAGUUCUCAACUCUGAUAUGGUUUAUGGAAGAACACUGUCACGGUGUCACCUAGCCGGUUGGAGGCCAACCUCUUACUAGGGACAGCAAUGGCCCUGUCCACUGUUUCGUGGCUGGUAUUAUUACCCCUAUGCAGUGAAUAUGACAUGUGGAUCUAUGUGUAUAUUAUGUCGCCAGAAGAACAUUAUAUGAACCGUUGAGCCACCUUUGAUUCUAUUAAUGUGUCAUGGUCAAUUGAUGUCAAACUCUAUUAUCUUCAAGUCUUAUUGUAUUGAUAAAAUCACGAUGCUGCUACUGCCAUUUUGAUGUUUAUAAAAGGGUAUUGAGAACCUGGUGGGUAUCCAUUCGAUGCGCAGGGGUGAGGGUGGGGAAAAAUGAGUGUAAAGGACAGGGAUACAGUAUUUAGAAAGAUGGGGCUGCCACAGAAGAUAGUCUCCAAGUACGGCAGGGAAGAAUCUAAAAACUGAUUCCUUGAUCAAGACUGUCCCGUAUUCAUAAAUAGUUCACUGACAGAUCUUGCUUCCAUAUUCUGAACAGCUGAUGCUGGGUACAUAGGAGGUUAACCGGUCAGCGGAUCGAAGGAAAAAAAAAUCUUGCCUGUCAGUGUCCACAAUGGCCUCAUCUUGGGUUAGAGACAAUCAUCCCUAAAGAAUCAUAUUGCCGGAUAAGGUUAUCAGUGAUUGGUAGGUGCAGAUCCAUGCUCAUCCUAGAAACAAGCCAGGGCUGAAUGCGCCACUCAUUUUAGGUGCUUGGAUGUUGUGACCGAAAUGAUCGUGUGUUUAAUGGAGUUUCCCAUAGUGACUAGCGUACAGGCUGUCCUCGUAUUCGAGAAAAAAAAUAAUGGGCGAAAUGUUUUCACCCAGGUAAUUGUUGCAUUGUAUGAAUAGGCUUAGUGGUUGGUGGGUGCAGAGUAUGAAUGUGCUUGUACUGUGACACAAGAAGAUUUAUCAUAUCUAUGUAUGAAUUAGUAUUAAAUCUGCUACAUAAAUAUCUUCUCUUAUCUCAUUGUAUGUGUAUAUAUGACACAGAAGCACAUGUAUAUCAGCAUUGUAGAGAGAGAUGAGAGAGAAGCUUAUCUGCUUUUUGGAGAUAAAUAUUCAAAUUGUGGUGUAUGAGAAGGAUAGAAUUAUUCUAUCAAAUUGUUUAUUCAACAUCUAAAAAGAUUCCAUGUUUAGUCAUCUAUAUCGGCAUUGUAGAGAGAGACUAGUGUUCAACUGGUUGGAAGGAUGAGAGAGAGAGGAGAGAGAGAGGAUGAAUAGUGUUCAGCUGGUUGGAAGGAUGAGAGAGAGAGAGGAGAGUUUCGAUGAUAGAGAGAUUAGUGUUCACCUGGUUGGAAGGAUGAGAGGGAGAUGAGAGAGUUCGGAUGAGGAGGUGGAGAGUUCGGAAGAGAGAGAGGUGAGAGUUCGGAUGAGAGAGAAACAGCUUAGAAGGAUGAGAGAGAGAAAGUGAUAUUUAGCUGGAUGGUGGAGACUUCAUAUAUUACUAACUAGCAAGGUGUCCGUGCGUUGCUACGGUGAAACGACGUUGCUUAGCACGCGAUGUUUUUUAUCGUGUCGUGUAGCGCACCAUAUUUUUUAUCGUGUUGUGUAACUUUUUUAUUUUAGUAGUAUUAGACUUUUCAUAUAUAAAGGGUCACGUGAGUGUGUCCAUAUCCCAACCGUGCGGAAACCGCUUGCCAUCGAACUUGUUAUCUCUUUCUCUAUCUUGAGAUUGGUAUGCUUCUACAGCAAUUCUGCACAAAGAAGGCCCCACUUCGCCCCGUUCCCGCCGUCCGGUUAGUCCCACGCCUACCCUCUCCCUCUCUGAUCCUCGCUGUCGGCUCCUCGAGGUCCAGGUCGGGCUUGUGAUGUAGCGGCCUGUUAUCCUUCCACCAUUGGAAGCGGGUAGUGAUCGCUGCUCUGUGAACCCUGCCUCACGCCGUUCCUACCACUCCAGGUCCAGUGAAGCCUGAGCUUUCGCUUGGACAAACAGCCACUACCAACUUGGAACGGGCAGGGCCAGCAAGGGCAUACAAUGGACCCAAGCCCUCCGCACCCAAACAUCCACACCACUUUAAUGCCUCCACUUGGGUUACAAGCCCGCGCAACCAAGCUCGGUGAGGAUGACUCGUGAGGAUGAACAUUUAAGUUGGUGUGGCGCUGCUUCAGAUGGCGAGGUGGUACUAAUCUAAGGAAUAGGAAAAUUUCACAUGGGUCCCACACCGCACCCAGCCCUAUCCUUAUCCUUUCUCAUCUCUCUAUCGUCCGUCCGGUCCUUAUCCUCUUCAUCUCAUCUCUCUCUCUCUCCCUAUCUCUCUCUCAAACUCUCUAUCUCGCCUACCCCCUCUUUCUCUGGAGAAGGCGGUGCACGGCUGGCCCCAGUGAUGGCCUGGGGGCGCGGGGUGCCAAUAGCGGCCGAGGGUUGUAGGGCUGCGGCGAGGAGCCUCCCAGCCGUGGAUGCGACGGCCUAGCCAUGGGCACCGGGCAGGCGGCUCUGGCACGACCGGCUGGGGCGGGCAGGGAGAGGCGAACAGCAGUGCUACGACGUCACGAAGAGGCGGACGUCGGGCAUGGGCGGGUGAAAGGGGAGACGGGGAAAGAAAGCUAGACCCACCUAUCAAUGCGUUAAUCUUACCUAUUAUUAAACAUCAGGGCCACCUCUCGUUGAUAGAAGUUGGACCAAACAAGAAAAAGUGGGCAGAAGUGUUCCUCACUUUAAUAAUAAUAAUAAUAAAGUAUAGAUAAUGCAUCCAAACAACAUUCGAAAUUUAAUUUUAAAAAAAACUUUCUCGGUACAUCCAAACAAGAAAAUUCAAUUGAAUUAAAUUCUACUAAAUCCAUUUCUUAUGGAAUCUAAUAGCUAGAAUAUGAUUCAUGGGAUGAGUUUCAACUCUAGGGAUCUAAACAUGCCCUUAGUUAUUUCUUAUGUAGCUCAAAUCAGAUGCAAGGUAUGUCCUAACUAAAAAACGUAAGUUACUUUGUGUUAUCUCGUGAAUCAGUGAUUAAUUACUUCCGAUCACUAGUAGAGAAUUGGCUUUCGAUGCGCCCCCUUUUGUCCCGGUUUAAAGUUGGCCCGGGACAAAAGGUUCACCAACCGAGACUAAAGCUCGGUCACUGGUGGGGGGCUCACCAACCAGGACCUUUUAUCCCGGUUGGAAAGGCUAGUGGGAAAAAAAGAUCAUGAGAGGCUUUUUAUCCCGGUUUGAAACACCAACCGGGAUAAAAGACCCAUCUAACUAUAUAGGGGAUGUUACCAACCAGGAUAAAAAGGGUCGAGAGCCUUUUAUCCCGGUUUGUAAUACCAACUGGGAUAAAAGGGGGUCAUUUAUCCCGGUUGGUGUUUCAAACCGGGAUAAAAGGGUCCCAACGAGGUGACUGAAACAUGACUAAAUCCUGAACCCUUUUAUCCCGGUUUGUAAUACCAACCGGGAUAAAAGGGGGUCUUUUAUCCCGGUUGGUGUUUCCAACCGGGAUAAAAGGGUCCCCCACAAGUUAAUACAAAACGAUAACAUCCCCUAUAUAGUUAGAUGUGGUGUGUAGGUGGGAUGGCAAGGAAGCUACGCGCGAGGCUGGAGGUUGUGGGUUCGAAUCCCAUGCAGCGCGCACGCGCAUAUUUCGCGUGGAAAAUCGCGUGACUUGCGACGCGCGUGUGGGGGGCCUCCUGGGAGCUCGGAAUUUCUUUUUUUUGUUUUAUCCCGGAUGGAUUUUCGGAAGAUUUGCACCCUACCAAUCGGGACUAAAGGUCAAUUCUCUACUAGUGAAUCUUAUGUAAAAAGAACUACGAGUUAAAUUCUUUGUCAGAUUUAUACUGACAAGUUACAAGCACAUGCCUCUGCAGUAACAGGCCAGCCCUAGACUAGCGGGCAAACAAAAACAACAUGAUUCGUCAACUGAUCGAAUGUUAAUGACUAUUUUGCUAGGAGAAUGAACAUGAUUCAUAAAAAAAGGGGAGCUACUAACUUGGUCAAGGUCUCCGUCCUCUAGCGUGGCGAAGGGGCCAUCUUGCUCCACUCCACGUCUGCGUGGUUGCUAGGUGGGCGCGACGGCGGCUGCGGAGUGCGGACGGGCGCGUAGAUGUGUCAUUGUUGAUCAGGACAUGCGCUUCUAUCACCGUCUGUGGUUGGCGUCCGCGGCCGAGCGGGUCAAGGUCUCCGUCCUCUAGCGUGGGGAAACAGGAUCUCUUCAAUCAGUGCUUCUACAGAAACGGUGCACGGUCACCACGGACCAACGACAUACCAUGAGAAAAGCGGAGCUAAAUGUUGCAGUAGCAGAGUAACCGGAGACUGGAGAGCACUUGCUGCUAAAAGCUGCCUCUUAUUUUGUAUCGUCUUUAACAGAAGACUUUAAGUCAACCGCCAUUCGAUUCCAAUAUAAACUAGCAAGUUGGCCCGCGAUGAUAGCACGGCUAGAUUUGAUACAAUAUAACUUUUUUAAAUGCUAUGUUAGCUUAGUAUAUUUCUUCGUCCCUCUUGAUUUGUUUUUCAUCCUCUUGAAAUCACUUAGUAUACUUAGGUGCCUUACUCUACACAUUGAGUAUCAAGCCAUAUGUGUAUAUUUGUUUUUUUUUGCAAAUGAACUCCGAUGCCACAUGUGCAUAUGCACGCCUAAUUAAAAUUGCUCACUUGUAACAAAAUAACAAGAGUAGUUGAUUCUGAUCUUAUGUUGCAGUUUUUGCCAACUUUUCCUAGUAUUAUUGUGUUGAGUAGAAAGCCUGUGUAGAAAAAGAUACAAAACAAACAAUCGUGUUAACUACUCCCCAUACUUGCUCAAAUGAUUUUGAAAAAUAAAAACAACCGCGCUCUAAGUCCUAGGUGGUGAUAUUCCUCCUUACUUUCCUCCUCUCGUUUUCCUUGCACAAUCGAGGAUGACAAAUACCACAAACCACUUAGGCUCGAUCAUGUUUCAUCAUCACAUUCCUCAAAUCUUGAUCACGUUGUUGUCUUCAUUAUGCUAGCAGUACACAUCUCUCCGCCUCUUCUCACUGGUAGAGAAUUGGCCUUUAGUCCCGGUUGAUAGGGUGCAUAUCUCUCGGAUAUCCAUCCGGGAUAAACCAACCGGGACAAAAGGGAGGGUCUUUAGUCCCGGGUCUUUUAACCGGGAGUAAAGGUCCUCCUUUAUUUCCCAACCGAGACUAAAGGGUUACCCUUUAGUCCCGGCUGGAUUCCAACCAGGAGUCCCGGCUGGAUUCCAACCGGGACUAAAUGGCGCCUGCAUGGCACUGCCGUGGCGCCUGAAUUUUUCAUGCAUGCAUCACGUACGUAGUACCGCGACCCUUUUAAUUUGUUAAACUUUAGUAGUUGAGAUUUUUUUAGAACGAAAUCAACUAGUAUUUAAACGAAUGGGAUUUGUAAUUAUACAAUUACUAUAUAUGUACACAAUCCUUAUACACAAUUCAUAUACACAAUUCAACUAGCUUAGUACAAAUUGAUCAUAAUUAGCGCGUAUUAUAUAUACAAAUAAAUCAAAGUAUCUGUCUACAAUCUUCCCGUCGUGGUGUUGCUGAUCGGAGUGUCUAAUUGUCGUCCAUCGUAAUAAAAUUCUCCUUUUGGAUUUACCACCUUGUCCAUUAUGAAUCCAAUGAGACUUUCACAUAUUGCCGCUACUCUUUCUUCCUUCAAGAGUCCUUGUUGAAUAUUUAACAUCUAUAAUUUGGAAAUUUUUGAAUGUUACACGAACAAAUACAUAUAAGGAGCUAGAAAAUAAUUAACUAGUAAUAGUUUUAUUUUACGUACUUUAAAGUUGUGCGGCGUCAUCUUCGGUCCCUUGGGUCCCAUAAAACUGUGCAUGUGCUCACAGAUGUAGUAGCCACAUAGAUUAUUUCCGGGUUCCUGUCUUAAGCACUUCAGUGCGGAAAAAAAUAAGUUAUGAAAUAUUCGUAUUAUACAAUGUAAUAAAUGUGCAGACUUCAUACGUACCGGGAAGUCUGUGUUCCAUGUAAGUUUUUCUUUGAAUGGACCUUUGUGUGUCCUUAUGAAUUGUUUCCAUGCGCUGCAGAUUAGAAUAAUGAAUGAUAUAGUGUAACAGGAAUAAAAUUUAGGAAAUAAACUUUUGCAUAUAGAUAAAGGUACAGAAUUAUUACAAGCCUAGCAUGUCUUGCACUUCUUGGUAGUCCACCGGAUCUUUCCUUAACGAAUCGAAGACAGUGACGUGGCUUCUUUCAGGCUCAAUUAUAAUAAGAAUCCAGUGGAAGCUGCGUGCGUAAAAUGUUCAUGCAUAUUAGAGCUAACUAACAUGUAGAGAUAAGGAAAAAGACAUCGAAAGUAGACGGUAUACACACACUUACUUGAAGUUGUAUGGAAGUAGUAUGAAAUCCUUGAAUGUUUGUUUGUCUAGGAAAUUGUAUAUUUCCGCAAAGGUUUUUUCCGGUGCUAAUUGUGUCUGUUGUUGGUUAACUACAGAUGGAUCCAUGAAGCCUACAUGUAGGUACGCCUCUCGGCGGCAUGUCUGAAUUAGCAUCCUACAUGAAAUGGAAGAUGAAGUUAGUACGGUGACGCAUGCCAAAAUUUACAUGUAGAGAUAAACGGACACUUACAGAACCUAAGCGCUGAUCAGAGAGACGUCCAGGGCAUCAUGAUGGUACACUUCGUAUAUAUCCUUGAAGUCUAGCCACAGCACUUUCUCCCCUUCACCGUGAAAAUCUAUCGGUUUUACCUUCAUGCCGAUCAUCUCCCUCGAGUCGGCGGAUGCCAUCAUGUACCAUUGAUGGAAUGCGUACAUCUUUGUUGAUAGCUUCCGUACCAAUGAAGGCUUUACUAGAGGUUUGCCUAGCUCAUAAGGCCAUCUCAGCUCAGGGGGCGGUGCAGUUGGCGUCUCAACUUGCCCUAUGCAUUCAUCAAGUCCCAGACCUGUUUCUUCCAUGAACUUCAAUACAUUUGCUUGUUGAUCCAAGGGCAUUGCUUUUACCCGUUGAGCAUCUUUUUUUGAUAAAUGGCUGAGGUCGGGGACUGGACCGCUGGAAGAUGACUUUCCUUUCCUUUUAUCCUUUUCAUCAGCCUUUACUAGAGCCCGUUCAUAGUUUGACAAGAGUGGUAUCCUUUUCUUGGCUCCUUCUUCUAUCCUGAUAAAAAAGUUUAAAUCUCGCCGACUUACUGGCGGUGGCUCCAUCUCCCUUACUUUUUUUUCUUCGGCUUGUUUCUUGAACCACUCACUGGCCUCUCGUUGGAUUUCUGCCCACUGUUCCGCAUGAGACAUUGCCUCCCAGCGUUCCUUACGAGUCACUUCAGGCUCCUUUGUUUUCUUCUUUCUCUGUCUUUGCUUGGGAGGCGGUGCUCGUGACUUCUUUAGUGGUGGUGCAGGUUCCUUCAAGGGGGCCGCUCUUGGUGCCGGCGACGGUGAUCGGGGAGGGGUGUUGUUAUUGUCGUCGUCGCUCCCAGCACCAGGAUGUAGUGGAGAUGGAGACCUUGAUAUAGAUGGAAGGGACGGUCCUGGAGCAGGAGAUGACGGUCUCGAGGUAUGAGGAGAAGGUCGCUGCUGGGGAUCUACGGGGAGCGGUCUUAAGGUCUGAGGAGAUGGCUCCGUGCUGGGAAUAAUGAUGUAGCGUUUUUGCCAUAGAAUAAUCCCAUGAAGCGCAUCUGCCAAUGUCUUUUCCCCGUCGCCUCCCGGGAAGUCGAGCUCUAGACCUUCAUACUAGGGAUCAACUAUUUGCUCUACGCAGACGCUGGCGUAGCCUGUUGGAAUUUCCAUGCCAUGACUGCUCUGCCCCGCCAGGGUUGCUAACGCACUCCCGUACGCUACCUGUACAUAUAGCAGAAGUAAACAAGUUGAACUCCGAUCUCGAGGCCUGGAUCAAUUGACAAGAUUGCAUAAAUAUUAUGUAUAAGUAUACCUUAAUAGUGAGGUUGCCGACCGGUGCAUGCAGCUCACAUGAGGUCCGUUGUGUGAUGGCAUCCACGGGGAACCGUUGCUCCUCCACGGGUAACCUGGGCGUCUGCGCAUCGGGGACCCCUGUAGAAGCACAACUGCUCAAGAGGCGUUGAGAAGGGCUGGCGGUGUUAGGAAUCGGCAAUGCUCCAGAUUGGGCCAACUCCGCAACUGCGUGGGCCACCCGCCGAUUGGUUUCAUCCAUCAUUCUUUGUUCUUGUGCCUGCACUUUAGAUUCUAGCAUCUGCCGCCAGCUCUCCUCGAUCUGUUCCUUUCUUCGCUUCCGGCUUCUGUACGAGGUGCUGUCGCCUCGGAAAGCAAACUUCCACGGAACCACCCCGAACCCUCGGCAACGUCCUGGGUGUUCUGGAUUACCGAGGGCCAAUGUGAGCUCAUCAUUUUCUCGGUCCACCUUCAACCUCCCAGCCUUAGAAUCUUCAAUGUUCUUCAUGAGAUGUUCGGCCUUCUCACGUAUUGUGUCAUUAAAAAUCAACGUCCCAUCCUCUUGGCUUAGGGAGCCUCCAUGAGCGUAGUACCAAUUUUUUGAUCGUUCGGGCCAUUCAAUAGUUGCAGGUACGAUUCCCCGUUCGAUCAGAUCUUGUUCCAUCUUCCUCCACUUGGGAAUUGCUGAGCCAUACCCACCUCGCCCCAAAUGAUGGUGGUAGCCCUUCUGACUAGCAUUUGCUGUGUUGGUCGUGAUCUUUUUCACACCGUCUUCACUCCUCUUAUAUUCAACAAAUGCAUCCCAGUGGUCCCUCAACUUUGGCCACGCGUUGAAGUCUAGAGUUCGGCCCUUCUUGAUGUAGUGGGUAUCCAGCAUCUUCUUGAAUGUCUGGAAUUGAGUAGCCAUCUUCUUAAGCGUCCACGCUUUGACAUCCUUCUCACUAUAUCCUUCGGGGAAUGUGAAAUGUCUCUUCACGUCUUCCCACAGCAUAUUCUUUUCUGUCUCCGGAAGGGCGUACGGAUUAGUGCUUCUGCCCUUCCAUUCUCUGAUGCUGAUAGGCACGUUGUCCCGGACGAUUGCCCCGAUCUGACUCACGUACUUCUUUGCUACUUUCUCGGGAGCAACCGGCCUGCCCUCUUCUGUCACUUCCGUGAUGACAAGCCUCCCUUCCAUCACCUUUGUACAACCUUGGGUCUUCUGCCCUUGUGUCGAUCCGGAGGGCUAACAUUUUAAGAUUCGUUAAUUAGUACGUAGUAGUAACAGUGGCGUGAAACAAUACAAGAAUGGUUAUAUAUACCUCGCCGGAACCUUCCGCCACGGCAAGUUGUUGCUGCGGCUAAUGCUCUUCAUUCCCAUCGGUGGACAUGUUGAGGAACAUGUCCGCCUGGGUGCCCUCUUCAUCCGUGUAUGAUAGUGGAACGUUCUCGCCACUACCAUCACCAGCGAUUAUCUGCUCCAUGAUAUACCUUGCGGUCUCAUUGUCUGCCAUUUCAACUAUUGAUGGAAACAUACAUGGAAUCAUACAUGACAGUCAUAGAAAUCGUCUUACUACAAAUUUCUACAAAGUCCUACAAAGUCCGGAAUCAUACAUGUAUAUAAUGAAAUCAUAAAAUAACAUGAAUCCUACAAAGUCCGGAAUAUUUCUACGAAUUUCUACGAAUUUCUACGAAUUUCUACGUUCUAUGAAUUUCUACGAAUUUCUACGAAUAUCCACAUGCGGUGCCUAGGUUGUGACGGCGGCGAUCAGGGCGGCGGAGGCGGGGACGGUUCCCUGGAACCACGGGCGGUGCCUAGGUUGUGACGGCGGCGGUCAGGGCGGCGGUACGGCGGAGGCGGGGACGGUUCCCCGGAACCACGGGCGGUGCCUACUAGGUUGUGACGGCGGCGAUCACGGCGGCGGGACGGCGGAGGGGACACAUAUACAAAAAUAUAACUUAAAAAAAAUCUAACUUAAAAAAAAAUCUAACUUAAAAAUCUAACUUAAAAAUCUAACUUAACAAUCUAACUAAAAAAUCUAACUUAAAAAUAUAACUUAAUUUUCUAACUUAACAAUCAAAAUUAAAAAUCUAUCAUAAAAAUAUAACUUAAUUUUCUAACUUAAAAAAAAAGCCCUCCCAAUGCUGCCGGCCGGCGCGGCGGCGGACCUCUCGCGCGCGGUCGUCGACGGUGGCCGGGGCGACGAGGGGGCCGGGCGGCGGGACGGCGGCGGCCGGUGCGGCGAGGACGGCGGCCGAGGCGACGACGACGGCGGCGGCGUAGGCGGGACGGCGGCGGCGUAGGCGGGACGGCGACGAGGGGCGACGAGGCGGUGACGAGGAUGGAGGCGGUGACGAGGAUGGAGCCGGCGACGAGGAUGGAGCCGGUGGCCGGAGGCGACGAGGUGGGGGCCGGGCGCGUCGACGGACGAGGAGGAUCGAGGCGGGCCGGCCGGGGGGAUGGAGGACGACGAUGUCUGGGCGCGAUCGGCGGCAGGACGACGACAAACGGCGCAAUGGGGGAUGACGACGGCGGCGGCCGGCGAGGGAGGCGGACGGGCGGCGACGGCGGAGCAGAACGCGUGGAACUUGGCGAAAAUUUUGCUAAGUGUAACUGGCGGGGGGUAGAAGGGAGUACAGUGCCUUUUAAACCCCCCCCUUAUCCCGGUUCGUAAUGGUACCCGGGACAAAAGGGUGCCCCCGCCAGGUGGGGCUGGGAGCGUACCCUUUUAUCCCGGGUGCCACCACCAACCGGGAUAAAAGGGGGGGGGCCUUUUAUCCCGGUUGCAGUUGGCAACCGGGAUAAAAGGGUACGUCCGGGCGGGAGACGAAAAGUACCCUUUUAUCCCGGUUGCCGUUUGCAACCGGGAUAAGCAACCGGGAUAAAAGGGGGCCUUUUGUCCCGGUUGCUGUUAGCACCCGAGACAAAAGGUCUUUUUUCCUAGUUUUCUUCUCCCGCCUGUUUUUUGAAAUGGAUUUUAUUUUAUCUUUUCACUACAUUUCAGGAUGAAAAACAAAACCUUCACAGAUUUUGUACAUGCAAAAAUAUAUUUAAUUAACAAGUAAAUUGACAAUAAGUAUGAAUUAAUCAUUAAUUCUAUACCAGUUCAUUUAGCCUCUAAAAUAUUUAUUUUACUGCGUUGCUGUGAUUAAGAAAUUAUUCAAUUAAAUAAUUUCAAUGCGUAGAAAAAUCCAUGUUUGUAUGUGGUUAACAUUGUUCAUGUUUAUCUAAAAAAUCUUCACCUAACAAAUUUAAGAACACAUGAAAUCAUACAUAGGGUAAAAUUACAAAUUGUAUCGAUUAAUACACAAAGGUCAUGUACAUUUAACGCAUUACAAUACAACGUUGUAAAAUUUCUUCUUCACGAAAGUUCCUUGAUCAUGAUCGCGACGUAAGUACGGAGCCUCUUCUUUGGAUAGCAGGAUGCUUGGAUCAACUUCAACAGCGAAUGGAGGCAUGCCAUCAAACUGAUCAUAAUCAUCUGAUUGGUCUGUUUUAUCCUCGACUCCCACGAUUUUUCUUUUACCUGGAAGAACUAUGUGGCACUUUGGCUCCCAUGUCUCUUCUGGAUUCCUCUUGGGUUUGCUGCACAUGUCCUUCACAUAGAACACCUGAUCCACAUCAUUGGCAAGUACGAAUGGGUCAUCACUGUAUCCAGUCUUGCUCAGAUCUACUAUUGUCAUUCCAUACUGAUCUUUGGUGACGGUAGUUAGCUUCACCCAAUUGCAAAGAAAUAGAGGGAUGUACAGCGGUCCGUAUUCGAGUUCCCAUAUCUCCUGUAUGAAACCAUAAUACGACUCCUUGCUAUUAUUUCUGUCCAUGGCAUCUAUGCGGACACCACUAUUCUGGUUUGUGCUUUUCUGGUCCUGGGCUCUCGUGUAAAAUGUGUAACCAUUUAUCUCAUAGCCUUGGAAUUUGACGAUUGUGCUAGCAGGUCCCCUGGCUAACUAGGCAAGCUGUGGGUGAAUCUCAGAGUUAUCCAUAAGUUGUUGGCGCAACCAGGAGGGAAAAGUUUCCAUGUGAUGACGGGUAAGCCAAGCAUCGGAUUUGGUCGGGUUUUUUGAAGCUACUAUCUGUCUGUGCUGCUCGAUAUACGGAGACACAAAGGAUGACUGUUGUAGAACAGUGUAGUGUGCCUUGUCGAACAAAUCAGUAUCAUUGCUCAAACUUGAUUUCCUUCCAAGGGUGCCCAUUCCUCGGAGCCUCCCCUCGUGGCGUGAAGUUGGAACCCCAAUCGAGUCAAUUGAAUCAAUAAAAUCAACACAAAACUCGAUCACCUCCUCUGUUCCAUAUCCCUUGGCGAUGCUGCCUUCUGGACGGGCACGAUUAAGAACAUAGUUUUUUAGGACUGCUAUGAACCUCUCGAAAGGCCACAUAUUGUGCAGGUAUACAGGUCCGAGAAUACCAAUCUCUUUUACUAGGUGAACCAGUAAGUGCGUCAUAAUAUUGAAGAAGGAUGGUGGAAAUAACAACUCAAAACUGACAAGACAUUGCACCACAUCGUUCUGUAGCUUUGAUAGCUUGGAUGGAUCGAUUGCCUUCUGCGAAAUCGCAUUGAGAAACGCGCAUAGCUUUACGAGCGGCAACCGGACAUUUUCUGGUAGAACACCCCUCAAUGCAACCGGAAGCAACUGGGUCAUCAACAUGUGGCAGUCAUGAGCCUUGAGAUUUGUUAACUUAUUUUGUUUCAUAUUUAUUAUUCCAUUUAUAUUCGAGGAGUACCCAGACGGGACCUUCAUACUAUUCAAGCAUUCAAACAUGCUAUCCUUCUCUUCCUUGCUGAGAGUGUAACUGGCAGGACGUAAGUAGUGCUGUCCAUUAUCUCUCUUUUCCGGAUUUAGGUCAUCUUGUUGCCCCAUGGCUUUCAGGUCCUGUCGUGCUUCCAAUAUAUCUUUUGAGGUUACAUAAACACCCAUGAAGCCUAGCACGUUCACGCAAAGAUUCUUCGUCAGGUGCAUCACGUCUAUUGCGUUGCGAACCUCUAGGAUUUCCCAAUAAGGUAGCUCCCAAAAUAUUGACUUUUUCUUCCACAUGGGUGCAUGUCCGUUAUCGUCGUUCGGAACAGGUUGGCUACCAAGUCCCUUUCCAAAGACUACAUUUACAUCCUUCAUCAUCUCGAACACACGCUUUCCAUUACGGUGUGCAGGUUUUUUACGAUGGUCUGGCGCCCCUUUGAAAUGCAUCCCGCUCUUUCUCAGCUGGUGGUGAGCAGGGAGAAAUCGACGAUGACCCAUAUAGACGACCUUCUUACAGUGCUUCAAGUACAUGCUGUCUGUGUCAUCUAAACAGUGGGUGCAUGCCCGAUAUCCCUUAUUUGUCUGUUCUGAAAGGUUACUCAAUGCAGGCCAAUCGUUGAUGGUUACGAACAACAAUGCUCGUAGAUUAAAGAUCUCUUGUCUAUCCUCAUCCCACACACGUACACCUUCUUCCUUCCAGAGCUGUAAAAGGUCAUCAACCAACGACCUUAGGUACAAGUCAAUGUCAUUGCCGGGUUGUUUUGGGCCUUGGAUAAGCGCCGGCAUCAUAAUGAACUUCCGCUUCAUGCACAGCCAAGGAGGAAGGUUGAACAUACAAAGGGUCACAGGCCAAGUACUAUGGCCACUACUCAACUCACCGAAUGGAUUGAAUCCAUCAGUGCUUAAACCAAACCUUAUGUUCCUUGCUUCACUUUCAAAGUCUGGGAAUGUUCUAUCAAUUGAUCUCCACUGUGCCCCAUCUGCGGGGUGUCUCAGCAUCUCAUCUUCCUUACGGUCUUCUUUGUGCCAUCGCAUCAACUUAGCAUUCGCCUUGUUCCUGAAUAAGCGCUUCAAGCGUGGUAUUAUAGGGAAAUACCACAUCACCUUCGCGGGAACUCUCUUCUUGGGAGACUGCCCCUCGACAUCACCAGGAUCAUCUCGCCUGAUCUUAUACCGCAGGGCUUCGCAGACGGGACAAGCAUCCAAUUUCUCGUAUUCAUCACCACGAUAGAGGAUACAAUCAUUAGGGCAUGCGUGUAUCUUCUGAACAUCCAAUCCGAGAGGGCAAAUAAUCUGUUUAGCUUCAUAUGUUGUGGACGGUAAUUCAUUAUUCUCGGGGAGAAUCUUCUUGACAAUGUUCAACAUCCCCUGAAAUGCCUUAUCGGACACACUAUUUUUUGUCUUCCAUUGCACAAAUUCUAGUGUCGUACCUAGUUUUUUAUGGCCCUGCUGGCAACCUGGGUACAACAAUUUUUGGUGAUCAUCUAUCAUGCGCUGCAACUUUGCUACUUCCUUCUCAGUUUUGCAAUCUCUGUAUGCAUCUCGUAUCACCUGACGAAGGUCAUCAGUAGGGCCAUUUUCUGCAAACUCAUCUUCAUCAGCCUCGCCCAUUGUAGUACCUACAAAAGCUUGGCCUGCAACCCAGUCCGGAAUGGUGUCAUCUUCCUCCUCCUCCUCGCCAUCUUCCAUUACAACCCCUAGUUCACCGUGCUUGGUCCAAACCAAAUAGUUAGGCAUGAAACCGUAUUUAAACAAGUGGCUGUGAAUAGUCCCCCAGCUUUCCUUUGAAUACUCCUUCCUGUUAUUGCAUUGGAAGCAUGGACACAUACGAACCUAUUCUCUGGCUUGUUCGCUUUUGCCAUUUCGAGAAAAUAUGCAAGCCAUCAAUAAACGUCUUGCUCCGCCUGUCUGCNNNNNNNNNNNNNNNNNNNNNNNNNNNNNNNNNNNNNNNNNNNNNNNNNNNNNNNNNNNNNNNNNNNNNNNNNNNNNNNNNNNNNNNNNNNNNNNNNNNNAACAUAUUGAAGGAGAAGGACAUACCUCCUUCUCGUCGGUAAAUCACGCGGGUUAGCCUCUGAGCCAGGUAUAUUGUCCAGUCGAUGCAGAAGGGAUCACAGUUGUUACCUAAGUCUAGUUUAGCCGCGGAGCUCAGCUUCAACCCGGAUUAAAGGUGAACCACCUUUUAUCCCGGUUGGAGCCUCCAACUGGGAUAAAAGGGUCCCGCCACCAACAGCUCCCCACUAGCCGUUGCAACCGGGACUAAAGGGGGGCCUUUAGUCCCGGUUGCAAUUACCAACCGGGAGUAAAUCUUCCCUCCAUUUUUGCCUACCGUGGCGCACCCCCUUUUGUCCCGGGCCAACUUUAAACCGGGACAAAAGGGGACGGAUCGAAAACCAAUUCUCUACUAGUGUCUAUUCCACAAAACCAUAAUUGUUCACCGGCUCCAGCAUUGCUGUUGCUCUCCACCAAUGGAGGAAGCUCUUGUCCUUGGCACCACCUUAUCCACUGACCAGCUGAAGUUAUCUGUACGUCCUAAGGUCUCAUAAGAUUUUUGAUGAAUUUGCAUUAAUACUAAUAUUGCCACCAAUCUAGUCUCAACCUUGCCUCGUGUUCUCCGUGGUCAUGUUUUAUUCUAACUUGCAAGCCCUACAACUACAUAUGAUGGUUCUUCUAUAUGCAUAAUAUAUCGCAUCUCCUAAGACAUAUCGCGGGCCGGCGGCGCGCGGGGGAGCGGUGCCAGCAGAGCGGAGGCGACCGGCGGUGGGCAGAGGUGGGUGGGUGCGGGUGCGGGCGAAGGCGGAGGAGCAUGUGGGCAGAGGCGGGUGGGCGUGGGCGGAGGCGGAGGCGGAGGCUGGCGUGGGCGUGUGCGGAGGCGGAUGGGUGGAGGCAUGCAGCGGCGGUGGGCAGAGGCGGGCGGGCGCAGGUGAGUGGCAGCUGGGCCAGCGGCGUGGGCGGAGGCGGAGACCGGCAGCGGUCGGGCGGCGCGGGCGGGCGGCCGGCGAGCGUGGCGCUUCUUUUUUUUUCCAAAUUUUUUAGUCCCGGUUAGUGGUUGGUAACACCAACUAGGACUAAAGGGGGCCUUUAGUUCUGGGUGGAUGACCUGGAACUAAAGACCUCCUUUUUUAUCUCGAAAAAUUUAUCUCGGACGGCUUUUAGAGAGAUGUGAGCGUAUCCAAUUGGGACUAAAGGUGAGUUUUCCACCAGUGAAUGCAGAGCAGGCUCAUCCUAAAUGGUGACACCAUGCUGAUCACGCAAUUUAUCAUUAUUUUAUCGACCUCAUCCGUGUUUGUCUUUUACCAUCUAUAUAGUAUGGUUAGUCAACGGCAUGCAGUACACCCAUGCAUAUGAUUGCAGUAGGAUAACAUAGCGCGACCAGAACUGACGCAGUUUGCCAGUUUUAGAUUCGUAUACACGGCCAACUUACGCAGCAGAGAGUUGCAUGCUAAGCAGUUCAGCGUAGGUGGUGAGUUCUCAACUCUGAUAUGGCUUAUGGAAGAACACUGUCACGGUGUCACCUAGCCGGUUGGAGGCCAACCUCUUACUAGGGACAGCAAUGGCCCUGUCCGGCCACUGUUUCGUGGCUGGUAUUAUUACCCCUAUGCAGUGAAUAUGACAUGUGGAUCUAUGUGUAUAUUAUGUCGUCGAAAGAACAUUAUAUGAACCGUUGAGCCACCUUUGAUUCUAUCAAUGUGUCAUGGUCAAUUGAUGUCAAACUCUAUUAUCUUCAAGUCUUAUUGUAUUGAAAAAAUCACGAUGCUCUGCUACUGCCAUUUUGAUGUUUAUAAAAGGGUAUUGAGAACCUGGUGGGUAUCCAUUCGAUGCGCUGGGGUGGGGGUGGGGAAAAAUGAGUGUAAAGGACAGGGAUACAGUAUUUAGAAGGAUGGGGCUGCCACAGAAGAUAGUCUCCAAGUAUGGCAGGGAAGAAUCUAAAACUGAAUCCUUGAUCAAGACUGUCCCAUAUUCAUGAAUAGUUCACUGACAGAUCUUGCUUCCAUAUUCUGAACAGCUGAUGCUGGGCACAUAGGAGGUUAACCGGUCAGCGGAUCGAAGAAAAAAAAAUUCUUGCCUGUCAGUGUCCACAAUGGCCUCAGCUUGGGUUAGAGACAAUCAUCCCUAAAGAAUCAUAUUGCCGGAUAAGGUUAUCUGUGAUUGGUGGGUGCAGAUCCAUACUCAUCCUAGAAACAAGCCAGGGCUGAAUAUGCCACUCAUUUUAGGUGCUUUGAUGUUGUGGUCACACCGAAAUGAUCAUGUGUUUAAUAAAGUUUCCUAUAGUGACUGGCGUGCAGGCUGUCCUCGUAUUCGAGAAAAAAAAUCAAUGGGCGAAAUAUUUUCACCCAGGUAAUUGUUGCAUUGUAUGAAUAGGCUUAGAUACCUGGUUAGAGUAUGAAUGUGCGUGUACCGUGACACAAGAAGAUUUAUCAUAUCCAUGUAUGAAUUAGUGUUAAAUCUGCUACAUAAAUAUCUUCUCUUAUCUCAUUGUAUGUGUAUAUAUGACACAGAAGCACAUGUAUAUUGGCAUUGUAGAGAGAGAUGAGAGAGAGAAGCUUAUCUGCUUUUUGGAGAUAAAUAUUCAAAUUACUGGUGUAUGAGAGGGAUAUAAUUAUUCUAUCAAAUUGUUUAUUCAACAUGUAAAAAGAUUCCAUGUUUAGUCAUCUAUAUCGGCAUUGUAGAGAGAGACUAGUGUUCAGCUGGUUGGAAGGAUGAGAGAGAGAGGAGAGAGUUCGGAUGAGAGAGAGACUAGUGUUCAGCUGGUUGGAAGGAUGAGAGAGAGGAGAGUUUGGAUGAUAGAGAGAUUAGUGUUCACCUGGUUGGAAGGAUGAGAGGGAGAUGAGAGAGUUCGGAUGACGAGGUGGAGAGUUCGGAAGAGAGAGAGGUGAGAGUUCGGAUGAGAGAGAAAGCAGCUUAGAAGGAUGAGAGAGAAAGUGGUAUUCAGCUGGAUGGUGGAGACUUCAUAUAUUACUAACUAGCAAGGUGUCCGUGCGUUGCUAUGGUGAAACGACGUUGCUUAGCGCGCGAUGCUUUUUAUCAUGUCGUGUAGCAUACCACAUUUUUUAUCGUGCUGUGGAACUUUUCUAUUUUAGUAGUAUUAGACUUUUCAUAUAUAAGGGGCCACAUGAGUGUGUCCAUAUCCUAACCGUGAGGAGACCGCUUGCCAUGGAACUUGUUAUCUCUUUCUCUAUCUUGAGAUUGGUAGGCUUCUACAGCAAUUCUGCACAAAAAAGGCCCCACUUCGCCCCACUUCGCCUCGCUCUCGCUGUCCGGUUAGUCCCGCGCCUACCCUCUCCCUCUCCGAUCCUCGCCGCUAGCUCCUCGGGGUCCAAGUCGGGCCCGUGAUGUAGCGGCCUGUUAUCCUUCCACCGUUGGAAGCGGGCAGUGAUCGCUGCUCUGUGAACCCAGCCUCACGCCAUUCCUACCACUUCAGGUCCAGUGAAGCCCGAGCUUUUGCUUGGGCCGAACAGGCCACUACCAACUUGGAGCAGGCAAGGCCAGCAAGGGCACACAAUAGACCCAAGCCCAGAGUCCACACCCAAACAUCCACACCACCUUAAUACCCCCACUUGGGUUACAAGCCCGCGCAACCAAGCUCGAUGAGGAUGGCUCGUGAGGACGAACAUUUGAGCUGGUGCGGCGCUGCUUCAGAUGGCGAGGUGGUACUAAUCUAAGGAAUAGGAAAAUUUCACGUGGGUCCCACACCGCACCUACCCCUAUCCUUAUCCUUUCUCAUCUCUCUACCGUUCAUCCGGUCCUUAUCCUCCUCAUCUCAUCUCUCUCUCUCUCUCUCUCUGUCUCUCUCUCCCUCUCUCGCUCUCAAACUCUCUAUCUCUCCUAUCCCCUCUUUCUCUGGAGAACGCGGUGCACGGCUGGCCCCAGCGGCGGCCUGGGGGCGCGGGUGCUGGCGGCAGCCGAGGGUUGCGGGGCUGCGGCGAGGAGCCUCCUGGCCGUGGAUGCGACGGCCUAGCCACGGGUGCCGGGCCGCAUCGCACCGCGCGCUGCUGCCACCGAGUAGGCUGCACGCACUGCCUGCACACCAGGCGGGGUGGGCGGCCAGGGCCGAGCGGCGCGGCCGGGGCCGGGGAGGUGACUCUGGCGCGGCCGAGGCGGCUUGGGCGCGGCCAGCUGUUGUGGGUAGGGAGAGGUGGACAGCGGCGCAUGGCGGUGUGGAGAGGCGGACGUGGGGCACGAACGGGUGAAAGGGGAGACGGGGAAAGAAAGCUGGACCCACCUAGCAAUGCAGCCGGGGCCGGGGCCAGGGUAGCGCGGGUGGCCGAGGCCGAGGCCGAGGCCAGGCGGCGCAGUCGGGGCUGGGGAGGCGGCUUUGGUGCAGCCAGCCGUGGCGGGCAGGGAGAGGCGGAGAGUGGCGCAACGGCGGCGUGGAGAGGCGGACAUCAGGCACGGGCGGGUGAAAGGGGAGACAGGGAAAGAAAGCUAGACCCACCCGUCAAUGCAUUAAUCUUACCUAUUAUUAAACAUCAGGGCCACCUCUCGUUGAUAGAAGUUGGACCAAACCAAAAAAAGUGGGCAGAAGUGUUCCUUACUUUAAUAAUAAUAAUAAAGUAUAGAUAAUGCAUCCAAACAACAUUUGGAAUUUAAUUCUAAGAAAAACUUUCUCAGUACAUCCAAACUAGAAAAUUCAAUUGAAUAAAAUUCUACGGAAUGCAUUUCUUAUGGAAUCUAAUUGGUAGAAUAUGAUUUAUGGGAUGAGUUUCAACUCUAGGGAUCCAAAUAGGCUCUUAGUUAUUUCUUAUGUAGCUCAAAUCAGAAGGAAGGUACGUCCAAACUAAAAAACGUAAGUUACUUUGUGUUAUCUUGUGAAUCAGUGAUUAAUUACUUCCAAUCUUAUGUAAAAAGAACUACGAGUCAAAUUCUUUGUCAGAUUUAUACUGACAAGUUACAAGCACAUGCCUCUGCAGUAACAGGCCAGCCCUAGACUAGUGGGCAAACCAAAAACAACAUGAUUCGUCAACUGAUCGAAUGCUAAUGACUAUUUUGCUAGGAGAAUGAACAUGAUUCAUACAAAGCAGGGGAGCUACUAACUUGGUCAAGGUCUCCGUCCUCUAGCUACUAACAUGAUUCAUACAAAGAAGGGGCCAUCUUGCUCCACUCCACGUCUGCGUGGUUGCUCGGCGGGCGCGACGGUGUCGGCUGCGGAGUGCGGACGGCGCGUAGAUAUGUCAUUGUUGAUCAGGACAUGCACUUCUAUCACAGUCUGUGGUUGGCGUCCACGGCCGAGCGGGUCAAGGUCUCCGUCCUCUAGCGUGGGGAAACAGGAUCUCUUCAAUCAGUGCUUCUACAGAAACGGUGCACGGUCACCACGGACCAACGACAUACCAUGAGAAAAGCAGAGCUAAAUGUUGCAGUAGCAGAGUAACCGGAGACUGGAGAGCACUUGCUGCUAAAAGCUGCCUCUUAUUUUGUAUCGUCUUAACCGAAGACUUUAAGUCAACCGCCAUUCGAUUCCAAUAUAAACUAGCAAGUUGGUCCGCGAUAAUAGCGCGGCUAGAUUUGAUACAGUAUAAUUUUUUUAAAUGCUAUGUUAGCUUAGUAUAUUUCUUUGUCCCUCUUGAUUUGUUUUUCAUCCUCUUGAAAUCACUGAGUAUACUUAGGUGCCUUACUCUACACAUUGAGUAUCAAGCCAUAUAUGUAUAUUUUUUUUUUGCAAAUGAACUCCGAUGCCACAUGCGCAUAUGCACGCCUAAUUAAAAUUGCUCACUUGUAAAAAAAUAAGAACAACUUGAGUAGUUGAUUCUGAUCUUAUGUUGCAGUUUUUGCCAACUUUUCCUAGUAUUAUUGUGUUGAGUAGAAAGCCUGUGUAGAGAAAGAUCCAAAACAAACAAUCGUGUCAACUACUCCCCAUGCUUGCUCAAAUAAUUUUGAAAAAAAAAACAACCGCGCUCUAAGUCCUAGGGAGGUGAUAUUCCUCCUUACUUUCCUCCUCUCGUUUUCCUUGCACAAUCGAGGAUGACAAAUACCACAAACCACUUAGGCUCUAUCAUGUUUCAUCAUCACAUUCCUCAAAUCUUGAUCACGUUGUUGUCUUCAUUAUGUUAACAGUACACAUCUCUCCGCCUCUUCUAUUCCACAAAACCAUAAUUGUUCACCGGCUCCAGCAUUGUUGUUGCUCUCCACCAAUCGAGGAAGCUCAUGUCCUUGACAUCACCUUAUCCACUGACCAGCUGAAGUUAUCUGUACAUCCUAAGGUCUCAUAAGAUUUUUGCUGAAUUUGCAUUAAUAUUAAUAUUGCCACCAAUCUAGUCUCAACCUUGCCUUGUGUUCUCGGUGGUCAUGUUUUAUUCUAACUUGCAAGCCCUACAGCUACAUAUGAUGGUUCUUCUAUAUACAUAAUACAUCGCAUCACUUAAGACAUAUAUCGCGGGCCGGCGGCUCAUGGGGGAGCGGCGCCGGCGGAGCGAAAGCGACUGACGGUGGGCGGAGGCGGGUGGGUGCGGGCGGAGGCGGAGGCCGGUGCGGGCGCGUGCGGAGGUGGAUGGGUGGAGGCGUGCAGCGGUGGCGAGUAGAGGCGGGCGGGCACGGGCGAGUGGCAGCUGGGCCAGCGGCGGCCGGGCGGCCGGCCGGUGAGCGUGGGGCUUUUUUUUAUUUUUUUUCAAAAUGUUUUAGUCCCGGUUCGUGGUUGGUACCACCGACCGGGAUUAAAGGGGAAGACCCCGUCUUUUGUCUCGAAAAAUUUAUCCCGGAUGGUUUUUAGAGAGAUUUGAGCCUACCCAACCGGGACUAAAGGUGAGUUUUGCACCAGUAAUGCAGAGGAGGCUCAUCCUAAAUGGUGACACCAUGCUGAUCAUGCAAUUUAUCAUUAUUUUAUCGCCCUCAUGCAUGCUGUGCAUGAUUGAUAUUAGUAUUGGGCAGCUUAGAUUCCUCAGCGCAUCAUGCUGCUCAGCCAUGGAGGUCAAGGCAUCAAUAUUGUCCAUAUCACAACGUCUCUGCUUUCUCUUGUUGUCCUCCCCCUUCCCUCUACAUUGCACCUUCUUGUUUUCCUGAUCCUAUUGCCAGUUUGUUGCAGCCAUUUAUGGGCACCUCUUUCGUCCAUUGUCCACUGUUGUUGCCCGCUGCCUCAGUUCUUCUCUAACCAAAGCGGUCGUAUCGCGCUGGUCGGUAGGAAGCCAUCGUCUCACAAAAGCAUCGUCGUGAUCGCCAAACCACAUCUAGCCGAUGCCGAACCAUACUUGCCAUCUUCUUUGCCAACUUGCCGCUAUGGAAGCCUCCAUGCAUCGCUCCUCGAGUCUAUCCUAUCUCUAUCAGCUCCUGUGGUAUCCUGUUUUGUUUUUGCCUCAACCACGAAGCCAUAGGUAGCUGGUGCUAAAUUGCAGGGCCAGCAACAGCUAUUUCCUCUCCCUGGCCUUGCGGCCAUGCUAUGUAUUUUUCUCUCUCAAAAAAAAUUCCAAUGAUUUAAUUCUAAUGUUCCGAUCAUGUGUGAUUGGUUUAUUAAUUAAAGUUAUAGUUAUACACGAGUAUAUUAUAAAAAAAUAAUAUAUAUAUAAGUUACCAUACAAAGUACAACUUCCAAUAAGGUGGAGAGGUUCGGAUGGAAUUUUGAUUCAACUUACUCUAUUCUAGAUAUUAGAGUUGUACUAGCAAAAUAUCCAUACAUUGCUAUAGCAAAAUAUCCGUACAUUUGCUACGGUAAAAGAUCAAUUGUGUUUUUCAAACUAAUAAUAUUUUUUAUUUUCAUCACUAAAGUUUUAUUCCACUUAUUGGAUGUCCACACAUUUAAUAGAAAACUAAAAGAAUUUUAACUAAUUAUUUCCUUCAACUCAAAUACCAAUUAAAUUAAAAUAUUUUUUUAUUCAAGCAAGAGAGUUAAAUCAGCCUCCGAUGGCCAUCGAUGAGGGGCUCUUUAGUCCUGGUGAGUAAUAUCAACCGGGACUAAAGAACCCCUUUAGCCCCGGUUGUAAAAGUUAGUGGCCUCGGGAUUCUGUUGGGGCGUUUUGUCCCGGUUGCAACUACCAACCGGGACUACGCUCCCCGCCUCCACACACACAAUGUGCGUGCCUCACUUUCUCUCCUCCCUCUCCUUAAUUCCAGUACCCAAGCCUCCUCUCCUUAAUUCCAAUACCCACAUGCCUCCUCUCCUCCUCCCUUCGGCCCCUGCCUCCUCUCCUCCCUCUCCUUCUCCUCCGCUAGAUCCGGCCAACCCCCAUUCCCUCUUCCAAGCUCCUCCCUCUCCCUCGACCGAGGCGGGCGGCGGGCGCAGGUCGGGUGGCGCGGCUGGGGCCGAGGCGGCGUGGGCGGCCGGGGGUCAGGGAGGAUGAUAGGUGGUUACGAGGAUGAUACCUGCAGACAAUACUUUUAGUCCCUCAAUUUUUUCUGAGAAUUGCACUGUGAGCUGCGCUUUCAUUUAUGUCACACCGCUCAGCAAAAAAAACGGUGCAAAUCGACCAAAAUAAAUGAAUAAAUCACACGGUUUAGACUGGUGGCAUCUGUAUGUUUGAUGAGUUUUGAAUCCCAACAGACCUCUGUUUGCUUAUCCAACAGGAGGAAAAAACUUUACUUACUAAAUCAGCUUUGCAUGCCAGGCUGCAAUUGUUAGAGCAGAAUUGGGUAAUUUGUGAACAUAAUUGAAUCAAAGUUUUGUCUCAGACUAGUAAUAGAAAAUGGUAAUGCUCCACAGCUAGAACACGUUCCUACACUAGUUUAAAAAAUUCCCUGAAAUUGGCGACAAUGGUCAAGCUCAAUGUCAAAGUCAAAAAUUCCUACACACGUUCCUACCAUACUUGGAACUUGGAAGGCCGCUGGUCGAUGUCAAAGUCAAAAACAGAAGCAGACAGCGACGUCUCACCAGAUCACGAAUCAGAUGCGAUGCAUGUGCAUGUUCAGCAAGACAUUGAAAAGCAAGCUCUGUCUGGCAGCAGCUCUUCAAUACGCUCCAGCCCAUCUCUACCAUGGCAUUGGCAAUGCGCGUCAUGAGCUUGCUUCCUGCCACCAUCGCCGUGAUGAUCGCAGCGGCCUCCUGGGGAGCGCACGGCGGUGCCAGCGACGAGGCCAGCGCGCUACUUGCUUUCAAGGCUGAGCUCGCCGGCAGCGGCUCCGGCAUGCUUGCAUCCUGGAAUGGCACCGCUGGCGUCUGCGGCUGGGAGGGCGUGGCGUGCACCGGCGGCCAGGUGGUGGCACUGAGCCUGCCCUCCUAUGGGCUCGCCGGAGCCCUCUCCCCGGCCAUUGGGAACCUCACUUUCCUGCGGACCCUGAACCUGAGUUCCAACUGGUUCCAGGGGGAGGUCCCAGCAAGCAUCGGCCGCCUAGCGCGUCUGCAGACGCUUGAUCUGAGAUACAAUGCGUUCUCUGGUACGCUUCCUUCCAACCUCAGUUCCUGUGUCAGCUUACUGCUGUUAGAUCUCAGCAGUAACCGGUUCCAUGGGCGUAUCCCUGUUGAGCUUGGAGACAAGCUAACAAGUCUUCAGAAGUUCUCACUGGGCAACAACAGCUUGACGGGUGCCAUACCAGGAUCACUAGGUAACCUGUCAUCCCUGAUCUACCUUGAUCUGACAGAAAACCACCUCGAGGGUCCGAUCCCACAUGAACUUGGCAGCAUGGGCGGCCUGCAGGUCCUUUUCCUCUAUGAGAACAGACUCUCCGGUGUGCUUCCACACUCCCUGUACAAUCUGUCCUCACUGAAAAACUUGGUGGUAGGAAACAACAUGCUGUCUGGAACCAUCCCUGCUGAUAUCGGCGAUAGGUUCGCCGGUAUGGAAGUUCUUGACUUUAGUAGCAACCGAUUCAGUGGAGCUAUCCCACCUUCGCUCGGCAACCUCUCUGCUCUCACGUUACUAAACCUUCCAGGAAAUGAUUUUAUUGGAUAUGUGCCUUCUGCUUUGGGGAAGUUGCAAAGUCUUACUGACCUGUUCUUGAGUGACAACAGGCUAGAAGCAAACGACAGUCAAGGGUGGGAAUUCAUCACUUCACUGGCAAACUGCUCCCAGCUUCAGUAUCUUGUUCUCGGCAACAACUCUUUCAGCGGGCAACUGCCUAAUUCAGUCGCAAACCUGUCAUCAACUCUGCAACAUCUUUAUUUGGGAGACAAUAUGAUUUCUGGGAAUAUUCCAAUAAACAUCGGAAAUUUGGUUGGUCUUACAGUACUUGAUAUGGCAAAUACUUUAGUAUCUGGACAGAUUCCAGAGAGCAUUGGUCAGCUAAGAAACUUGGUUGGGUUAGGCCUUUACAACACUAGCUUGUCAGGCCUCAUACCUUCAUCACUAGGAAAUCUUACACAGUUGAAUAAUCUUUAUUUAUACUAUGGAAACUUAGAGGGGCCAAUUCCAUCAAACUUGGGGAACUUAAAGAAUGUGUUUGCCUUUGAUCUCUCAACAAAUCGACUCAAUGGUUCAAUUCCUAUAGAGGUUUUAAAACUUCCUCGACUUUCCUGGUACUUAGACUUAUCAUAUAAUUCACUAUCCGGGCCACUUCCAACUGAGGUUGGUACCAUGGUGAAUCUUAACGAACUGAUUCUGUCUGGAAACAAGUUCUCAGGCACCAUACCAGCUAGUGUUGGGAACUGUAUAUCGUUGGUAAAGCUGCUGCUCGAUAACAACUUAUUAGAAGGAAGCAUACCUCAAUCUCUGAAGAACUUAAAAGGUCUUGCAUUACUGAACCUAACAAUGAAUAAGCUAUCUGGUAGUAUUCCUGAUGCCCUUGCUAGCAUUGGCGACCUGCAACAACUGUAUCUUGCACACAACAACUUGUCAGGUUCCAUCCCCAAAGUUCUACAGAAUUUGACAUUGUUGGCAAAACUGGAUUUGUCCUUCAAUGAUUUGCAAGGCGAAGUGCCAAAAAGGGGUCCUUUUGCAAAUGCAACUCACUUGUCAAUUGAUGGAAAUGAUGAGCUUUGUGGUGGAAACCCUCAACUUCACUUAGCUCCGUGCUUCACAGCUGCUGCGGGGAAGAACAGAAGGCGAAUGUCAAGGUCAGUUAUGGUCACCGUAGCGUCAAUCUGCGCACUUCUAUUCUUAGGUUUAGUAGUUUUUCUUAUCCAUUUGAUCCACAAGACGCUCAGACAAGGAAAGGAAAAUCAACUCAUUCCCACAGUAAUUGAUGAACAGCACGAAAGGGUUUCAUAUCAAGCAUUAGCAAAUGGGACUGACCAUUUUUCGGAGGUUAAUCUGCUCGGACAAGGAAGCUAUGGUGCAGUUUAUAAGUGCACUUUACAUGACAAGGGAAUUACCGCAGCUGUAAAGGUAUUCAACGUACGGCAAUCUGGGUCUACUAGAAGUUUUGUGGCUGAAUGUGAGGCACUGCGAAGGGUGCGCCACCGAUGUCUCAUAAAGAUCAUCACCUGUUGCUUAAGCAUUGAUCACCAAGGCCAAGAAUUCAAGGCACUGGUUUUUGAGUUCAUGCCCAAUGGUAACCUAAAUGAUUGGCUGCAUCCAGCAUCCAAAAUACAGAGUCUGAGCAAUACACUCAGCUUAGCUCAGAGACUAGACAUUGCGGUAGAUAUCAUGGAUGCUCUGGAUUAUCUUCACAAUCAGUGUCAACCGCCUAUUAUCCAUUGUGAUCUCAAACCAAGUAACAUCCUCCUUGCCGAAGAUAUGAGUGCUCGGGUUGGAGAUUUCGGCAUAUCAAAAAUCCUUCCUGACGACACUAGCAAAACUCUGCUGAAUUCAGUUAGCUUCACUGGACUAAGAGGUUCCAUCGGAUAUGUCGCUCCAGGUAACAGAAACUAACACUGAUAUUGCUAUGUUCAGUUUUUAACUUCCAUUUUGCCAAGUCCAGUUAUCUCGGCAUGCACGUUGAUAAGUAGCUUGCCAUGAAUCCACUGACCAAAUAGUGUCUGAAAUCUGAAUUGACUGCAGAGUACGGCGAGGGUCGCGCUGUCUCAACUCUUGGAGAUGUUUACAGCCUCGGCAUACUGUUGCUUGAGAUGUUCACCGGGAUGAGCCCUACUGACGACAUGUUCAAAGGCUCCUUGGACCUUCAUAAGUUCGCCGAGGCCGCUCUCCCCGACAGAGCCUUGGAGGUAGCCGACCCGGCAAUCUGGUUUCAUGAAGAAGCAAAGGGCGAAGACCCUGCCACGGUGAGAAGCAGAAGCGAGAGGUGCUUGGCUUCAGUGGUCGGGCUUGGCGUGUCCUGCUCAAAGCAGCUGCCAAGGGAGCGGACGGCGAUGCGGGAUGCUGCCGCUGAGAUGCGUGCGAUCAGAGAUGCCUUCCUGGUUCAAUGUGCAACAGAGACUUGGCCUGCAGUCGGCACCACCGGCCUUGGGAGCGCAGACAGUUGAAUGGUGGACGGAGCUACGGUCUCUUGAUGAACCAAGGAGCACCGGACUAGCAACUCUGCAACUAACAGAGUGGAGAAAGCGCCCCUUAAUGAAAAGAAAAACAGCCGGUGCAAGGCUUUAUAAAAAGAAUGUGACAGCCACUGCGUGUAUCCGAGAGACUUAUCUAAUCUACCGAGGAUUGUUGGGUAGGGAUGCGUAUAGAUUAUGCACGUGCUCCCUCCGUCCCAAAAUAAAUGCACAUCUCGCUUUUCGAGGAGUCAAACUUCUAAGUUUGACUAAAAUUUAUAAAAAAAUGUACUACUAUUUAUAAUGUAUAAUAAAUAUCAUUAGAUUGGGCGUUGGAUAUACUUUCCUAAUAUAUUUAUUUGAAGAUGCAAAUGAUGAUACUAUUUUCUUUAUUCUUAGUCAAACUUAAAAAUGUUUGACUCUUCGAGAAGUGAGAUGUGUGUUUAUUUUGGGAUGGAGGGAGUACCCGUCACGGGGAUUAGUCACGAUAUAAGUAGGGACUAGCAAGCACCAAAAUCCCAUUCACUGCCCUUCGAUCGCUCAAAUAAAACAAACCAUUGCAUAUGGUGGCGAUGCGCUUGCGGGCCUUUUUCCAACCUUUCUGCUGUCGUGGGUCUUGAACUCGCAUGGAACAGUUUUAGUGAAAGCGUGCCCUUCAAUUUUGGGAAGAUUGCGAAGCCUCAUUUACCUGUCCUUAGUGACAAUAAGUUAGGAUCCAAUGAUAAGGACGGAUUGGAAUUCAUCACCAUGCUGGCAAACUGCAGCCAGCUUCAGCAACUGGCUUUUGACAAUAAUUCAUUCAUCGGGGAACUUCCUAGCUCAAUUGCAAAUCUAUCGACAACACACCAAUUACUCUGUAUAGGAAACAAUUGGAUUUCGGGAUUUAUUCCAUCCAGCAUAGGUAAUUUGCUUGGUCUAGAACUGCUUGCGUUGGCAAAUACUUUCAUAUCCGGAGUGAUUCCAGAUAGCAUUGGUCGCCUAGAAGACAUGUCCGUGUUAGGCAUUUACUACGCUAGCUUGUCAGGCAUCAUACCUUCGUCACAAGGAAACCUUACACAGUUGAAAACUCUCUAUGCGUACGAUAGCAACUUCGAGGGUCCAAUUCCAGCAAGUGGGGGAACUUAAAGAAUGUUGUUGUUCUUGAUCUCUCAACGAAAGUGUGUAACCCGCUAAGAUUUCGUGUCGAAGCAAAGCAUAAACCUCUCUUAAGACUGCAAAGCUAUCAUAGAGCAGAUCAGUCUAAGACAAUGUAGAACUUAGUCAAAUUUUAUUUAUAAACAUUCAAGUACAAUUUAUGCAAAGUAAAUUUGAAAAUAAAGUAUACGUAAACAUCUAAGCGCAUAGCUUUAUGAUUUGAGUUGAACUAACCAAAUAUAAUUGAAAAACACAUUUAUAUUUAUAUUAAGUCAAAUUAACAUAUAAUUAUGAAAGCUCGAGAUAUAACUUAUGGAGCCUUUAUUUAGAAAACAAAUUGAAUAAACAUUAAUCAAUUUAAGUUUAAUUAUGAACCACCAUGUUGCAUCUCUCAUUGACUUUUAAUUGAAAGAGUUAUUUAAAUAAGCAUUAACUAAUUUAGCAUUUAUUAUGAAAAGCAGUUAUAACACUAAGUAGCUUUUAAUUAAAGAAGACAUGUUUAACAUGCAUUAAUCAGAUUAAUAUUAAAUUUAUUUUAAAAACAUGCAUGAUGGAAAGAUCAGUACUAACAUGUAAUUUGUGUUAUUACAAACCUAACUCAAUAAGAACAGAUAUAAACGGAGCUGUAACGACCAGUCUAUGGGUUAAACAAGGUUGCAGGGCCUAAUCAUGAUUAACGGAAGGUUAUUGGGGCUAGCAAGGAAGAUUUGCAAGACACUGGAAUAGAGCUCCCCAUUAGGUCAAAGCAUAGGGCGAUUGCGAAAUCAAGAACUCGAAGGUGAUCGCGAGAACACGAAGGACACGAAGGUUUUAGAUAGGUUCGGGCCUCCGGAGAGUAAUACCCUACGUCCUGUAUGCUAGUUUGUAUUGCUUGAGAUUGAUCUGAUUGUUGGGAUACCCUCGGGGGUGCCCUUGGCCGCCUUAUAUAGGCUGACGACCAAGAGUUAAAAGUCAGUUUGAAUCUAAUCUACUCGGUAGUUACAUGGAAAGUAAUCUGAGUUGGACUACAGUACACGUUCCAUGAUAUCCAGGCAGAUUUGAACUGUCUUGUUGCCUUGACUUGCACUCCAAGUAACUUCAUGUCCUCGGCCCGCACGCCCUAGUCGGGCGGGCCCUACUUGUCAGUCCGGCCAGUAUCCUGGUCGGUCGGGGCCCAUGGGGUACCCAUAUCCCUCAAGCCCCCGAGCAUUGUGUAGGUGAAGAGUAACUUGAGGUCACCACAGUGAAACUUGAAAUGAAGUCGGCUGAAGCUACGAAGACAUCAUGGCGACGGAGAGGCUGCACAGUGCUCAAAAGAAGAAAUUCUGAGCAAACGCAGAGCCAACGCGUAGAGCGAAGACGAGUGCCGAGUUGAUGGAUGCUGGCAUUCAGCAGUCGGAGCAAAGGUUAUGGAGGGCCUCGCAAAACGCACUCUGUAGGAGUAGCCCCCGAGCAUUAAAGUGAUUAAGAUAAUCGGUACAAUAGUCAAAGAAGAAAAAGUUAUCCCCUAAAGUAGAUCCUAGUGCUCGAACAUAAGGAUGGGUGAAGCCAUGGAGGCCCGCCAACCAGAAGUAGGCACCCAGACCCAAGAAUGAGGACUAGCGGGACCGUGUAGCCACGUUGACCUGAAAUAGGCGCCCAACCCCUGAGGACGAGGACUAGCGGAGCCACGGAGGCAUGCCGACCUGAAGUAGGCACGCAACCCCUGAGGACGAGAACUGGAGGAGCCAUGAAGACACGCCGACUUGAAAUAGACGCCAAGCCCCUGAGGAUGAGGACCAGUGGCGCCACGGAGGCACGCCAGCCAGAAUUAGGCAUCCAACCCCCGAGGAUGAGCAUGAGGACUGGUGGAAGCACGUCGAGGUGCCUCCCGCCUCGAGCCGAGGCAGAGAGGUCAGUCGGGCGACGGGAGGCACAUGAGUCAUCUAUGGCGCGCAACCGCCGAGCCUGGGAGCCGGACGAGUUGCAGAAGCAUGCCAAGUCGCCUCCCGCGGCGAGCUAGAGAGGUUUGCUGGGCGACGGGAGGCACGCCAAGUCAUCUGCAGUGCCCAGCCCUCAAGCCUUAGGGCCGGCUGAGCCAUAGAAGCAUGCCAAGCCGCCUCCCGCCCCGAGCCAGAGAGGUCGGCCGGGUGACGAGAGGCACGUCGAGUCAUCUGCGGCGCCCAGCCCCCGAGCCUAGGAGCCAGACAAGUCAUAGAAGCAUGCCAAGUUGCCUCCCAUCCCGAGCUAGAGAGGUCGGCCGCGUGACGGGAGGCACGCCGAGUAGUUUUUGAGCUAUAAAAGGACAAUACAAUCAUCAUGUAGCAUAGUGUAGAUCGUUUAAUCAUUGAACAACUCGGAAGUUUAAUUCACUAUAUAAGUAAACUCUUGCGCAUCCUGCUCUUGUAGGCUAAGUAAUUUCCCCAGGUAGUUAGCCUGUUACGUUUAAGCACCUAGCCCUACUGACCACUGCUCACAGAGAUGACGGUUUAUCUCAAGCUAUAGCGCUGGGGCUGACCUGAUGCUUGCAUAUAGGAGACGCGCAGGAUGAGUUAAGGUUUUACGGAUUAAGGCAUGUGCUACCCGAGUACUUUAGCAACUGUUAACAGGGACAGACAAGUUGCAAAGCAGCCGGAACUGUGCGGAAAAGCACCAGCAUGAGCUAGGCACCCAUGGGGUGUAACCCCUGGCCGCCCGUGUAGUGGACGGACCAAGUUGUAUAAACAGUUAGGGUGCGACCAAGGUGGUGGGCAAAAGUCACGGAGACAUAGGAGAGCUGAGGCGGUCGACGAAAGUCACAGGAACAUGGAGGAGCCGAGGCUUAUGUAGGUAUACGGAAGCCAUAAAAUAUUUAAUUGUAAAUAAGACUUAGCUUGAUUCGUGAUCGAGUCGAAGAACCCGCAUGUCGUCUUUGCGUUUAGGCUUAGAAGCCCCUGAGCGUGGUCAGCGGAUAGUUGUUGGUGAAGCAAACUAGUAGGGCUCCAUGCCCGACUAAUUCGUGUCAAGUCCGAGUUGUUGGAGUUGUUAGUGGCAAGUCUGUGGCUGCGAUCGUGGUAUGCUGCUGCCAAGUCGAUGCGGCCAUCGGGUCGUGGCUGGCUGGCCGCCACGCUCGCAAUACAGCAUGCCUGGGUUGUGCUGCCAAACCAAAGGUGCAUGUACAUCUUUCCGAACCUCGUAAGGAAGCCCUCAGGUAUUAAGGAAAUCUAUACCUAAUAUUAAAGUGCGGUUGUUUGUUCCAACCAUUAUGGUUGUUUUGCAAAAAAGUCCCUCAACUUUUUCGUAAUCAGCUCGCAGUCCUUGGAAUAUGUCUUGAUGAUUUUGCAAAAAGGUCCCCAAACUUUACUGCAAUUGGCCGUCGAAGCUCCCGCAGCAUGCACCUACGCCACGUGCGGUGCGGACGAGUGUGCUGGCGGUGGCUGCAAGCUCCUCACCACAGCGGGGACCAGGUCGAGCAGCGACAGCGAUGACGGAGGGGAGUAGUCCGCAUCCGCGUGCCGUGCUUCCAUCGUCGGGCAAGCUGUGGCGGCGGUGGAGAGGGAAAGUGAGUACAUCGGCGUGUGGCAGCAGUCGUGGGGCAGUUUGGCGGCGGAGAUCCAUGACCCGCACCUCGCUGUGCGCAAGUGGCUCAGCACCUUGGACACCAUUGAGGACGCCACACACGUCUAUGAUGUCGCCGCCAUCGAGUUCCGAGGCCACCACGCCAAGCUCAACUUCCCCGACGACAUGGUCCCCGUGCCCGCACCUUCUAGGGUGCCCACCUCUACAUACCACUACCACCACCACCUGCCGCAGCCGCUGCCCAAGAGUCUGCACAAGACCUGCGGGUCGAACGCAUCGUCGUCGGUGCACAUGGCUCCUGGAUGACGGCAGCUUCUUGUCACCCAUGCCAUGAUCGUCACAUUCUCCUCUUGUUUUCACUUUCGUUGCUUAGCGGAUAAUGGUGGUCAGCUGCCCUUUGGUCUGUCGUCAAUCACCAGCCAUCCAUCGCUUUCAUAUGGUUUUACACUAGCUUUUGGGCUUUGACCACACCUCCACACCCAUAAAGUGGAGUGAUGUUGAUCUACUGCCGCUCGCCCUGGCGUGCAACUACUGUCGCUCACCCUAGCACAUGGCUACUCACUCGGGCUGCGUGCCCUACCCGCCACCUGGACCUAAGAGGUGAAGGAGAGAGGAGGAAGGGGGAAGGAAAUAAGGAGCCGAGUGCCUCUUUGCAGUCAACCAAGUAGAUCCAUGUGCCAGCGAAGGCAUGGCGCCAGCAAGGGGGGGGGGGCGCAGCAGCAGUCGGCAGGCAACGCAAAUUGGGGCAGAGGUUGGGACCUCACACCCCCCCUCUCAAUGACGUCCAUCCCCUUAAGAUCCGGAACUAAAGCCUCCACAUCUAGCAAUUGGGGGCUCAAUUUUGCACUUGAUUGAAAUGAUUUGGAGUGGAUUAUGGAAGGGAAGUGGAUGGAAAUGAGAAGAGGAGGAGAACGCACUCCUGCUCAUGGCGGCCAGAGGCGUUGUGGCCUAGCGCUCGAAGCAGGAAUGAGGCUAGGCACAGGAAGGACGAGCGCUUGCCUGGGCGAUGGUGAGGAUGGCAAGAUGCGCAGCGCCUGGAUGACGGCGAAGAUGGGGCUAGAUGCGGGUGGCGCUGAUGGAUGAAGAGGCAUCGACUGGCUAGAUGACGAUGAGUACGGGGGAAAUCGAAUGAAUGGAUGGAGCGGAGGUUGAGCGGUGAUUUUUUUUAUUUCCAUAUGUGGGUCCCACAUAAUAAACAUAUGGCAUCAAAUCACCCAUAAAUAUCUUCUACUACUAUACUGAGACAACGCACCAACAUAUGGUGAACCGAAGCCACCGUAUUACGAACAAGCGAAUAAUAACGUGAGAAUAAGUAAGGACCUGUAGCAACGCACGGACAUUUCUGCUAGUGAGAAAAAAAAUUGUUAUCUACCGCAGUAAGCACCGAGCAACAUAGGAGAUCUACUGGAUGGAAUAGAUUAAAUAAUAAAGGGAAGGGAGAAUUGUUUCCUUUUUUUUCCGUGGCAGAUCCGACAUGUCUGCAUGCAACAAGUUGAGGCCGACGUGUCGUGCUAAAUCAAUUGGAUCGGACUGGGGCUGGAUCAGGCGAGCUUGGCUGUGGCCGGGAUGAGGCCAAUAAGGGCGCCGCCCUUGACCUUGGCCUCCUGCGUCUCGUGGAUCUUCUGCAUCUAGAGCAUCCGCUCCAUGACAAGCUUGUACUGGCACUUCUCUUAGGCGUGGUGCUCAGGCUGGCACUUCCAGGGGAGGUAGAACUCGGAGGUGCACGCACUGGUUGUGGUAGGCGAGCGGCACCUGGGCCACCGCCAUCUCCACCUGCGUGAUGAUCUAGGGCUUCAAGGAGCCGAACUGCACACCGACCGUUGCUGCCGCCUCCAUCUGUCACUUUCUUCCCGUCUCUCUCACCGGCGAGGUCGUUCCAUCGAUAGAUGGGCAUUGCGGGUUUGGUGCGGUGUGGGUAGGUGGGGUGCAGCGAGGACAUGAGGAACCCUCUCGGAGAGAGAGAUUGCCAAUCUACUGGGCAAGUGGCAUGAUGAUCCUUGGAUAGAGAACUUGCUCCUCCGGAGUAAAUCCGACAGAUGCCGAGCUGGCGGCAGGCAUCGAGUCGAAGUCCACCGACAUGCUCCCGAAGCAGAGCUGGAUUGGGUUGGCGAGGAAGUCCUUCAUGCUCUCGGAAAAAACAAUGUCGGGACGGGAUGCCAUCGAGCUCGCUAGGGAGGAUCUCACAAUCAUCCCUACCUGGCAUGCCAACUGUUGGAUUUAUAAGCCUGAUAGUCCACCAGGGGGUUACCCAAGUAGUUGAUUUCUAGGUGAGGGCGAUUGUGAAACCAAGAACUCGAAGGUGAUUGCGAGAACACGAAGGGACACGAAGAUUUUAGAUAGGUUCGGGCCUCCGAAGAGUAAUACCCUACGUCCUGUAUGCUGGUUUGUAUUGCUUGAGAUUGAUAUGAUUGUUGGGAUACUCUUGGGGGUGCCCUUGGCCGCUUUAUAUAGGCUGAUGACCAAGAGUUACAAGUCGGUUUGAAUCUAAUCUACUCGGUAAUUAGAUGGAAAGUAAUCUGAGUCGGACUACAAUACGCGUUCCAUGAUAUCCAGGUAGAUUUGAACUGUCUUGUUGCUUUGACGUGCACUCCAAGUAACUUCAUGUCCUUAGCCCGCACGCCUUAGUCGGGUGGGCCCUAGUUGUUAGGUCUGACCAGUAUCCUGAGGUACCCAUAUCUCUCACCUUGGUGCUCCGGCGAUUAGGGUCAACGGCGAGGAUGGGGAUUGGAAGAGGAGAUCAAGGGGACUUUAUGGAGAUGCUCACCGGUGGUGAGGUGGACGGAUUCCAGCCAGAAUUUGGCUGGCGGUGGAAGAACACGACAGGUUGCUCAGGUCUUCGCGAGUGAUGGUACUCCAGCAGUGGAGCGGCGACGAAGACUAGUGGCAGAGCAGCUCCUCGACAUCAUGGAGCUCCCUAAGGCUCUAGCUUGCUCCAAUGGUCGACGGGCAUAGCGAAUUGGCCAGAGAAGGCUGGUAGCGGCUCCUAGCUUCGGUGGAUGUGGGGGAUGGCGGCGCUUGUGGAGGAUGGCGGUGCUUGUGCAAGCUGGGAAGAGUGGCGGCGCGAGGCAGGGUAGCAGCAGGGGCACUGUCUCGACUUUUAUAGGCGCGUGGGUCCGCGCCUACCUUGGCACGCAUGCUGAGGUUCGGCGGUGGCGACGACCAACUGCAGCUACGCUUGGCCUCAACCCGUUGGUGGCCGAUGGGCCUAGCGGACCUAGCCGAGCCAUCAGCUGGGCUGGGUCGGUGAGGGUCGAGCCGCAAAGACUUGGCCCGAUUGAUUAGGAUUUUCCUUUUUUUUAGAAAUGAUUUCUUGUAAAAGAAAAAUCCAGAAAAAUUCUAUAUAAUUAAUUUAAGCAACGAAAAAACCCUAAAAAUCCAAAAAUUCCAGGAAAAAUCCUAGAGAUAGUUUGGGAAUGAGGAGUACAAAUAAAAUACUUGGAGCUCAUGAAAAGGAUUCUAGAACCUUCCAAAAAUUGGAUUUAGCUCUAGAAAAAAGAGAAUAAAUCUUAGAAAAAUCUUGAAAUUCUCAUAAGAACCUAAUGGGCAUCUAAACGCAUUCCAAAACCUUUGCACUUAUGAAAUACCAAGAUGCAUCGGCAUGAAUGCAACACAUACAUAGAACUAUUAUAUUUAAUUCAGAAAAACACUCAAUUAUUUUCCUAUACUAAAUUUCCUGUCAGGAAAAUAAAUGUUGGAAAAAUUUUAAAAUUAUGAGAAAAUCAUUGUUUAAUUAUUAUUUUUAAUCACAUCCUGAAAUUUCAAAAAUUUUAAGGUGUGACAGAUACCCUCAGGUUUACAGAAUUUGACAUCCAUGUGCAAAUUGGAUCUAUCCUUCAAUGAUUCUUUGGAUUUGCACAGUUUUCAGAUAUUUACUGGAAGGAGCCCAACGGAUGAGAUAUUCAAUGAUUCUUUGGAUUUGCACAGUUUUCAGAGAAUGCUCUUCCAGAGAGAAUAUGGGAUAUAGUUGAUCCGACAAUAUGGAUGCACACAGAUGCCUAUAACAGCACUAUGAGAAGUGGAAUUAAGAAUUGCUUGCUUUCUGUUGUUUCUCUUGGAAUAUCAUGCUCAAAGAAACAACCUAGGGAGCAGAUCCCGAUUCAGGAUGCAGCCAUUGAGAUGCACGCUAUUAGAGAUUCGUAUCUCAAGUUUGCCAGAUCUCUUUUGGUGGAGCAUGGAGUAGUAGCAACAACUCACAGUGAUUUCCCACAACAGUGAAUACAUAGGACUGAAAAUGGGCAAGAUGUCCGCAGGUGAUCAGUUUACCUGAAAUAACUGAAGAUGUAUGAAGCUUCAGCUUUAUAAUUCGUCCAUGCAUUUGUUUGCAUCAGAUAUAUGGAAGUAUAAAAUAAGUUUAGAAAAUGUUUCAAAAUAGAUUAGAUCAAGAGGUUUUUACUUGUCGUCUGUAUGGCACAUUUGUUUAGAGAAUUCAGUAAUAUGUAUGAUUCAUAAUACAAUCAAUGCUCUGCAAAUUUCAGAUAGCACAAUUGGAAUAAAAAGCUCAUUCAUUGAUUAUGUUGCUCUAGGUGACUCAACUUAUUGUGAUGUUCACUGUAGAUUUCUCCAUGGUCCAAACGACCUUUGUGAUCAGUUAUGUUUAUGCAUUUUGUAGACUUGUAAAGUCUUUCCCUAACCUGCUGACAUAUCAGCUGGAGCAGAGCACUCUGCCGUUCUGCGCCACUUGCCUCUAGGCAGCGCUUGCCGCUUGGUGGCUGCCGUGGCGACGGGCGGCAUCCGUAAUUGCUCUAUUGGAGGCUGAGGGGCACAAUUACGUCUUGGAGUCGCCACCGCGCGACCUUCGGAGCUCGCCCAUGCCUCAUCGGUACGAGCUCAGUCCCGCGGUGAAUGGCGCGCGCAUCUGGGGUUCCGUCAGCUGCAGGUGCAGAUGGGUGGAGAGCUUAACAGCACUAGGUCUUCAGAAGAUGUUGGGUGGGCUGGAUGGGGCUUUGCGGCUCUGAAUGGCGAGGCGGGCAGGGACGACGGCGGCAGCGGCAGGCGGCGGCACUGGACGCGUUGGGGUGGAGACGACCCGGACCAGGGAGCAUUUUUGAAAAUAGUCGGAUCGCGAUCCUAAUUAGGAAAUGUGAGAAGGGGUGCACCAAAUAUGGGAUGAGAUGGAGAGGAGCGGAUCAGGCCCAGAUCAGCGAUCAUUUACUAUUAGGGCCCGUUUGUUUGGCAGGAAUUGGGCUGAAUUGGAAUUACUUUCCUAGGCCGACCUGUUUGGCUGCACAUGGAAUUGGAAAUCGUCUUUCCGGUGAUUUUCACGGGCUGAUUUUCUUACUUGCGACACAUUCCGGGCCUAAGACAAAGAAAUCAAUUCCAUCCGACUUGCUUCCCCUCCCGACUCGCCUCCCUUCCCCGACACCGCGCCACCUCCCUCUCCCAACUCCCCUCCAUCCCGACGCCGCACCCCCUCCUCCACCGCCUCCUCCGGCGCCCCCUCCUCACCUCCCCCUGACUCGCCUCACCCCGUGCUGCCGCCGCCCUCGACUCUGACUCCCCGAGCGCUGCGCCGCCGCCUCUCGCGCCGCCGCCCCUCGCGACCACCUUCUCGACGGCGAGAUAAACCUCCUCCAGUUUCCCUCCUCCAUCUCGUUCUCCGGCUCACCCCUUCCUUUUUCUUCCUCACCGGCUCACCCCUUCCCCUUGAACAAUCCGCAGAUCUGCGGGGGAGGUGCCACCGGCAAGCAGGCUGGGAGCAGCUGCAACGGCGGCCGCCCCAUCCACGUCUCUACGGACGGCAUCUUCAACAUUCCGACCACGCGCGUGCUCUCCACUAGCAAAGAAGCUGUACGUCCCAAUCCCUUCUGCCCAUCCCCUUUGCUACUCGAGCCAGCAAAGAAACUACUAGUUAGUUGCAUCAGAUUCUCACUGUCAAAUUGGAAGGCCAUUGCUCUUGCUCCUACUAGUAUACCGCACUUUCCACAAAAUGCGACACACGAAUUUGUUAAUUUUGCCGUAAUUCUGCUAUCAAAUCAAAAGGCCAAUCCUCUUGCUCUAAACAGUUUCUGCAAUUUCGUGCACUAUCGAUUGCUAGUGCUAAUUACAUGGAGGGCCUUUGGUACUUCUCUGCUAAUGCUAAUUAUAUGUGACAUGCUCUGAGAUUCUUCAUACUGUGUGCUGCCAUUAGUUUAAAUUUGGUAGAAGCUGAAAUCUCUUCGUAGAUCAUUAUGUGCUGCCAUUCUGAUAUCCUGUGGAGUUGCAUAUCAACUACUAGUGCUAGCAUUUAGUUUUAUCUGUCACAGCAGUUAAGCAUCAGUCAGCCCUUAUCUAGCAUUUAGUUGGUGCAGCUGUGCAAGUGAUGUUCCUAUUGUUUUUAAUUUUUGUCUUCUGCAGCAUUUUGCAGGCUGUCUAUGUUUCUGCUUAGUUUCGUGAAAUAGUGUAGCAUUUUGAUGAUAAAUUAAAACAUUCCUUUUUGCAUAUGUUUAGAUGCCUGACAGCAACAUAGACUUGGUUAAUACAGGCAUAGAGCAAAUGAGAGAGAGCGUAGGAAGAAGAGAAAAAGAGUGGCUAUUUUAUUUAUUUCUGCUGUCAUGAGCAUGAUUGUGCACUAAUGCGUAAGAGACCUAGGCGUAUCGUUGAUCCGGAUGAAGUGGCUGAGAGAAAUGUUGCUAGUCGGAAACAAAUGCCAAGGAAUCUGUACUAAGGAUCAAAUAUUUUUUGCUAUGACAGUUUGCGCCUAAUUAAGAGAUCAUUUUCUGACCUAUGUGCCAUCUUACGUGAUAGGUGCGGUAUGUGUGAUACUGUCGGUAGAAGAAAAUGUGGCUAUCUUUUUGCUUAUAGUGGGCCAUGGCACUAAGAUGAGGAUGAUUCGUAGCUCAUAUAGGUGGUCGCUCGAGCCAAUCUACCAUCAUUUCAAUGAGGUGUUGAGAGGUGUUCUAUCAUUAUGCCAUGAAUUUAUCAAGCUUCUUGAUCCAUCAGCUGUAGAACCUGAGGAUUCCAAGUGGAAGUGGUUUGAAGAUUGCCUUGGAGCAUUAGAUGGUACACAUAUUGACAUUUUGGUGCCUUUGGCUGACCAAGGGAGGUAUAGGAAUAGGAAGCAACAGAUUACCACCAAUAUUUUGAGGGUUUGUGAUCAUCACAUGAAAUUUAUUUACAUCUUAGCAGGAUGGGAAGGAUCGGCUUUAGAUUCACGUGUGCUACGUGAUGCAAUGUCUCGGGACGAUGCAUUUCUUAUUCCAAGUGGGAAAUACUAUCUUGUAGAUGCUGGAUACACCAAUGGACCGGGCUUUCUUGCUCCAUAUCGAUCCACUCGCUACCACUUGAAUGAGUGGGCUGCUCAAGGGCAUAACCCAUCCACUCCCAAAGAACUAUUCAAUUCGCGCCAUUCAACUGCUAGAAAUGUGAUAGAGAGAACAUUUGGGCUAUUAAAGAUGAGGUGGGCUAUACUAAGAAGCAACUCAUAUUUUAACUUACAAAAUCGGGUAUUCCGUAGUUAGUAACCUAGCUUGAAAUUCACCUCUGAAUGACCCUAGCAUGUAACUCAUUUCUACUAAUUUUUUGCAGAUUAGGAUCAUUAAUGCUUGUUGCAUAUUGCACAACUUUGUAAUUGAUAGACAAAGAGAUAUAGAUGACUUACUUAUAUACACCAAGUUGAUCAAGUAAUAUAUGUUGAACCUCAUGAAGUUCAAAGUGAAGUGGGCAUGAUUAGCAAUGUUCAAUCAUCAAAUGAAUGGAGCAAUUUUAGGGAUACCAAAGCUAACCAAAUGUUUGCUGAUUACCAAGCGAGACGUGGUCAAUGUAUGAUAAAUUCUAUCAUCAAUGCAUGCUCAAAUUUAUGAUAUUUGGUGUUGCUCCUUAAUAUUUUACUGAUAACCUUUGUGAACUUUUUUCUUGUAGAAUAUGGAGAAGGGCAAGAAGUCAGUCUCGAGCAGGGGUUACAUUUGUUGGAAUGACGACAUGAAUAAGGCUCUUCUUGACACAUUUGUGGAGUACUAUAACAAGGGUGACACAUGCCAAAAUGGGUGGAAGUCUCAUGUCUAUACAACUUCUAUCAAGAAUAUCCGAGAAAAGUGUAAUGUGGAUAUCACAAAAGACAACAUCAUGGCAAGGAACAAGACCUUUGACAAACACUACACUAUCAUCAAUGGUAUGUUGGAAUCAAGUGGAUUUGGUUGGGAUUGGAACAAAAAUAAAAUAUCUGUUGAUAGUGAUUCUGUAUGGGAAGAAUAUGUGACGGUAAGUUUCAAAAACCACUGAUUUACUUGCUUAACUUGCUUCUCUUUACAAGCAGUUUUCAUUUUGUUAGACACAAUCACAUAUGAGGUUAUCCUUAUUUUACACAUGGUAUGGUAUGAAUCUACUAGGUGGGCUUGGCAUAUAAUUGAAAGAUUUUUUGUACUCUAUCUAAAGUGGCAAUGAUUGUUUCAUCAAAACUUAUUGUUCCUGAAAACUUAUUGGCAUAUAAUUGAAAGUUUCUAUCUAUUGUUGAAAACAGUGUGUAGUGAAUUAUGUUCGUUACCUGUGUUCCUAAACAAUUAUGUAUGCAUCCUUGUCCCUGUAUGUUUUGUUACUUUUUUUAUUGAUAGUGUGGCAUCUUUAGGUUGUUCUUGAAAUGAAAGUAUACUUUCACUGCACAAGAAUUUAUUGGCCAGAAUAGUGGCUUGUAUUGGUCAGAUCCUAGUCAGCAAGUGCACGUCUCCUACAAGGCUGAGAAUCUUGCGUGAGGAAACUAGAGAGACCACUAGCAUGAACAAUGCCUCUCCAUACUCUGCAAUUUUUGAACUUUAGAUGCACCUGUCUCUUUGCUAGAAUUGCAAAUUAAGUAUGAAACAUGAAUCGACAUCAUUUAGUAUUGUUGUGCAGCACCAUACAAUGGUUUUGUGGUUUUGUGGAUUCUAGAAAAGGAUUCUCACAAAUGAUAGUUGCCAGUUAUACCUUUUGUUGCCAGUUCUACAAAAGGAGCCAUGGAUGUGUUUCAAUUUGUAGAUAUUCAUUGUGCAAAAUGCGACUAGAGCUUCUAGUACAUGUAUUUCUAAUAGUAGAAGCCAUGCAGAAGUUCCUGUAUUUGAACUACAGUAUGUAAACUGAUCUAUAUGUGUCUAAACUGGUCUGUAUGUGAACUACAAUGAUUGUACUUCUAUUUGGGUUCAGUACAUACUUGCUCUACACUUGUUUUCUAACCAAGUACAUUUAUUUUCUGUAGAAAAAUAAAGAAGUUACUGGGUACAGGCACAAGACUGUCUUGUACUGGGACUCAAUUAGCUUGGUGUUUGGCAAAGGCCAUGCUACUGGUGAAGCGGCAAAGACUGUGGCUGAGAGCUCAAAAAAUAUGAGUAAGGAAUAUCUUAGUAACAAAGAACCCACAUCAUCGGCAACUUCAGGAAGUUUAAAGAGGCAACGAUCAGGUGACUCUUUUACCUCUAUGAUAGCUGAAAAAAUGGACAAGUUUGCUGAAGCACUCAAGGAGGAAGCCCUAAAGGCCUAACAUCAAAAGAAAUUCUAGACACACUGAAUGAGGUACAAUGAUUGGAUGAAGACACUUUGUUGGACCUAUUUGAUAUCCUGACCGGUGAUGCACGCAAGUAUGAGUCUCUGUUGGCGCUUCCGGAGAAGAUGAGGAAGAGGUGGCUCCUAAAACAGCUCAAGAAGUGAAAAAAUUAGUUCAUAUAUAAAUUAUACUAUCAAGUGAUGGAUAAUGUCUAUUGAACUUCCAUUGCCUUGUAAUAAUAUGUGGCUUCAACUAUAUGAAAGUUUAGAUACUAUGUCUGUAUUGCUUGCAUUGUCAAGAUAAUAUGUUUAUCAUGAUCUCAUACUAUGUCUGUCAUGAAAGUUUAGAUAAUAUGUGGCUUCAACUUGUCAUGAUUGUAAUCUCCUUUGACAUGUUGCAAGUAAUCAGAUAUGUCUGCCAGGAUUGCAUUGUCAAGUAUGAAUGUAUAUCAGCAUUGUAGGGAGAGAAGCUUAUCUGCUUUUUGGAGAUAAACAUUCAAAUUACUGGUGUAUGACGGGAUGAAAUACUCUAGUGUUCACCUGGUUGGAAGGAUGAGAGGGAGAUGAGAGAGAGAGUUUGGAAGAGAGAGAGGUGAGAGUUCGGAUGAGAGAGAAAGCAGCUUAGAAGGAUGAGAGAGAGAAAGCGGUAUUCAGCUGGAUGGUGGAAAUUUUAUAUAUUACUAAUAAUGCAUCCAAACAAUAUUUGGAAUUUAAUUCUAAGAAAAACUUCCUUUGUACAACCAAAUAAGAAAAUUCAAUUGAAUCAAAUUCUACGGAAUCCAUUUCCUAUGGAAUCUAAUUGCUAGAAUAUGAUUCAUGGAAUGAGUUUCAAUUCUAGGGAAACAAACGGGCCAUGGUCUUCAUUCCCAAGGAAAGCUUGAGGCUCUGCAAUAUUACACAACAAUGAAGUCAAGAGGGUUGAUCCCUGAACCAAGGACCAAGAUACUGGUGAAAGCUAUACAUAUGAAGAAAGAUGGGGCUGUCAUAGAAGAUCAGUCUGCAAAUAUGACAGGGAAGAAUCUAAAACUGGAUCCACGAUCUAGACUAUUCCAUGUUCAUAAAUAGUUUGCUGUCAGAUCUUACUUCUAUGUGUCAAAAGAAUCUCUUCGACCAGUGUCCAGAUCACAAUGGUCACACCUUGGGCUACAAUAAAUCAUCAGCAAAGUGUAUUGGCAUUAUGUAUCCCAGAAAGUUUUGCUCAGACUUUCAAUGCCAGGGUAUGUUUUUUAUGUCUGAUAUGGAUCAAUUGCAGGUACUGUAUUACACGCUCGUAUUAUGAAGGUUAUGUGAAAUAUGACAGAUGUUUGUUUAUUCAUCUGUUAUGCAUGGCUGUGUCUACUGUCUAGUUGUUGGCUUGUUGCCAACAUAUGCAGCAGCAGGUAGCUUCAGCCGCUCAGAAGCCCAAAUGAAGGAUGGCCCAGGCAGAAUAGCUAUGUCCAGACCCAGAAAGCUUAGGACAUGUCUUGCCAGCCUGCAGUUUUGUACUCGUAGCACCAACCAUCUCCGGGUUCUGGCCGGUUAUAUACAUGGUCUGGAAUGGGCAUCCGCUGAUCGAUUGAAACCUUGAGUUGCUUCCGUGUGUCUUUUGCCAUCUAUAUAUUAUGGUUAGUCAACGGCAUGCAGUACACCCAUGCAUAUGAUUGCAGUAGGAUGACAUGGCGUGACCAGAACCCUUCUUUUGCCAGUUUUAGAUUCUUAUACACGGCCAACUGACGCAGCAGGGAGUUGCAUGCUAAGCAGUUCAGCGUAGGUGGUGAGUUCUCAACUCUGAUAUGGCUUAUGGAAGAACACUGUCACGGUGUCACCUAGCCGGUUGGAGGCCAACCUCUUACUAGGGACAGCAAUGGCCCUGUCCGGCCACUGUUUCGUGGCUGGUAUUAUUACCCCUAUGCAGUGAAUAUGACAUGUGGAUCUAUGUGUAUAUUAUGUCGUCAAAAGAACAUUAUAUGAACCGUUGAUCCACCUUUGAUUCUAUUAAUGUGUCAUGGUCAAUUGAUGUCAAACUCUAUUAUCUUCAAGUCUUACUGUAUUGAUAAAAUCACGAUGCUGCUACUGCCAUUUUGAUGUUUAUAAAAGGGUAUUGAGAACCUGGUGGGUAUCCAUUCGAUGCGCAGGGUUGGGGGUGGGGAAAAAUGAGUGUAAAGGACAGGGAUGCAGUAUUUAGAAAGAUGAGGCUGGCACAGAAAAUAGUCUCCAAGUAUGGCAGGGAAGAAUCUAAAACUGAAUCCUUGAUCAAGACUGUCCCAUAUUCAUAAAUAGUUCACUGACAGAUCUUGCUUCCAUAUUCUGAACAGCUGAUGCUGGGCACAUAGGAGGUUAACCGGUCAGCGGAUCAAAGAAAAUCCACAAUGGCCUCAUCUUGGGUUAGAGACAAUCAUCGGUAAAGAAUCAUAUUGCCGGAUAAGGAUAUCUGUGAUUGGUGGGUGCAGAUCCAUGCUCAUUCAAGAAACACAUGAUUCUUUACGGAUGAUCAUCUCUCAGCACACCCUGCUGAUAAGGUUAUCUGAGAUUGGUGGGUGCAGAUCCUAGAAACAAGCUAGGGCUGAAUGCGCCGCUGUACUUGGAUGUUGUGGUGACACCGUAAUGAUUGUGUGUUUAAUGGAGUUUUCCAUAGUGACUAGCGUGCAGGCCGUCCUCGUAUUUGAGAAAAAAAUCAAUGGGCGAAAUAUUUUCACCCAGGUAAUUGUUGCAUUGUAUGAAUAGGCUUAGAUACCUGGUUAAAGUAUGGUGCGUGUACUGUGACACAAGAAGAUUUAUCAUAUCUAUCUAUGAAUUAGUGUUAAAACUCCUACAUAAAUAUCUUCUCUUAUCUCACUUUAUGUAUAUAUAUGACACAGAAGCACAUGUAUAUCGGCAUUGUAGAGAUAGAGAUGAGAGAGAAGCUUAUCUGCUUUUUGGAGAUAAAUAUUCAAAUUACUAGUGUAUGAGAGGGAUAGAAUUAUUCUAUCAUAUUGUUUAUUCAACAUCUAAAAAGAUUCCAUGUUUAGUCAUCUAUAUCGGCGUUGUAGAGAGAGAGACUAGUGUUCAUCUGGUUGGAAGGAUGAGAGAGAGAGGAGAGAGUUUGGAUGAGAUAGAGAGAUAGUGUUCAGCUGGUUGGAAGGAUGAGAGAGAGAGAGAGGAGAGUUUGGAUGAUAGAGAGAUUAGUGUUCACUUGGUUGGAAGGAUGAGAGGGAGAUGAGAGAGUUCGGAUGAGGAGGUAGAGAGUUCGGAAGAGAGAGAGAGGUGAGAGUUCGGAUGAGAGGUGUGAGAGAGGUGAGAGUUCGGAUGAGAGAUAAAAUAGCUUAUAAGGAUGAGAGAGAGAGAAAGCGGUAUUCAGCUGGAUGGUGGAGACUUCAUAUAUUACUAAUAAUGCAUCCAAACAACAUUUGAAAUUUAAUUCUAAGAAAAACUUUCUCGGUAAAUCAAAACAAGAAAAUUCAAUUGAAUCAAAUUCUACGGAAUCCAUUUCCUACGAAAUCUAAUUGCUAGAAUAUGAUUCAUGGAAUGAGUUCCAAUUCUAGAGAUCCAAACGGGCCCUAAGAGAAUUGUAGUGAUCAACUCCCAAGUUGCAAUAUAUUCUAGGAAAUAGGUGGUUAUGAGGAUGAUACCUGCAGACAAUACUUUUUAUCCCUCAAUUCUUACAGAGAAUUGCACUAUCAACUGCAUUUUCAUUUGUGCCACGCUGCUCAGCUAUAAAAAACGGGGCAAAUCGACCAAAAUAAAUGAAUAAACCACAUGGUUUAGACUGGUGGCAUAUGUAUGUCUGAUGAGUUUAGAAUCCCAACAGACCUCUGUUUGCUUAUCCAACAGGAGGGAAAAAGUUUACUUACUAAAUCAGCUUUGCAUGUCAGGCUGCAAUUGUUAGAGAGUAGAAUUGGGUAAUUUGUGAACAUAAUUGAAUCAAAGUUUUGUCUCAGACUAGUAAUAGAAAAUGGUGAUGCUCCAUAGCUAGAACAACACGUUCCUACACUAGUUUAAAAAAUCCCCUGAAAUUGGGAACAAUGGUAAAGCCCAAACCAUACUUGGAACUUGGAAGGCCGCUGGCGGAUGUCAAAGUCAAAAACAGAAGCAGACAACGACGUCUCACCAGAUCACGAAUCAGAUGCGAUGCAUAUACAUGUUGCAGGCAUUAGCACGCAUCCCUUAGGAUUAAACAAUUCAGCAAGUAGCUCCCCUGCUGACCAAGAAAAGCAAGCUCUGUCUCGCAGCAAGCUCUUCAAUACGCUCCAGCCCAGCUCUACCAUGGCAUUUGCAAUGCGCGUCAUGAGCUUGCUUCCUGCCACCAUCGCCGUGAUGAUCGCAGCGGCCUCCUGGGGAGCGCACGGCGGUGCCAGCGACGAGGCCAGCGCGCUGCUUGCUUUCAAGGCUGAGCUCGCCGGCAGCGGCUCCGGCAUGCUUGCAUCCUGGAAUGGCACCGCUGGCGUCUGCAGCUGGGAGGGCGUGGCGUGCACCAGCGGCCAGGUGGUGGCACUGAGCCUGCCCUCUUAUGGGUUCGCCGGAGCCCUCUCCCCGGCCAUUGGGAACCUCACUUUCCUGCGGACCCUGAACCUGAGUUCCAACUGGUUCCAGGGGGAGGUCCCAGCAAGCAUCGGCCGCCUAGCGCGUCUGCAGACGCUUGAUCUGAGCUACAAUGCGUUCUCUGGUACGCUUCCUUCCAACCUCAGUUCCUGUGUCAGCUUACUGCUGUUAGAUCUCAGCAGUAACCGGUUCCAUGGGCGUAUCCCUGUUGAGCUUGGAGACAAGCUAACAAGUCUUCAGAAGUUCUCACUGGGCAACAACAGCUUGACGGGUGCCAUGCCAGGAUUACUAGGUAACCUGUCAUCCCUGAACUACCUUGAUCUGAGAAAAAACCACCUCGAGGGUCCGAUCCCACAUGAACUCGGCAGCAUGGGCGGCCUGCAGGUCCUUUUACUCCAUGACAACAGACUCUCCGGUGUGCUUCCACACUCCCUGUACAAUCUGUCCUCACUGAAAAAGUUGGGGGUAGGAGACAACAUGCUGUCUGGAACCAUCCCUGCUGAUAUCGGCGAUAGGUUCCCCGGUAUGGAAGCUCUUGACUUUUCUAGCAACCGAUUCAGUGGAGCUAUCCCACCUUCGCUCGGCAACCUCUCUGCUCUCACAAAACUAAUCCUUCAAGAAAAUGGUUUUAUUGGAUAUGUGCCUUCUGCUUUGGGAAAGUUGCAAAGUCUUACUGCCCUUUUCUUGGGUGUUAACAGGCUAGGAGCAAACGACAGUCAAGGGUGGGAAUUCAUCACUUCACUGGCAAACUGCUCCCAGCUUCAGGUUCUUGUUCUCGGCAACAACUCUUUCAGCGGGCAACUGCCUAAUUCAGUCACAAACCUGUCAUCAACUCUGCAAGGUCUUUAUUUGGGAGACAAUAUGAUUUCUGGGAAUAUUCCAAUAAACAUCGGAAAUUUGGUUGGUCUUACAGUAUUUGUGAUGGGAAAUACUUCUGUAUCUGGACAGAUUCCAGAGAGCAUUGGUCAGCUAAGAAACUUGGGUGUGUUAGGCCUUUACAACACUAGCUUGUCAGGCCUCAUACCUUCGUCACUAGGAAAUCUUACACAGUUGAAUAGGCUUUAUGCAUACUAUGGAAACUUAGAGGGGCCAAUUCCAUCAAACUUGGGGAACUUAAAGAAUGUGUUUGUCUUUGAUCUCUCAACAAAUCGACUCAAUGGUUCAAUUCCUAUAGAGGUUUUAAAACUUCCUCAACUUUCAUGGUACUUAGACUUAUCAUAUAAUUCAUUAUCCGGGCCACUUCCAAUUGAGGUUGGUACCAUGGUGAAUCUUAACGAACUGAUUCUGUCUGGAAACAAGUUGUCAGGCACCAUACCAGCUAGUGUUGGGAACUGUAUAUCGUUGGUACGGCUGCUGCUCGAUAACAACUUAUUAGAAGGAAGCAUACCUCAAUCUCUGAAGAACAUAAAAGGUCUUGCAUUACUGAACCUAACAAUGAAUAAGCUAUCUGGUAGUAUUCCUGAUGCCCUUGCUAGCAUUGGCCACCUGCAACAACUGUAUCUUGCACACAACAACUUGUCAGGUUCCAUCCCCAAAGUUCUACAGAAUUUGACAUUGUUGGCAAAACUGGAUUUGUCCUUCAAUGAUCUGCAAGGCGAAGUGCCAAAAGGGGGUCCUUUUGCAAAUGCAACUCACUUGUCAAUUGAUGGAAAUGAUGAGCUUUGUGGCGGAAACCCUCAACUUCAUUUAGCUCCGUGCUCCACAGCAGCUGCGGGGAAGAACAGAAGGCGAAUGUCAAGAUCACUUAUGGUCACCGUAGCGUCAAUCUGCGCACUUCUAUUCUUAGGUUUAGUAGUUUGUCUUAUCCAUUUGAUCCACAAGAGGCUCAGACAAGGAAAGGAAAAUCAACUCAUUCCCACAGCAAUUGAUGAACAGCACGAAAGGGUUUCAUAUCAAGCAUUAGCAAAUGGGACUGACCAUUUUUCGCAGGUUAAUCUGCUCGGACAAGGAAGCUAUGGUGCAGUUUAUAAGUGCACUUUACAAGACAAGGGAAUUACCGCAGCUGUAAAGGUAUUCAACGUGUGGCAAUCUGGGUCUACUAGAAGUUUUGUGGCUGAAUGUGAGGCACUGCGAAGGGUGCGCCACCGAUGUCUCAUAAAGAUCAUCACCUGUUGCUUAAGCAUUGAUCACCAAGGCCAAGAAUUCAAGGCACUGGUUUUUGAGUUCAUGCCCAAUGGUAACCUAAAUGGUUGGCUGCAUCCAGCAUCCAAAAUACAGAGUCUGAGCAAUACGCUCAGCUUAGCUCAGAGACUGGACAUUGCGGUAGAUAUCAUGGAUGCUUUGGAUUAUCUUCACAAUCAGUGUCAACCGCCUAUUAUCCAUUGUGAUCUCAAACCAAGUAACAUCCUCCUUGCCGAAAGUAUGAGUGCUCGGGUUGGAGAUUUCGGCAUAUCAAAAAUCCUUCCUGAUGACACUAGCAAAACUAUGCUGAAUUCGGUUAGCUUCACUGGACUAAGAGGUUCCAUUGGAUACGUCGCUCCAGGUAACAGAAACUAACACUGAUAUUGCUAUGUUCAGUUUUUAACUUCCAUUUUGCCAAGUCCAGUUAUCUCGGCAUGAAUCGUUCGUAAGUAGCUUGCCAUGAAUCCACUGACCAAAUAGUUUCUGAAAUCUGAAUUGACUGCAGAGUACGGCGAGGGUCGCGCCGUCUCAACUCUUGGAGAUGUUUACAGCCUCGGCAUACUGUUGCUUGAGAUGUUCACCGGGAUGAGCCCUACUGACGACAUGUUCAAAGGCUCCUUGGACCUUCAUAAGUUCGCCGAGGCCGCUCUCCCCGACAGAGCCUUGAAGGUAGCCGACCCGGCAAUCUGGCUUCAUGAAGAAGCAAAGGGGGAAGACCCGGCCACGGUGAGAAGCAGAAGCGAGAGGUGCUUGGCUUCAGUGGUCGGGCUUGGCGUGUCCUGCUCAAAGCAGCUGCCAAGGGAGCGGACGGCGAUGCGGGAUGCUGCCGCUGAGAUGCGUGCGAUCAGAGAUGCCUUCCUGGUUCAAUGUGCAACAGAGACUUGGCCUGCAGUCGGCACCAGCGGCCUUGGAAGCACAGACACUUGAAUGGUGGACGGAGCUACGGUCUCUUGACGCACCAAGGAGCCACCGGACUAGCUGCUCUGCAACUAACAGGGUGGAGAAAGCGCCCCUUAAUGAAAAGAAAAACAGCCGGUGCAAGGCUUUAUACAAAGAAUGUGACAGCCACUGCGUGUAUCCGAGAGCCUUAUCUAAUCUACCGAGGAUUGUUAUGUAUGGAUGCGUAUAGAUUAUGCACGGACUCCUCCGUCCCAAAAUAAACGCACAUCUUGCUUCUUGAGGAGUCAAACUUCUAAGUUUGACUAAAAUUUAUAAAAAAAAUGUACUACUAUUUAUAAUGUAUAAUAAAUAUCAUUAGAUUGAGCAUUGGGUAUACUUUCUUAAUACAUUUAUUUGAAGAUGUAAAUGUUGAUACUAUUUUUUAUAUUCUUAGUCAAAUUUAAAAAUAUUUGACUCAUCGAGAAGCGAGAUGUGUGUUUAUUUUGGGACGAAAGGAGUACCCGUCACCGGGAUUAGUCAUGAUAUAAGAUUAGUCACGAUAUAAGUAGGGAUUAGCAAGCACCAAAACCCCAUUCACUGCCCAUCGAUCGCUCAAAUAAAAGAAACCAUUGCAUAUGGUGGCGAUGCGCUCGCGGGCCUUUCUCCAACCUUUCUGCUCUCGCGGGUCUUGAACUUGCAUGGAACAGUUUUAGUAAAGCUGCCUCCAACUUUAGGGAGAUUGCCAAGGUUCAUUUACCUGUCCUUAAGUGGCAAUAAGUUAGGAUCGAAUGAUAAGGACGGAUUGGAAUUCAUCACCAUGCUGGCAAACUUCAGCCAGCUUCAUCAACUGGCUUUUGACAAUAAUUCAUUCAUCGGCGAACUUCCUAGCUCAAUUGCAAAUCUAUCGACAACACACCAAUUACUCUAUAUACGAUACAAUUGGAUUUCGGGAUUUAUUCCAUCCAGCAUAGGUAAUUUGCUUGGUCUAGAACUGCUUACGUUGGCAAAUACUUUCAUAUCCGGAAUGAUUGUAGAUAGCAUUGGUCGCCUAGAAGACAUGUCCGUGUUAGGCAUUUACUACGCUAGCUUGUCAGGUAUCAUACCUUCAUCACAAGGAAAGCUUACACAGUUGAAAACUCUCUAUGCGUACGAUAGCAACUUGGAGGGUUCAUUUCCAGCAAGCUGGGGGAACUUAAAGAAUCUUUUUGUUCUUAAUCUCUCAACGAAAGUGCGUAACCCGCUAAAGUUUCAUGUCAAAGCAGAGCAUAAAUCUCUCUCAAAACUGCAAAACUAUCAUAAAGCAGAUCAGUCUGAGGGCUAGCCUAUGCCCUAUCAACGCCUCCCUUCUUGCCCUUUUGGUAAGAUUACCCCAAACUAGAGUCUAUAAUUAAUUAGCUAAGACUAGAGCCACGUAGUUCUUGUGGUUGUACUGUUUUCCUGAGUGGUCGCUCCAUGUUCCAAUUAAGCAUGAUGAUCUUGUAUUAAUAAAAGGUAUAUCAUAAAUAAAACAAGUUUAAUCAUUGAGUUCAUUAAAACCAUCACAAUCCAAGGUAUUGCAACUAAGCAUAUCUACCUUAAAAAAAGGUAAAACCCAGGUUGACAAGGAAUGAUCAUAAAAACUAGGUAAACCUUAAUAGGACCUAUCAAUAUUAAAUGUAGAGCAAUGCAAAAGUGAUUAAAUAUAGUUUUUGGGAUAAAAGUAUAAGGACACACGUGCCUUUCUCCAAAGAAUAGCUGCUCAGAUUAUCUUCCGCUCUUGUUCCUCAAAGCUCUCGAACAAUGUUCCUUCUACUUGCAUCAAUCAUCGGCACAAGCAUACCAAGCAAACAACAAUCACAACUAAGAACAAUACAUCAAUCAUUGGAAAGCUUUAAAAGAGCGUACUAAAGGAUAAGGCUUGAAUCUAAGGUCACGCGAAUGCAAGAAACGCUGGGAACAAAACUAUGGUUGAAAAGACAAAGUUAUCGAGAGAUUUGAAUUAUAAAAGAAAGAGAAAAGCAUAUGUGCUUCAUAUAUUUUAAUAAAACAAUGUAAAGAUAUUUUAGAGAAACAUCCUUAGCAUGUUAUAGUUAUGUAUGAAAAGACAAUGUAGAACUUAGUCAAAUUUUAUUAUAAACAUUCAAGUACAAUUUAUGCAAAUUAAAAAUUUAAUUUGAAAAUAAAGUAUAUGUAAACAUCUAAGCGCAUAGCUUUAUGAUUUAGGUUGAACUAACCAAAUAUAAUUAAAAACACAUUUAUAUUUAUAUUAAAUCAAAUUAACAUAUAAUUAUGAAAACUCGAGAUAUAAAUUAUGUAGCUUUUAUUUAGAAAACAAAUUGAAUAAACAUUUUAAUUAAAGAAGACAUGUUUAACAUGCAUUAAUUAGAUUAAUAUUAAAUUUAUUUUAAAAACAUGCAUGAUGGAAAGAUCGGCACUAACGUGUAAUUUGUGAUUCAGGUUGAACUAACCAAAUAUAAUUCAAAAACACAUUUAUAUUUAUAUUAGUCAAAUUAACAUAUAAUUAUGAAAACCCAAGAUGUAACUUAUGUAGCUUUUAUUUAGAAAACAAAUUGAAUAAACAUUAAUCAAUUUAAGUUUAAUUAUGAACCACCGUGGUGCAUCUCUAAUUCGCUUUUAAUUGAAAGAGUUAUUUAAAUAAGCAUUAAUAACUAAAUUAACAUUUAUUAUGAAAAGCGGUUAUAACACUAAGUAGCUUUUAAUUAAGGAAGACAUGUUUAACAUGCAUUAAUUAGAUUAAUAUUAAAUUUAUUUUAAAACAUGCAUGAUGGAAAGAUCACUACUAACAUGUCCUAAGAAUGGAUAUAAACGGAGCUGUAAUGAGGAGUCCAUGGGUUAAACAAGGUUGCAGGGCCUAAUCGCGAUUAACGGAAGGUUAUUGGGGCUAGCAAGGAAGAUUUGCAAGACACUGGAAUAGAGCUCACCAUUAGGUCAAAGCAUAGGGUUAGAUAUGUUAAAGUGCUCAGGUUAGACUUGGUUGCACGGAUCCAAUCUAAUCAGGGACAUGGAUGAAAAAAAACAAGACACAAGGAAAAACUAACUAUUUGUAGAGCUUUAUAGGGGCCUAUGCGCAAAAGCACCACAGCUCAGCAUCCAUGGUGGACGGGCUCCUGGAUGGCAAAACCCUCGUGUCAGAUUUAUAAGCCUGGUAGUCCACCAAGGGAUUCCCCAAGUGGUUGAUUUGUAGAUGAGGGUGAUUGUGAAACCAAGAACUCGAAGGUGGUCGCGAGAACACGAAGGGACACUUAGACAAGUUCGGACCUUCGGAGAGUAAUACCCUACGUCCUAUAUGCUGGUUUGUAUUGCUUGAGAUUGAUCUAAUUGUUGCGAUACCCUCGGGGGUGCCCUUGGCCGCCUUAUAUAGGCUGACGAUCAAGAGUUAAAAGUCGGUUUGAAUCUAAUCUACUCGGUAGUUACAUGGAAAGUAAUCUGAGUUGGACUACAAUAUGUGUUCCAUGAUAUCUGGGCAGAUUUGAACUAUCUUAUUGCCUUGACUUGCACUCCAAGUAACUUUAUGUCCUCGGCCCGCACGCUCUGAUCGGGCAGGCCCUACUUGUUAGUCCGACCAGUAUCCUGGCCGGUCAGGGCCCAUGGGGUACCCAUAUCCCUUAAGGCCCCAAGCAUUGUGUAGGCAAACAGGAACUUGAUGUCAUCAAAGUGAAACUUGGAAUGAAAUCGGGUGAAGCUGACGAAGAGCCAACGCGUAGAGCGAGGAUGAGUGCCGAGUUGAUGGAUGCUGGCAUCCAGCAGGUCGAAGCGAAGGUUACGGAGGGCGUCGCAAGACGCACUCUGUAGGAGUAGCCCCGGAGCAUUGAAACAAUUAAGAUAAUCAAUACAAUGGUCAAAGAGGAAAAAAUUGUCCCCUGAAGUAGAUCCUUGUGCCCGAACACAAGGAUGGACGCAGCCACGGAGGCCCGCCAACCAGAAGUAGGCACCUAGACUCAAGGACGAGGACUGGUGGGACUGUGGAGCCAUGCCGACCUGAAAUAGGCAUCUAACCCCUGAGGACGAGGACUAGCAGAGCCGCAGAGGCAUGCUAACCUGAAAUAGGUGCCUAGCCCCCGAGGAUGAGGACUGGCGGAGCCAUGAAGGCACGCCGACUUGAAAUAGGUGCCAAGCCCCCAAGGACGAGGACCAGCAGAGCCACGAAGGCACUCUGACCAGAAUUAGGCGUCCAGCCCCCGGGCAUGAGUGCGAGGAUUGGCGGAAGCACAUCGAGUUGCCUCCCUUCCCGGGCUCAGGCAGAGAGGUUGGUCGGGUGACGAGAGGCACACCAAGUCAUCAAUGGUGCCCAGCCGCCGAGCCUAGGAGCCGGACGAGUUGCAAAAGCAUGGCAAGUCACCUCCCGCCCCGAGCCAGAGAGGUCGGCUGGGCGACGGGAGGCACGCCGAGUCAUCUACGGUGCCCAGCCCCCGAGCCUUGGAGCCGGCUGAGCCACAGAAGCACGCCAAGCCGCCUCCCGCCCUGAGCUAGAGAGGUCGUUUGGGUGACAAGAUGCACGCCGAGUCGUCUGCGGCGCCUAGCCCUCGAGCUUGGGAGCCAGACGAGCCACAGAAGCAUGCCAAGUCGCCUCCUGUCCCGUGCUAGAGAGGUCAGCCGGGUGAUGGGAGGCACGUCGAGUAGUUUUUGAGCUAUAAAAGAACAAUACAAUCAUUAUGUAGCAUAAUGUAGAUCAUUUAAUCAUUGAACAACUCGGAAGUUUAAUUCGCUGUAGAAGUAAACUCUUGCGCAUCCUGCUCUUAUAGGCCAAGUAAUUUCCCUAGGUAGUUAUCUUGUUACGUUUAAGCACCUAGCCCUACUGACCACUGUUCACGGAGAGGAUGGUUUAUCUUAGGCUAUAGUGCUGGGGCUGACCCGAUGCUCGCAUAUAGGAACGCGCAGGAUGAGUCAAGGUUUCACGGAUUAAGGCGUGUGCUACCCGAGUACUUUAGCAACCGUUAACAGGGAUGGACAAGUCGCAAAGCAACCGGAACUGUGCGGAAAAGCACCAGCAUGAGUUGGGCACCCAUGGGGUGUAGCCCCCGGCCGCCCGUGUAGUGGACGGAACAAAAGUCACGACAACAUGGAGGAGCCGAGGCUUAUGUAGGUAUAUGGAAGCUGUAAAAUAUUUUAUUGUAAAUAAUACUUAGCUUGAUUCGUGGUCGAGUCAAAGAACCCGCGUGUCAUCUUCGCGUUUAGUCUUAGAAGCCCCUGAGCGUGGUCGGCGGACAGUUGUUGGUGAAGCAAACUAGUCGGGCUCCAUGCCCAACUAAUUCGUGUCGAGUUCGAGUUGUUGGAGUUGUCAGCGGCAGGUUUGUGGUUGCGAUUGUGGUAUGCUGUUGCCAAGUCGAUGUGGCCAUCGGGUCGUGUCCGGCUGGCCGCUACGCUCACAGUACAGCAUGUCUGGGUUGUGCUGCCAAACCAAGGGUGCAUGUACAUCUUUUCGAACCUUGCAAGGAAGCCCUCACGUAUUAAGGAAAUCUAUACCUAAUAUUAAAGCUCCCGCAGCGUGCGCCUAUGCCACGUGUGGUGUGGACGGGUGUGCCGGCUGCGGCUGCGAGCUCCUCACUGCGGCAGGGACCAGGUCGAGCAGCGACAGUGAUGACGAAGGGGAGUAGUCCGCGUCUGCGUGCCAUGCCACCAUCGCCGGGCAAGGUGUGGCAGCGGCGGAGGGGGAGAGUGAGUACAUCGGCGUGCAGCGGCGGCCGUGGGGUAGGUGGGCGGCGGAGAUCCGCGACCCGCACUACGCCGUGCGCAAGUGGCUCGGCACCUUUGACACAGCUAAGGAUGCCACGCGCACCUACAACAUCACCGAUGUCGAGUUUUGAGGCCACUGCACCAAGAUCAACUUCCCCGACAACACGGCCCCCGCGCCCGCACCUUCCUGGGUGCCAAACUCGACAUACCACCACCACGACCACUUGCCGCUGCCGCUGCCCGAGAGCCUACACGAGACCUGCGGGGCGAACGCAUCCUCGUCGAUGGAUGUGGCUCUUGCGGUAGCGGCGUCGGCCGAGCAGCACGGCACGAGGCCGGUGCCGAAGGAGCAGGACAUCUGGGACAGGCUGAACGAGUUCAUGAUGAUGGAUGACGGUAGCUUUUGGUCACCCAUGCUAUGAUCAUCACAUUCUCCUCCAUUCUCCUCUUGUUUUCACUUUCGUUGCUUAGCGGAUAAUGGUGGUCAGCUGGCCUCUGGUCUGUCGUCAAUCGCCAGCCAUCCAUCGCUUUUAUAUGGUUUUGCACUAGCUUUUGGGCUUUGACCACACCCUCCACACCCAUACGAAAUGACUAGGUAGAGUGAUGUUGAUAUACUGCUUGCCGCGCGCUAGGGCGAGCAGCUACUCACUCGGGCUAGAUGCCCUACCCGCCACCUGGACCUAAGAGGUGAAGGAGAGAGGAGGGAGGGGGAAGGAAACAAGGAGCCGAGUGCCUCUUUGCAGUCAACCAAGUAGAGCCAUAUGCCAGCGAAGGCAUGGCGCCAGCGAGGGGGGGGGGCGCAGCGGCAGUCGGUAGGCAACACAAACAGGGGGCGGAGGUCGGGACCUCACAUCCCCCUCUCAAUGAUGUCCAUCCCCUUCAUAUCCAGAACUAAAGCCUCCACAUCUAGCAAUUGGGGGCUCGAUUUUGCACUUGAUUGGAACGAUUUGGAGUGGAUUAUAGAAGGGAAGUGGAUGGAAACGAGAAGAAGAGGAAAACACACUCCUGCUCAUGGCGGCCAGAGGCGCGGUGGCCUAGGUCUCGAAGCAGGAAUGAGGCUAGGCACGGGAAGGACGAGCGUUUGCCUAGGCGACGGUGAGGAUGGCAAGAUGCGUAGCGCCUGGAUGAUGGCGAAGAUAGGGCAUGAUGCGGGUGGCGCCGACGGACGAAGUGGCAUCGACUAGCUAGAUGACGAUGAGUACGGGGGAAAUCGAAUGAAUGGAUAGAGCGGAGGUUGAGCGGUGAUUUUUUUUUAUUUCCAUGUGUGGGUCCCAUGUAAUAAACAGAUGGCAUCAAACCACCCACAAAUAUCUUCUACUACUGUACUGGGAUAACGCAUCAACAUAUGGUGAAGCGAAAUCAACAUAUUAGGAACAAGCAAAUAAUAAUGUGAGAGUAAGUAAGGACUUGUAGCAACGUACAUGUAUUUCUGCUAGUAAGAAAAAAAAUUGUUAGCUGCCGUAGUAAGCACCAAGCAACGUAGGAGAUCUACUGGAUGGAAUAGAUUAAAUAAUAAAGGGAAGGGAGAAUUGUUCCUUUUUUUUGGCAGAUCCGACGUGUCUGCAUGCAACAAGUUGAGGUCGACGUGUUGUGCUAAAUCAACCGGAUCAGACUGGGGCCGGAUCAGGCGAGCUUGGCUGUGGCCGGGAUGAGGCCAAUAAGGGCGUCGCCCUUGACCUUGGCCUCCUGUGCCUCGCGGAUCUUCUACAUCUGGAGCAUCUGCUCCAUGAUGAGCUCGUAGUGGCACUUCUUGUAGGCGUGGCGCUCGGGCUCGCACUUCCAGCGGAGGUAGAACUCGGAGGUGCACGCACUGGUCGUGGUAGGCGAGCGGCACCAAGGCCUCCGCCAUCUCCACCUGCGUGAUGAUCUGGGGCUUCGUGGAGUCGAACUGAAUGCCGGCCAUUGCCGCCGCCUCCAUCUGUCACUUUCUUGCCCUCUCUCUUGCCGGCGAGGUCGUUCCGUUGAUAGAUGGGUGCUGCGGGUUUGGUGCGGCGUGGGUGGGUGGUGUGCAGCAAGGACGUGAGGAACCCUCUCGGAGAGAGAGAUUGCUUACCUACUAGGUAAACGGUGUGAUGAUCCUUUGAUAUAGACCUUGCUCCGCCGGAGUAAAUUCGACAGAUGCCAAGCUGGCGGCGGGCAUUGAGUCGAAGUCCACCGGCAUGCUCCUGAAGUGGAGCUGGAUCGGAUUGGCGAGGAAGUCCUUCAUGCUCUUGGGGAAAACAAUGUCGGGGCGGGAUGCCAUCGAGCUCGCUAGGGAGGAUCUUACAAUCAUCCCUACCUAGCGCGCCAACUGUUGGAUUUAUAAGCCCGGUAGUCCACCAGGGGGUUACCCAAGUAGUUGAUUUGUAGGUGAGGGCAAUUGCAAAAUCAAGAACUCGAAGGUGAUCGCGAAAACACGAAGGGACACGAAGGUUUUAGAUAGGUUCGGGCCUCCGGAGAGUAAUACCCUAUGUCCUGUAUGCUGAUUUGUAUUGCUUGAGAUUGAUAUGAUUGUUGGGAUACCCUCGGGGGUGCCCUUGGCCGCUUUAUAUAGGCUGACGACCAAGAGUUACAAGUCGGUUUGAAUCUAAUCUACUCGGUAGUUACAUGGAAAGUAAUAUGAGUCAGACUACAAUACGCGUUCCAUGAUAUCCAGGCAGAUUUGAAUUGUCUUGUUGCUUUGACGUGCACUCCAAGUAACUUCAUGUCCUCGACCCGCACGCCUUGGUCGGGUCGGCCCUACUUGUCAGGUCUGACCAGUAUCUUGAGGUACCCAUAUCUCUCACCUUGGUGCUCCGGCGAUUAGGGUCAGUGGCGAGGAUGGGGAUUGGAAGAGGAGAUCGAGGGGACUUUAUGGAGAUGCUCACCGGCGACGAGGCGGACGGAUUCUGGCCAGUAUUUGGCUGGCGGUGGAAGAACACGACAGCUGGCUCAAGUCUUCGUGAGUGAUGGUACUCCGGCGGUGGAGCGACGACGACGACUGGUGGCAGAGCUGCUCCUCGAUGUCACGGAGCUCCCUAAGGCUCUAGCUUGCUCCGAUGGUCGACGAGCACAGCGAAUCGGCCAGAGAAGGACGGCAGUGGCUCCUAGCUCUGGCGGAUGUGGGGGAUGGCAGUGCUCGUGCAAGCUAGGAAGAGUGGCGGUGUGAGGCAGGGCAAUAGCAGGGGCACAAUCUCGACUUUUAUAUGUGCGUGGGUCCGCGCCUGCCUUGGCACGCAUGCCGAGGUUCGGCGGUGGCGAUGCCCAAGUGCAGCUACGCUUGGCCUCGACCCGCUGUUGGUCGAUGGGCCUAGCGGGCCUAGCCGAGCCAUCAACUGGGCCGGGUCAGUGCAGGUUAGUUGGAGAGGGUCGGGCCCCAAAGACUUGGCCCCAUCGAUUAGGAUUUUUCUUUUUUUCAGAAAUGAUUUCUCGUGAAAGAAAAAUCCAGAAAAAUUCUAGAUAAUUAAUUUAAACAAUGAAAAAACUCUAAAAAUCCAAAAAUUUCAGGAAAAAUCAUCUCUAGUUUGGGACAUGAGGAGUCCAAAUAAAAUACUUGGACCUCGUGAAAAGGAUUCUAGAACCUUCCAAAAAUUGGAUUUAGCUUUAGAAAAAAAUGAGAAUAAAUCUUAGAAAAAUCUGAAAAUUCUCAUAAGAACCUAAUCAGCAUCUAAACGCAUUCCAAAACCUUUGCACUUAUGAAAUACCAAGAUGCAUUGGUGUGAAUGCAACCCAUACACAAUCAUUAUAUUUAAUUCAGAAAAACACUCAAUUGUUUUCCUAUACUAAAUUUCCUCUUAAGAAAAUAAAUGUUGGAAAAAUUUUAAAAUUGUGAAAAAAUUAUUGUUUAAUUAUUCUUUUUAAUCAAAUCCUGAAAUUUCAAAAAUUUUAAGGUGAGGCAGAUACCCUCAGGUUUACAGAAUUUGACAUCCAUGUGCAAAUUGGAUCUAUCCUUCCAUGAUCUACAAGGUGAAGUGCCAAAAGUUUUUUUUUGGCAAAUGCAACUUACAUGUCGAUUUAUGGAAAUGAUCAGCUUUGUGGUGGAAAUACCUCAACUUCAUUUAACUCCAUGCUCCAUGUCCAGUGCAAAAAAGAAAAAAAAGGAAAUUUGUCGAAAACCCUUGUGAUCACCCUAACAUCAAUCGGUGCAGUUGUAUUCUCAGUUUCAGUACUUACUGUAAUUGUGUUGAUCUGUAAGAAGCUUAGGAAAAGGCACGAAAGUCAACUCAUAUCCACAACUGAGGAACGGUAUGAAAGAGUUUCUUAUCAUGCUUUGUCAAAUGGGACCAAUGGAUUUUCAGAGGACAAUUUACUUGGACAAGGAAGCUAUGGCAUGGUUUAUAAAUGUACUUUACAUGACCAGGGCACUACAGUAGGCUACUGUAAAGGUGUUUAACACACAACAAUCUGGGACUUCUAGAAGUUUUGUCGCUGAAUGCGAGGCACUCAGAAGGGUGCGUCCUCGUUGUCUCGUAAAGAUCAUCACUUGUUGCUCAAGCAUCAAUCACCAGGGUCAAGAGUUCAAGGCACUAGUUUUUGAGCUCAUGCCAAAUGGUAGCCUAAAUGGUUGGCUUCACCCAGAGUCUGACACACUUACCCAGACAAAUACCCUUAGCCUUGAACAAAGGCUACACAUUGCUGUCGAUAUCCUGGAUGCUUUGGACUAUCUUCAUAAUCACUGUCAGCCAUCAAUCAUUCAUUGCGAUCUCAAGCCAAGCAACAUCUUUCUUGCGGAGGACGUGAGUGAGUGCCCGAGUUGGAGGUUUUGGCAUACGAAGAAUCCUUCCAGAAAGUGCUAGUAAAACCCUGCAAAAUUCGAAUAGCACAACUGGAAUAAGAGGCACCAUUGGUUAUGUUGCACCAGGUAAUGAAAGAGAUAUUUUUGGUAUUUGUAAAAUGUUCUUAGUUCUUACGUAUACAUGACCUGCUGACCUUUGGAUUUUUUCCCCAAUCAGAGUACGGUGAAGGUUCUUCUGUCUCAACUCAAGGUGAUGUUUAUAGCCUCGGCAUAUUGCUGCUUGAGAUGUUUACUGGAAGGAACCCAACAGAUGAGAUAUUCAAUGAUUCUUUGGAUUUGCACAAGUUUUCAGAGAAUGCUCUUCCAGAGAGAAUAUGGGAUAUAGUUGAUCCGACAAUACGGAUGCACACAGAUGCCUAUAACAGCACUAUAAGAAGUGGAAUUAAGAAUUGCUUGGUUUAUGUUGUUUCUCUUGGAAUAUCAUGCUCGGAGAAACAACCUAGGGAGCGGAUCCCGAUUCUGGAUGCAGCCAUUGAGAUGCACGCUAUUAGAGAUUCGUAUCUCAAGUUUGCCAGAUCUCUUUUGGUGGAGCAUGGAGUAGUAGCAACAACUCACAGUGAUUUUCCACAACAGUGAAUACAUAGGACUGAAAAUGCGCAAGAUGUCUGCAGAUGAUCAGUUUACCUGAAAUAACUGAAGAUGUAUGAAGCUUCAGCUUUAUAAUUUGUCCAUGCAUUUGUUUGCAUCAGAUAUAUGGAAGUAUAAAAUAAGUUUAGAAAAUGUUUCAAAAUAGAUUAGAUCCAGAGGUUUUAGUUGUCGUUUGUAUGACACAUUUUUGUAGAGAAUUCAGUAAUAUGUAUGAUUCAUAAUACAAUCAAUGCUCUGCAAAUUUCAGAUAGCACAAUUGGAAUAAAAAGCUCAUUCCUUGAUUAUGUUUCUCUAGGUAACUCAACUUAUUGUGAUGUUCACUGUAGAUUUCUCCAUGGUCCAAACGACCUUUGUGAUCAGUUAUGUUUAUGCAUUUUGUAGAAUUGUAAAGUCUUUCCCUAACCUGCUGACAUAUUAGCCGGAGCAUAGCACUUUGCCGUUCUGUACCACUCGCCUCUAGGAGGCGCUUGCCGCUUGGUGGCUGCCGUGGCGACCGACGGCAUCCGUACCUGCUCUGUCGGAGAUGGGUGGAGCUGCUCUGCUCUGCCGGUACGAGCUCACUCGCGCCGUGAAUGGCGCGCGCCUCUAAGGUCUCAUCAGCUGCAGGUGCAGAUGGGUGGAGAGCUUAGCGGCGCUAGGUCUUCAGAAGAUGGGGCUUUGCAGCUCUGAAUGGUGAGGCGGGCAGGGACGACGGAGCUGGACGCGUGGGGAGGAGACGAUGGGCAUUUCUGAUAAUAGUUGGAUCGCGAUCCAAAUUAGGGGGCUAUUUACAAAUAAUAGGGGGUAUUCCGUAAAUAUUCGGAUCGCGAUCAUUAAUCGCGAUCCAAAUGAGGGGUUAAUUGAAAUUAUGAUGGGGUGUCUUUUGAAAUUCCGGAUCGCGAUCCCAUCCUCCGCCGCGGCUCGCCGGAGCGCCGCCAGACGCCGGCCAUCCCUUGGGGUACCUCUUCUUCCUUCCGCUUGUCGGAGCCCUAAGACGUGGUCGGUGUUUGAUCUGACAAGGAACCUUGAAGUCCGGACUAACUGAAGAAGACAGACAUGAUGCUGACCUGGAAGACGACGGCCUCGCCAUGGCUGGAUGCGGCGCGGUGGAAGGACAGUGUGGUGGAGGGCGUGGUCCACCACAUUCCGUCGACGGGCGGCGCACUUGCUGUCGCCUGUCGGCUACUUCCAGGCCGUAGCUGAGCUUCAGAGUUCAGACAGGGUGCUUGUGCUUGCAACAAGUUCAGAACGAUGUCAUUAAUUUGAUGCAGAGGAUGGAGCAAACCGGUUGCAAAUUGGAUUCUGAUACAUAUAACUUAAUAUUGAACCUUUAUGUCGAUUGGAAAUAUGAGAAGGGGUGCACCAAAUAUGGGAUGAGAUGGAGAGGAGUGGAUCAGGCCCAGAUCAACGAUCAUUUACUAUUAUGGUUCAUGGUCUUCAUUCCCAAGGAAAGCUUGAUGAGGCUCAACAAUGAAGUCAAGAGGGUUGAUCCCUGAACCAAGGACCAAGAUACUGGUGAAAGCUAUACAUAUGAAGAAAGAUGGGGCUGUCACAGAAGAUCAGUCUGCAAAUAUGACAGGGAAGAAUCUAAAACUGGAUCCACGAUCUAGACUAUUCCAUGUUCAUAAAUAGUUUGCUGUCAGAUCUUACUUCUAUAACCUGAACAGAGGAUUGCUGGGCACGUAUUAUGUGUCAAAAGAAUAUCUUCUACCAGUGUCCAGAUCACAAUGGCCACACCUUGGGCUACAAUAAAUCAUCAGCAAAGUGUAUUGGCAUUAUGUAUCCCAGAAAGUUUUGCUCAGACUUUCAAUGCCAGGGUAUGCUUUUUAUGUCUGAUACGGAUCAAUUGCCAGUACUGUAUUACACCGCUCGUAUUAUGAAGGUUAUGUGAAAUAUGACAGAUGUUUGUUUAUUCAUCUGUUAUGCAUGGCUGUGUCUACUGUCUAGUUCUUGGCUUGUUGCCAACAUAUGCAGCAGCAGGUAGCUUCAGCCGCUCAGAAGCCCAAAUGAAGGAUGGCCCAGGCAGAAUAGCUAUGUCUAGACCCAGAAAGCUUAGGACAUGUCUUGCCAGCCUGCAGUUUUGUACUCGUAGCACCAACCAUCUCCGGGUUCUGGCCGGUUAUAUACAUGAUCUGGAAUGGGCAUCCGCUGAUCGAUUGAAACCUUGAGUUGCUUCCGUGUGUCUUUUGCCAUCUAUAUAUUAUGGUUAGUCAACGGCAUGCAGUACACCCAUGCAUAUGAUUGCAGUAGGAUGACAUGGCGCGACCAGAACCCUUCUUUUGCCAGUUUUAGAUUCUUAUACACGGCCAACUGACGCAGCAGGGAGUGGCAUGCUAAGCAGUUCAGCGUAGGUGGUGUGUUCUUAACUCUGAUAUGGCUUAUGGAAGAACACUGUCACGGUGUCACUGUCCAACCUCUUACUAGGGACAGCAAUGGCCCUGUCCACUGUUUCGUGGCUGGUAUUAUUACCCCUAUGCAGUGAAUCUGACAUGUGGAUCUAUGUGUAUAUUAUGUCGUCAAAAGAACAUUAUUUGAACUCUAUUUGUGGCGCCACCUUUGAUUCUAUUAAUGUGUCAUGGUCAAUUGAUGUCAAACUCUAUUAUCUUCAAGUCUUAUUGUAUUGAUAAAAUCACGAUGCUGCUACUGCCAUUUUGAUGUUUAUAAAAGGGUAUUGAGAACCUGGUGGGUAUCCAUUCGAUGCGCAGGGGUGGGGGUGGGGAAAAAUGAGUGUAAAGGAUAGGGAUACAGUAUUUAGAAAGAUGGGGCUGCCACAGAAGAUAGUCUCCAAGUAUGGCAGGGAAGAAUCUAAAAACUGAUUCCUUGAUCAAGACUGUCCCAUAUUCAUAAAUAGUUCACUGACAGAUCUUGCUUGCAUAUUCUGAACAGCUGAUGCUGGGCACAUAGGAGGUUAACCGGUCAGCGGAUCGAAGGAAAAAAAAAUCUUGCCUGUCAGUGUCCACAAUGGCCUCAUCUUGGGUUAGAGACAAUCAUCCCUAAAGAAUCAUAUUGCCGGAUAAGGUUAUCUGUGAUUGGUGGGUGCAGAUCCAUGCUCAUCCUAGAAACAAGCCAGGGCUAAAUGCGCCACUCAUUUUAGAUGCUUGGAUGUUGUGGUCACACCGAAAUGAUCGUGUGUUUAAUGGAGUUUCCCAUAGUGACUAGCGUGCAGGCUGUCCUCGUAUUCGAGAAAAAAAAAAUCAAUGGGCGAAAUAUUUUCACCCAGGUAAUUGUUGCAUUGUAUGAAUAGGUUAGAGUAUGAAUGUGCGUGUACUGUGACACAAGAAGAUUUAUCAUAUCCAUAUAUGAAUUAGUGUUAAAUUUGCUACAUAAAUAUCUUCUCUUAUCUCAUUGUAUGUGUAUAUAUGACACAGAAGCACAUGUAUAUCGGCAUUGUAGAGAGAGAGAUGAGAGAGAGAAGCUUAUCUGCUUUUUGGAGAUAAAUAUUCAAAUUACUGGUGUAUGAGAGGGAUAUAAUUAUUCUAUUAAAUUGUUUAUUCAACAUCUAAAAAGAUUCCAAUGUUUAGUCAUCUAUAUAGGCAUUGUAGAGAGAGAGACUAGUGUUCAGCUGGUUGGAAGGAUGAGAGAGAGGAGAGAGUUCAGAUGAGAAAGAGACUAGUGUUUAGCUGGUUGGAAGGAUGAGAGAGAGAGAUAGAGUAGAGUUUGGAUGAUAGAGAGAUUAGUGUUCACCUGGUUGGAAGGAUGAGAGGGAGAUGAGAGAGUUCAGAUGAGGAGGUGGAGAGUUUGGAAGAGAGAGAGAGAGGUGAGAGUUUGGAUGAGAGAGAAAGCAGCUAAGAAGGAUGAGAGAGAGAAAGCGGUAUUCAGCUGGAUGGUGGAGACUUCAUAUAUUACUUAGCGUUGCUACGGCGAAACGACGUUGCUUAGCGCGCGAUGUUUUUAUCGUGUCGUGUAGCGCACCACAUUUUUUAUCGUGUUGUGUAACUUUUUUAUUUUAGUAGUAUUAGACUUUUCAUACAUAAGGGGCCACGUGAGUGUGUCCAUAUCCCAACCGUGCGGAGACCGCUUGUCAUUGAAUUUGUUAUCUCUUGCUCUAUCUUGUGAUUGGUAGGCUUCUACAGCAAUUCUGCACAAAGAAGGCCCCACUUCGCCCCACUCCUGACGUCCGGUUAUUCCCACGCCUGCCCUCUCCCUCUCCAAUCCUCACCGCCAGCUCCUCAGGGUCUAGGUCGGCCCGUGAUGUAGUGGCCUAUUAUCCUUCCACCGUUGGAAGCGAGCAGUGAUCGCUGCUCUGUGAACCUAGCCUCAAGCUGUUCCUACCACUUCAGGUCCAGUGAUGCCCGAGCUUUCGCUUGGCCCGAACAGGCCACUACCAACUUGGAACGGGCAAGGCCAGCAAGGGCACAGAAUAGACCCAAGCCCAGAGUCCGCGCCCAACCAUCCACACCACCUUAAUGCCCCCACUUGGGUUACAAGCCCGCGCAACCAAGCUCGGUGAGGAUGGCUCGUGAGGACGAACAUUUAAGCUGGUGCGUUGCUGCUUCAGAUGGCGAGGUGAUACUAAUAUAACGAAUAGGAAAAUUUCACGUGGGUCCCAUGCCGCACCCACCCCUAUCCUUAUCCUUUCUCAUCUCUCUACUGUCUGUCCGGUCCUUAUCCUCCUCAUCUCAUCUCUCUCUCUCAAUCCCUCUCUCUCAAACUCUCUAUCUCUCCUAUCCCCUCUUUCUCUGGAGAACGCGGUGCACGGCCAGCCCCAGCGGCGGCCUGGAGGCGCGAGGUGCCGCCGGCGGCCGAGGGUUGCGGGGCUGCGGCAAGGAGCCUCCUGGCUGUGGAUGCGACGGCCUAGCCACGGGUGCCGGGCCGCGUCACACCGCGCGCUGCUGCCGUCGAGCGGGCCGCACGCACUGCCCACACACCAGGCGGCGUGGGCGGCCAGGCUGAGCGGCGCGGCCGGGGCUGGGGAGGCGACUCUGGUGCGGCCGAGGUAGCUUGGGCACGGCCGGCUGUGGUGGGUAGGGAGAGGUGGACGGCGGCACAACGGCAGCGCGGAGAGGCGGACGUCAGGCACGAACGGGUGAAAGGGGAGACUGGGAAAGAAAGCUGGACCCACCUAUCAAUGCAGCCGGGGCCGGGGCAGCGCGGGCGGCUGAGGCCGAGGCCAGGCGGCGCGGUCGGGGCCAGGGAGGCGGCUCUGGUGCAGCCAGCCGUGGCUGGCAGGGAGAGGCGGACAACAGCGCAACGGCGGCAUGGAGAGGUGGACGUCAGGCACGGGUGGGUGAAAGGGGAGACGGGGAAAGAAAGCUAGACCCACCUGUCAAUGCGUUAAUCUUACCUAUUAUUAAACAUCAGGGCCACCUCUCAUUGAUAGAAGUUGGACCAAACCAAAAAAAAGUGGGCAGAAGUGUUCCUCACUUUAAUAGUAACAAUAAAGUAUAGAUAAUGCAUCCAAACAACAUUUGGAAUUUAAUUCUAAGAAAAACAAAAUAUGAUUCAUGGAAUGAGUUUCAACUCUAGGAAUCCAAACAGGCCUUAGUUAUUUCUUAUGUAGCUCAAAUCAGAUGCAAGGUACGUCCUAACUUAAAAAACGUAAGUUACUUUGUGUUAUCUUGUGAAUCAGUGAUUAAUUACUUCCAAUCUUAUGUAAAAAGAACUACGAGUUAAAUUCUUUGUCAGAUUUAUACUGACAAGUUACAAGCACAUACCUCUGCAGUAACAGGCGAGCCCUAGACUAGUGGGCAAACCAAAAACAACAUGAUUCGUCAACUGAUCGAAUGCUAAUGACUAUUUUGCUAGGAGAAUGAACAUGAUUCAUGAAAAAAAGGGAGCUACUAACUUGGUCAAGGUCUCCGUCCUCUAGCGUGGGGAAGGGGCCAUCUUGCUCCACGCCACGUCUGCGUGGUUGCUCGGCGGGCGCGACGGCGUCGGCUGCGGAGUGCGGACGGCGCGUAGAUAUGUCAUUGUUGAUCAGGACAUGCACUGCUAUCACCGUCUGUUAUUGGUCAAGGUCUCCGUCCUCUAGCGUGGGGAAGGGGCCAUCUUGCUCCACUCCACGUCUGCGUGGUUGCUCGGCAGGCGCGACGGCGUUGGCUGCGGAGUGCGGACGACGCGUAGAUAUGUCAUUGUUGAUCAGGACAUGCACUUCUAUCACCGUCUGUGGUUGGCGUCCGCGGCCGAGCGGGUCAAGGUCUCCGUCCUCUAGCGUGGGGAAACAGGAUCUCUUCAAUCAGUGCUUCUACAGAAACGGUGCACGGUCACCACGGACCAACGACAUACCAUGAGAAAAGCAGAGCGAAAUGUUGCAGUAGCAGAGUGACCGGAGACUGGAGAGCACUUGCUGCUAAAAGCUGCCUCUUAUUUUGUAUCGUCUUAACAGAAGACUUUAAGUCAACCGCCAUUCGAUUCCAAUAUAAACUAGCAAGUUGGCCCGCGAUAAUACUGCGGCUAGAUUUGAUACAGUAUAAUUUUUUUAAAUACUAUGUUAGCUUAGUAUAUUUCUUUGUCCCUCUUGAUUUGUUUUUCAUCCUCUUGAAAUCACUGAGUAUAGUUAGGUGCCUUACUCUACACAUUGAGUAUCAAGCCAUAUGUGUAUAUUUGUUUUUUUGCAAAUGAACUCCGAUGCCACAUGUGCAUAUGCACGCCUAAUUAAAAUUGCUCACUUGUAACAAAAUAAGAACAACUUGAGUAGUUGAUUCUGAUCUUAUGUUGAAGUUUUUGCCAACUUUUCCUAGUAUUGUUGUGUUGAGUAGAAAGCCUGUGUAGAGAAAGAUACAAAACAAACGAUCGUGUCAACUACUCCCCAUGCUUGCUCAAAUGAUUUUGAAAAAAAAAAACAACCGCGCUCUAAGUCCUAGGGCGGUGAUAUUCCUCCUUACUUUCCUCCUCUUGUUUUCCAUGCACAAUCGAGGAUGACAAAUACCACAAACCACUUAGGCUCGAUCAUGUUUCAUCAUCACAUUCCUCAAAUCUUGAUCACGUUGUUGUCUUCAUUAUGCUAGCAGUACACAUCUCUCCGCCUCUUCUAUUCCACAAAACCAUAAUUGUUCACCGGCUCCAGCAUUGUUGUUGCUCUCCACCAAUCGAGGAAGCUCUUGUCCUUGACAUCACCUUAUCCACUGACCAGCUGAAGUUAUCUGUACAUCCAAAGGUCUCAUAAGAUUUUUGCUGGAUUUGCAUUAAUAUUAAUAUUGCCACCAAUCUAGUCUCAACCUCGCCUUGUGUUCUCCGUGGUCAUUUUUUAUUCUAACUUGCAAGCUCCACAACUACAUAUGAUGGUUCUUCUAUAUACAUAAUAUAUCGCAUCUUCUAAGACAUAUAUCGCGGGCCGGCGGCGCGCGGGGGAGCGGCGCCGGUGGAGCGGAGGCGACCGGUGGUGGGCGGAAGCGGGUGGGCGCGAGCGCGGGUGGAGGCGGAAGAGCGUGCAGGCGGAGGCGGAUGGGUGGAGGCGUGCAGCGGCGGCGGGCGCGGGCGUGUGGCAGCAAGGCCGGCGGCGCGGGGAGGCGGAGACCGGUGGCGGCCAGCCGGCGAGCGUGGGGAUUCUUUUUAUUUUUUUCGAAAUUUUUUAGUCCCGAUUAGUGGUUGGUAACCCAACCGGGACUAAAGGGGACCUUUAAUUCCGGGUGGAUGACCCGGGACUAAAAAUCUCCUCUUUUGUCAAGCCAUCACUAUUGUCCAUAUCACAACGCCUGUGCCUUCUCUUGUUGUCCUCCCCCUUCCCUCUACCUUGCACCUUCUGUUUUCCUGAUCCUAUUGCCAGUUUGUUGCAGCCAUUUAUGGGCACCUCUUUCAUCCAUUGUCCACUGUUGUUGCCCGCUGCUUCAGUUCUUCUCUGACCAAAGCGGUCGUAUCGCGCUGGCCGGUAGGAAGCCAUCAUCUCGCAAAAGCGUCAUCGUCGUCGCCAAACCACAUCUAGCCGAUGCCGAACCAUACUUGCCAUCUUCUUUGCCAAUUUGCCGCUAUGGAAGCCUCCAUGCAUCGCUCAUCAAGUCUAUCCUAUCUCUAUCAGCUCCUGUGGUAUCCUGUUUUGUUUUUGCCUCAACCACGAAGCCAUAGGUUGCUGGUGCUAAAUUGCAGGGCUAGCAACAGGUAUUUCCUCUCCCUGGCCUUGCGGCCAUGCUAUGUAUUUUUCUCUUUAAAAAAAUUACAAUGAUUUAAUCCUAAUGUUCCGAUCAUGUGUGAUUGGUUUAUUAAUUAAAGUUAGAGUUAUACUUGAGUAUAUUAUAUAAAAAUAAUAUAUAUAUAUAUAUAUAUAUAUAUAUAUAUAUAUAUAAGUUACCAUACAAAGUACAACUUCCUACAAGGUGGAGAGGUUCGGAUGGAAUUUUGAUUCAACUUACUCUAUUCUAGAUAUUAGAGUUGUACUAGCAAAAUAUGCUAGUAUGUUGCUACGGUAAAAGAUCAAUUGUGUUUUUCAAAUUAAUAAUAUUUUUUAUUUUCAUAACUAAAUUUUUAUUCCACUUAUUGGAUGUCCACACAUUUAAUAGAAAACUAAAAGAAUUUUUUAUUCAAGCAAGAUAGUUAAAUCAGCCUCCGAUGGCCACCGACGGGGGCUCUUUAGGACUCCUUUAGCCCCGGUUGUAAAGCUAGUGGUCCUCGGGAUUCUGGUGAGGCGUUUUGUCCCGGUUGUAACUACCAACCGAGACUAAAGGGGGGGCCUUUAGUCCCGAUCAGUGUUUCCAACACAGACAAAAUGCUCCUCACCUCCACAUACACAAUGCGCGUGCCCCAAUUUCUCUCCUCCCUCCCCUUAAUUCCAGCGGCCAGGCCUCCUCUCCUUAAUUCCAACACCCACAUGCCUCCUCUCCUCCUCCCUUCACCCCCUACCUCCUCUCCUCCCUCUCUCUCUCUCCUCCGCCGGAUCCGGCCGGCCCCCACUCCCUCUCCCCAAGCUCCUCCCUCUCCCUCGGCCGAGGCGGGUGGCGCAGCCGGGGCCAGGGCGGCGUGGGUGGCCAGGGUCGGGGCCAGGGAGGAUGAUAGGUGGUUAUGAGGAUGAUACCUGCAGAUAAUACUUUUAAUCUCAAUUCUUACAGAAGAAUUGCACUAUGAACUACGCUUUCAUUUAUACCACACCGCUCAGCUAUAAAAAAUGGUGCAAAUCGACCAAAAUAAAUGAAUAAAUCACAUGGUUUAGACUGGUGGCAUAUGUAUGUUUGAUGAGUUUUGAAUCCCAACAGACCUCUGUUUGCUUAUCCAACCGGAGGAAAAACCUUUACUUACUAAAUCAGCUUUGCAUGCCAGGCUGCAAUUGUUAGAGCAGAAUUAGGUAAUUUGUGAACAUAAUUGAAUCAAAGUUUUGUCUCUGACAAGUAAUAGAAAAUGGUAAUGCUCCAUAGCAAGAACACGUUCCUACACUAGUUUAAAAAAUUCCCUGAAAUUGGGAACAAUGGUCAAGUCCAAACCAUACUUGCAACUUGGAGGACCGCUGGCCGAUGUAAGUCAAAGUCAAAAACAGAAGGAGACAGCGACGUCUCACCAGAUCACGAAUCAGAUGCGAUGCAUGUGCAUGUUCAGCAAGACAUUGAAAAGCAAGCUCUUCAAUACGCUCCAGCCCAGCUCCACCAUGGCUUUGGCAAUGCGCGUCAUGAGCUUGCUUCCUGCCACCAUCGCCGUGAUGAUCGCAGUGGCCUCUUGGGGAGCGCACGGCGGUGCCAGCGACGAGGCCAGCGCGCUGCUUGCUUUCAAGGCUCAGCUCGCCGGCAGCGGUUCCGGCAUGCUUGCAUCCUGGAAUGGCACCGCUGGCGUCUGCGGCUGGGAGGGCGUGGCGUGCACCGGCGGCCAGGUAGUGGCACUGAGCCUGCCCUCCUAUGGGCUCGCCGGAGCCCUCUCCCCGGCCAUUGGGAACCUCACUUUCCUGCGGACCCUGAACCUGAGUUCCAACUGGUUCCAGGGGGAGGUCCCAGCAAGCAUCGGCCGCCUAGCGAGUCUGCAGACGCUUGAUCUGAGCUACAAUACGUUCUCUGGUACGCUUCCUUCCAACCUCAGUGCCUGUGUCAGCUUACUGCUGUUGAGGCUCAGUAGUAACCGGUUCCAUGGGCGUAUCCCUGUUGAGCUUGGAGACAAGCUAACAAGUCUUCAGAUGUUGUCACUGCGCAACAACAGCUUGACGGGUGCCAUACCAGGAUCACUAGGUAACCUGUCAUCCCUGAUCUACCUUCAUCUGACAGAAAACCACCUCGAGGGUCCGAUCCCACAUGAACUUGGCAGCAUGGGCGGCCUGCAGGUCCUUUUCCUCUAUGAGAACAGACUCUCCGGUGUGCUUCCACACUCCCUGUACAAUCUGUCCUCACUGAAAAGCUUGUGGGUAGGAUACAACAUGCUGUCUGGAACCAUCCCUGCUGAUAUCGGCGAUAGGUUCCCCGGUAUGGAAGCUCUUGACUUUUCUAGCAACCGAUUCAGUGGAGCUAUCCCACCUUCGCUCGCCAACCUCUCUGCUCUCACAAAACUAGUCCUUCAAGGAAAUGAUUUUAUUGGAUAUGUGCCUUCUGCUUUGGGGAAGUUAAGUCUUACUGCCCUUUACUUGGGUGACAACAGGCUAGAAGCAAACGACAGUCAAGGGUGGGAAUUCAUAGCUUCACUGGCAAACAGCUCCCAGCUUCAGCUUCUUGUUCUCGGCAACAACUCUUUCAGCGGGCAACUGCCUAAUUCAGUCACAAACCUGUCAUCAACUCUGCAAGGUCUUUAUUUGGGACCCAAUAUGAUUUCUGGGAAUAUUCCAAUAAACAUCGGAAAUUUGGUUGGUCUUACAGUACUUGAGAUGGCAAAUACUUUUGUAUCUGGACAGAUUCCAGAGAGCAUUGGUCAGCUAAGAAACUUGGUUCAGCUAGCCCUUUACAACACUAGCUUGUCAGGCCUCAUACCUUCAUCACUAGGAAAUCUUACACAGUUGAAUAGCCUUUUAGCAUACUAUGGAAACUUAGAGGGGCCAAUUCCAUCAAACUUGGGGAACUUAAAGAAUGUGUUUUCCUUUGAUCUCUCAACAAAUCGACUCAAUGGUUCAAUUCCUAUAGAGGUUUUAAAACUUCCUCGACUUUCCUGGUACUUAGACUUAUCAUAUAAUUCAUUAUCCGGGCCACUUCCAACUGAGGUUGGUACCAUGGUGAAUCUUAACGAACUGAUUCUGUCUGGAAACAAGUUGUCAGGCACCAUACCAGCUAGUGUUGGGAACUGUAUAUCGUUGGUACGGCUGCUGCUCGAUAACAACUUAUUAGAAGGAAGCAUACCGCAAUCUCUGAAGAACUUAAAAGGUCUUGAAUUACUGAACCUAACAAUGAAUAAGCUAUCUGGUAGUAUUCCUGAUGCCCUUGCUAGCAUUGGCAACCUGCAACAACUGUAUCUUGCACACAACAACUUGUCAGGUUCCAUCCCCAAAGUUCUACAGAAUUUGACAUUGUUGGCAAAACUGGAUUUGUCCUUCAAUGAUCUGCAAGGCGAAGUGCCAAAAGGGGGUCCUUUUGCAAAUGCAACUCGCUUGUCACUUGAUGGAAAUGAUGAGCUUUGUGGCGGAAACCCUCAACUUCAUUUAGCUCCGUGCUCCACAGCUGCUGCGAGGAAGAACAGAAGGCGAAUGUCAAGAUCACUUAUGGUCACCGUUGCGUCAAUCUGCGCAUUUCUAUUCUUAGGUUUAAUAGUUUGUCUUAUCCAUUUGAUCCACAAGAGGCUCAGACAAGGAAAGGAAAAUCAACUCAUUCCCACAGCAAUUGAUGAACAGCACCAAAGGGUUUCAUAUCAAGCAUUAGCAAAUGGGACUGACCAUUUUUCGGAGGUUAAUCUGCUCGGACAAGGAAGCUAUGGUGCAGUUUAUAAGUGCACUUUACAUGACAAGGGAAUUACCGCAGCUGUAAAGGUAUUCAACGUACGGCAAUCUAGGUCUACUAGAAGUUUUGUGGCUGAAUGUGAGGCACUGCGAAGGGUGCGCCACCGAUGUCUCAUAAAGAUCAUCACCUGUUGCUUAAGCAUUGAUCACCAAGGCCAAGAAUUCAAGGCACUGGUUUUUGAGUUCAUGCCCAAUGGUAACCUAAAUGAUUGGCUGCAUCCAGCAUCCAAGAUACAGAGUCUGAGCAAUACGCUCAGCUUAGCUCAGAGACUGAACAUUGCGGUAGAUAUCAUGGAUGCUCUGGAUUAUCUUCACAAUCAGUGUCAACCGCCUAUUAUCCAUUGUGAUCUCAAACCAAGUAACAUCCUCCUUGCCGAAGAUAUGAGUGCUCGGGUUGGAGAUUUCGGCAUAUCAAAAAUCCUUCCUGAAGACACUAGCAAAACUCUGCUGAAUUCAGUUAGCUUCACUGGACUAAGAGGUUCCAUCGGAUAUGUCGCUCCAGGUAACAGAAACUAACACUGAUAUUGCUAUGUUCAGUUUUUAACUUCCAUUUUGCCAAGUCCAGUUAUCUCGGCAUGCACGUUGAUAAGUAGCUUGCCAUGAAUCCACUGACCAAAUAGUGUCUGAAAUCUGAAUUGACUGCAGAGUACGGCGAGGGUCGCGCUGUCUCAACUCUUGGAGAUGUUUACAGCCUCGGCAUACUGUUGCUUGAGAUGUUCACCGGGAUGAGCCCUACUGACGACAUGUUCAAAGGCUCCUUGGACCUUCAUAAGUUCGCCGAGGCCGCUCUCCCCGACAGAGCCUUGGAGGUAGCCGACCCGGCAAUCUGGUUUCAUGAAGAAGCAAAGGGGGAAAACCCUGCCACGGUGAGAAGCAGAAGCGAGAGGUGCUUGGCUUCAGUGAUCGGGCUUGGCGUGUCCUGCUCAAAGCAGCUGCCAAGGGAGCGGACGGCGAUGCGGGAUGCUGCCGCUGAGAUGCGUGCGAUCAGAGAUGCCUUCCUGGUUCAAUGUGCAACAGAGACUUGGCCUGCAGUCGGCACCACCGGCCUUGGAAGCGCAGACAGUUGAAUGGUGGACGGAGCUACGGUCUCUUGACGCACCAAGGAGCACUGGACUAGCAACUCUGCAACUAAACAGAGUGGAGAAAGAGCCCCUUAAUGAACAGAAAAACAGCCGGUGCAAGGCUUUAUACAAAGAAUGUGACAGCCACUGCGUGUAUCCGAGAGCCUUAUCUAAUCUACCAAGGAUUGUCCAUGUACUCCCUCCGUCCCAAAAUAAACACACAUGUCACUUGUCGAGGAGUCAAACUUUCUAAGUUUGACUAAAAUAAUGUACUACUAUUUAUAAUGUAUAAUAAGUAUCAUUAGAUUGAGUAUUGAGUAUACUUUUCUAAUACAUUUAUUUGAAGAUAUAAAUGUUGAUAUUAUUUUCUAUAUUCUUAAUCAAACUUAAAAACGUUUGACUCUCGAGAAGUGAGAUGUGCGUUUAUUUUAGGAUGGAGGGAGUACCCGUCACACGGAUUAGUUAUGAUAUAAGUAGGGACUAGCAAGCACCAAAACCCCAUUCACUGCCCAUGGAUCGCUCAAAUAAAAGAAACCAUUGCAUAUGGUGGUGAUGCGCUGGCGAGCCUUUCUCCAAACUUUCUGCUCUCGCGGACCUUGAACUCGCAUGGAACAAUUUUAGUGGAAGCGUGCCUCCACCUUUAUGGAGAUUGCGAAGCCUCAUUUACCUGUCCGUGGCAAUAAGCUAGGAUUGAAUGACAAGGACGGAUUGGAAUUCAUCACCAUGCUGGCAAACUGCAGUCAGCUUCAGCAACUGGCUUUUGACAAUAAUUCAUUCAUCGGGGAACUUCCUAGCUCAAUUGCAAAUCUAUGGACAACACUCCAAUUACUCUAUAUAGGAAACAAUUGGAUUUCGGGAUUUAUUCCAUCCAGCAUAGGUAAUUUGGUUGGUCUAGAACUGCUUACGUUGGCAAAUACUUUCAUAUCCGGAGUGAUUCCAGAUAGCAUUGGUCGCCUAGAAGGCAUGUCCGUGUUAGGCAUUUACUACACUAGCUUGUCAGGCAUCAUACCUUCAUCACAAGGAAACCUUACACAGUUGAAAGCUCUCUAUGCGUACGAUAGAAACUUGGAGGGUCCAAUUCCAGCAAGCUUGGAGAACUUAAAGAAUCUUUUUGUCCUUGAUCUCUCAACGAAAGUGUGUAACCUGCUAAGAUUUCAUGUCGAAGUAGAGCAUAAACCUCUCUCAAAAGACUGCGAAGCUACCAUAGAGUAGAUCAGUCUAAGGGUCGGACUAUACCCUAUCAACGCCUCCCCUCUUGCCCUUUCGAUAAGAUUACCCCAAAGGUCCAAACUAGAGUCUUUAAUUAAUUAACCAAGACCAAAGCCAUAUAGUUCUUGUGGUUGUACUAUUUUCCUGGGUGGUCGCUCCAUGUUCCAAUUAAGCAUGGCGGUCUUGUAUUAAUAAAAGGUAUAUCAUAAAUAAAACAAGUUUAAUCAUUGAGUUCAUUAAAACCAUCAUAACCCAAGGUAUUGCAACUAAGCAUAUCUACCCAAUAAAAAGGUAAAACCCAGGUUGACAAGGAAUGAUCAUAAAAACUAGGUCAAUAUUAAAUGCAGAGCAGUGUAGAAGUGAUUAAAUAUAGUUAUUGGUACAAAAACACAAACAAGGACACACUUGCCUUUCUCCAAAGAAUAGCUGCUCAGAUUAUCUUCAGCUCUUGUUCCUCAAAGCUCUCGAACAACGUUCCUUCUACUCGCAUCAAUCAUCGGCACAAGUAUACAAAGCAAACAACAAUCACAACUAAGAACAAUACAUCAAUCAUAGGAAAGCUUUAAAAGAGCGUACUAAAGGAUAAGGCUCGAAUCUAAGGUCACACGAAUGCAAGAAACGCUAGGAACGAAACUAUGGUUGAAAAGACAAAGCUAUCGAGAGAUUUGAAUUAUAAAAGAAAGAAAAGCCUAUGUGCUUCAUAUAUUUUAAUAAUGAAAAUAAUGUAAAGAUAUUUUAGAGAGACAUCCUUAGCAAGUUAUAUUUAUAUAUGAAAAGACGAUGUAGAAUAGUCAAAUUUUCUUUAUAAACAUUCAAGUACAAUUUAUGCAAAUUAAAUAUUUAAUUUGAAAAUAAAGUAUAUGUAAACAUCUAAGCGCAUAGCUUUAUGGUUAUGGUUCGGGUUGAACUAACCAAAUAUAAUUCAAAAACACAAUUAUUUUUAUAUUAGUCAAAUUAACAUAUAAUUAUGAAAACUCGAGAUAUAACUUAUGUAGCUUUUAUUUAGAAAACAAAUUGAAUAAAUAUUAAUCAAUUUAAGUUUAAUUAUGAACCACCGUGGUGCAUCUCUAAUUCGCUUUUAAUUGAAAGAGUUGUUUAAUUAAGCAUUAACUAAAUUAACAUUUAUUAUGAAAAGCGGUUAUAACACUAAGUAGCUUUUAAUUAAAGAAGACAUGUUUAACAUGCAUUAAUUAUAUUAAUAUUAAAUUAAUUUUAAAAACAUGCAUGAUGGAAGGAUCACUACUAACAUGUAAUUUGUGUUAUCACGAACCUAACUCAACAAGAACGGAUAUAAACGAAGCUGUAAUGAGGAGCCUAUGGGUUAAACAAGGUCGUAGGGCCUAAUCACGAUUAACGGAAGGUUAUUGGGGUUAGCAAGGAAGAUUUGCAAGACACUAUAAUAGAGCUCGCCAUUAGGUCAAAGCAUAGGGUUAGAUCUAUUAAAGUGCUCAGGUUGGACUUGGUUGCACGGAUCCAAUCUAAUGAGGGACAUGGAUGAAAAAAACAAGACACAAGGAAAAACUAACUAUUUACAAAGCUUUCCGGGGCCUAUGCGCAAAAGCACCACAACUCAGCAUCCAUGGCGGACGGGCUCCUGGAUGGCAAAAUCCUCGUGUCGGAUUUAUAAGCCCACAGUCCACCAAGGGGUUACCCAAGUCGUUGAUUGUGGCGGAACCGCCCAAAUUAACCUGACUAAAAUGCAUUGAAGUCGCCUGACACGCGAUUAUGCACUUUAAGCAAGUCAACUUGGUCGACCGUCGGAUUUCCUCCGAUAAACCACAUAAACAGGAUCGAGAAGCAUCGCUCACGCGAAGGUGAGUAGCACAGAGGUUACAACAAUCCAUCAUGACAACAUAGUUCAACAAUUUAUUACAUCAGAGUUUUUGAAAUUCAAACCGAAAUUUGCAUGGUUCGAAGUCAAAGGAAAACAGCGGAAACUAAACGUCGAUACAUGACAUCACGACGGAGCCGAUCAUGACAUCAAAAAUUUCUUCCUUCGCCAUCCGAGGAAGGAUCCCACUCGACGGUCCAGCCUGGAGGAAGCUGGGUCGGCCAAGUGGUACCAACACCCAAACUAUUGACAUUACCUGAAAAAGAUUAGCCACAACAAGGCUGAGCAACUAGUACUCAGCAAGACUGACCCGUCGGAAAGACACGACCGAGACCUAGACAUGCAAGGCUUUCUGGCUCUGGGGUUUUCUUUGCCAAAAGCGUCUAAAGUCAGUCCUUAUUUUCAACAUUUUAGCUCAUGUUCUAUGUUCUUUAUCCAUUCUAGAUUAGCAACUUAUACUAAACAAACAUGGUUUCCAAGCAAUUACUUAACAAGCAUCAAGAUUAAAAUCAUCAUCAUCAUGUUCCAUCUUUACUCAGUGCAGAAUAGCGAUCAAGUAGUCCCAAUCUGUGAGAGGCAGACGAAUCGAUUCGAAUUUAUUAACCAUGCAUGGCAAACCUAAUCUCACGACAUCCGCGCACCACGAAGGGUCGCUUCAUUUGUCAGCCGUCCCCAUCGAUCCCUUAGGCACGUGUCAGGGCCAACUUCCUUUGGCAUGCAAUGCUCCACAGUCCUGGCCUAUUGCUGCACUGUGACCGCACUUGCACCCACAUGAUGCACCAUGGGAACGACGUUCCAAGGACAGCCGGAGGGUAUGCCACGCCCCAGUUCAAUCAGGUACUAGGCUUCCCCAUCCCAUACUAGGUAUGAGAUUAGUACUUUCAAACACUUGAUCACGAACGCCGACACGUUUCGACCAUAGUUCAUUUUCAUUUAGACAGACGGGGCAAUCCACCAAGUAUCGAACACAAGCCUGACCCCGUCCGUCGUCCUUAUAGUUGCGACAUAUCUGAAAUAUUCAACUCCUAUAACUCGCGAGUGACAGGAGAUCACUCGACUUUUACCGAAACCUAUUAAGCAAUGCAACUACUCGGCAAGGUCUUCUUCCGGCGCCGGGUGAAGCUCGUACGUUCCGUCGGCGAGAUUCAACUCUACACGAAAAUGCAAUGCUGGGGUUAGACAUUUUAGAUGGUUAUUUCAACACACUCAUGUUUUAACACGGACACUUUGCUACAGGAAAGGUGGGGGAGUUCAACUUCUGUUGGUGGAGAACAGGAUGAGAGGGUCGGAUUGGGGGAAACUUAGGGUCUGACCCUCAGGUUUAAGGAAAAACCGUACCGAGGUCGUCAGACUCAACACAGAGGAAUCCCCAAAAUUAUUUCAUCGUACCCUCGGGUCAAAGAAAAAGUUACAACCGAGCCCUCGGGCGAGGCGGAGAAAGGGUCGGCGAAACUUGGCAGGGUCGGGCGAGGCGAAAGGAAAAAGGUCGGGCGAGAUGAAAAGAAAAGGGGUCGGGCGAACCGAAACAAAGGGGUCGGGCGAAACGAAAAGGAAGGGGUCGGUCGAGAGGGAACACAAGGGGUCGGUCGAGACGGAACACAAGGGGUUGGUCGCUUACCUCCAGGUCUACCGGUGAAGCCUUGGGGCCGAACAGGAGUAGGCUGGGGUGGGAAGUCGUACACGCUAAGUCUUGGGCAACGGCGAGUCUUCGACGGUGGUCAGGUGGCGGUGGUGCUUCUUGCGGACACCAGCAAGCUCGAGUACCGUGCGGAGGAGCGGGCGGCUGGUCUGUUGGGAGAAACGGCUUGAGGGUGGCGGCGAAGUCGCCGAAGUGUGGGGGUGGUGUAAAAGGGGUGAGCUCCACGGAAGCUCAGCGGCGGCGCGGGGAGAAAGCGGCGGCGCAGGUGCGGGCGGUGGCAAGGGGUGGCAUUGCCGGUGAGGGGGGUUCCCUUUUAUAGGGUCGGGGUGGCGCGGAGGGUCGAGGCGGGGCUUCGGUGGGGAAAGGAUAAGGCCGGGAGCGGCGAGUGCGCGGACAAGGCGGCCAUUGGCCAGCAACGCCAUUGGGCAGAGGAGGUGGAGCUCCGGGUGGUCUUCGGCGGCGAUUGGCCUUGGGCGACGCCCGUCUGGGGCUUCCGGUCUGUCGGGCGGGCGAGGCGGAGAGCUACCGUGGGGGUUGGGCGAACGGGCGGAGGCGCGGGAUGUCGGGGGCGUGUCAGCUUUCUCGGCGGACGGGCGGAACAGGGUUGGCGGAGCAGAGCCGUGGCAGGCGGAAGGCGGCACGCGCGCAGCCGGCGGUUGGCUGGCCCGGCGUUCGCUCCGUCCUGUCGCAGGCGCGGGUUGGGCGCCGUGGCUCUCGUCCUGUCGCUGUCGUGCUGGGGAUAGGGCGCCGGCGAGCUGCCGGUGGCCGGCGGCCACGUGGCGCGCGGUGCGCGAGCGAACAUGCUCGGGCGUGCGGGCGUCGAGGCUCCCUUCGGGCAGCAAGCCCGACCAGCUUUGGAGUGAUCCUUCCUCCGAAUCUUUCAACACAACUUCCGAAACUCCCUUAAACAAACUUGCUCAACUCUGAUUGUUCUUCAAACUUUGUUUAAGGUGCUGGUUUAGAUUGUGAAAGGAUUCAAAGAUAUUUCCGGCCAAGUUAGCCAAAAAUCUGGGAUUCCAGACUUAGGAUUUAAGGCAUCCGGGGUGAGUUGACUGGUUUACCUCACUUUGACCGGGAUUUUGAACAAGUUCGGGUCCGAUUUGGAUCUGGGUCAGAGUAACAAAGUUGGAAUACACUCGAGGUACUACAACUUUCAUUAAGGCUCUGACUUGGGUUUAGAUAGGAAAACGGGAUAUGAAAGCUUGUAAAGAUGGAGGAAAACUCGAAUUCCAGGACUUAAGAGAUUUUCAGGGUCCUUUAGAAAAACCGGCUUUGGUUGCUGUUUUUGACUUCCUUCCACUCCGAAUUGGUCAAAGUGCUUUUAACAAAAGUUGUUGGAAUUAAAAAGUUUUACAACUCUUAUUUGGGCAGAAACUUAAGUUUGUAUAUAAUAUUUCAAGAUUUAAAUCAAACUCCAAAAGGAGCUUCUUAGGUUUAUAAAGGUCAUUUCACUUCUUAAAUUAGGGAUUUAUCACUGGUUUAGAGUUAAAAGUACUUAAUUUAGGUAGAGUUGUUACAGCCUACCCCCCUUAAAGGAAUCUUGCCCCGAGAUUCAAGUGCAGAAGGAACUAGUGUGGUUGGUGCAAUGUACCUCCUUGCUCGAAAAGAAAACCGCGGAAGUUAGCGUUGAGGUACUCUUCCGUCUCCCAGGUCGCUUCAUCUUCCGUAUGGUUACUCUACUGAAUUUUGUACAUCUUGACCAUUUGCCGACGAGUAUGUCUUUCCUUGCGGUCGAGGAUCUUAACAGGAUACUCCUUAUAUGAUAAAUCGGGUUCGAUCUCCAAUUCUUCCGGGGGAAUGAUUUCAGUUGGAAUCCUGAUGCACUUCUUAAGUUGCGAGACAUGGAAAACAUCAGGUAUUGCUACAAUCUUCUCUGGAAGUUUAACUCGGUACGCUAUGGGUCCACACGCCUCUACGAUCUCAUAGGGACCAAUAUAGCGCGGAGCUAACUUUCCCUUUACUCCAAAACGUUGUACACCUUUGGUCGGUGAAACCCGUAGGUAUACAAAAUCCCCAACCUUAAAUUGGAUGGGUCUUCUUCUUUGAUCGGAAUAGCUCUUGUGUCGAGAUUGGGCGGCCUUGAGAUUUUCGCGGAUGACUCUCACUUUUUCUUCGGCCUCUAUGACCAGGUCAGGUCCAUACACCGUUCGCUCUCCGGGUUGCGACCAGCUCAGUGGGGUCCGGCAUCUACGUCCAUACAAGGCCUCGAAAGGUGCCAUUUUCAGGCUAGCUUGGUAACUGUUGUUGUAGGAGAAUUCCGCUAAUGGCAAAUACCCCAGUUCUUGUCAUAAUGAAUAACACAGGCGCGUAACAUAUCUUCCAAAAUCUGAUUAACCCUUUCAGUUUGCCCGUUGGUCUGAGGAUGAUAUGUGGAACUACGGAUCAAUUGAGUGCCAAGUGAAAACUGCAACUGCUCCCAAAAGCGUGCUACAAACUGACUACCUCGAUCAGAGAUGAUCAUUUUAGGUACUCCAUGCAAGGAAACAAUCCGAUCAAGGUACAAUUCUGCAUAUUUCUGUAUGGUGUGGGUGGUGUGUACUGGAAGGAAAUGUGCCGUUUUGGUUAGUCGGUCUACUAUAACCCAUAUGGAGUCAUGCUUGCGGGGGGUAUUGGGUAGUCCGACUAUAAAGUCCAUGCUUAUGUCUUCCCAUUUCCACGAGGGAAUAGGCAGCGGCUGCAAGGGGCCAGCUACCCUCAAGUGGCUUGCCUUGACUCGCUGACAGGUAUCACACUCUGAAACAUAGCGUGCAAUGUCGGGUUUCAUCCCACUCCACCAGAAAUUUUGUCGGAGGUCGUGAUACAUCUUGGUAUUGCCGGGGUGAAUCGAGAACUUGGAUAGGUGUGCUUCGUGCAGAAUUUGUCUCUUAAGCUCGGGAUCAUUUGGAACUACAAGUCGAGCUUCAUAAUGUACCACUCCUUUCCAGCCCUGUCGGAAACGUUUAUAUCCCUCAUCCUUCUGUGCAAGUUUCCCUUUGAUAAUGUUUAUCUCUUUGUCCUCUAGCUGUGCUAGAAUGAUUUGGUCAAGUAGGGUGGGCUCUAGAGAAAUAUGACUUAAGGUGUCGUGUGGAACAAUUUCCAAGUUGAGUCUAGCCAUUUCGUGACACAGGGUCUCGGCAUAAUUACUCGCCGAUAAGCAGUUACAAUGGAUCUUGCGGCUAAGGGCAUCUGCAACUAUGUUGGCUUUUCCUAGGUGAUAAUGCACUUCUAGGUCAUAAUCCUUGAUUAAUUCUAGCCAUCACCGCUGAUGCAUGUUGAGGUCUUCUUGAGUGAAUAUAUACUUAAGGCUCUUGUGAUCUGUAUAGAUGUUGCAUCGGGUUCCCAUGAGUUAAUGCCUCCAUAUUUUCAGAGCAUGAACGACUGCCGCUAACUCAAGAUCAUGAGUAGGGUAAUUCAACUCAUGUGGUCGUAAUGCUCGCGAGGCAUAGGCAAUGACUCGGCUGUCUUGCAUAAGAACACAACCAAGUCCAGUGCCAGAGGCAUCGCAAUACACAUCAAAUGGCCUAGUGGUGUCGAAAACUUCGAAUCUGAUGAACUGAAGUGGGCGGCUUCCAGUCCAUUACUUCUUGCACCUUGCUUGGGUCUACUGCUAUACCGUCUCUGGAUAUGGUGUGUCCCAAGAAUUUAACACUGUCCAGCCAAAAGUCACACUUAGAGAAUUUGGCAUAGAGUUGGUGGUCUCUUAAGCGUUGGAGUAAAGUAUGUAGGUGCUCUGCAUGUUUUUCUUCAUUCUUCGAGUACACCAAGAUGUCGUCAAUGAAUACCACGACGAAUUUGUCGAGUUCGGGCAUAAACACCGAAUUCAUGAGGUACAUGAAAUAAGCCGGUGCAUUAGUAAGCCCAAAUGACAUGACUAAGUACUCGUAGAGUCCAUAUCGUGUAGAAAAGGCAGUCUUUGGAAUGUCGCACGGGCGGAUCUUGAUUUGAUGGUAGCCAGAACGGAGGUCAAUUUUGGAAAACACUCUAGCUCCAGCUAAUUGGUCGAACAGAACAUCAAUGCGGGGUAGUGGGUACUUAUUCUUUAUCGUCACCGCAUUGAAAGGUCGGUAGUCCACACACAUACGCAGACUAUCGUCCUUCUUUUUCACAAACAAGGCAGGGCAACCCCAAGGUGAUGUACUUGGGCGAAUAAAACCCUUUUCCAACAAAACAUGCAACUGAGUUUUCAUUUCUGCUAGUUCGGCUGGUGGCAUCCGGUAUGGUCUCUUUGAAAUUGGGGCGGUACCUGGUUGCAACUCAAUGGCAAACUCGAUGUCUCUCUCAGGCGGCAUACCCGGCAAAUCGUCUGGAAACACAUCCGGGUACUCGCACACUACUGGGAUAUCUUCCAAUCGGGCUUUAGACACGGGAUAGGCACAAGAAGUUUGGCACUCUCGGGGAGGUAAGUGUAUAGUCGAGCUACCAUACUUGGGUGAAUUUAUAUGGAUUGCCCUGGCAGGGAUAUCUAGGGUCACUUGGUGUCGGGUCAUCCAAUCCAUACGCAAGAUAACAUCUAUUCCUUCUAUCCCAAGGGUAAGCAGAUCUUCCUUAAGAAGGGUCCUCCCUAACUGGAUAGGUACUCUGCAGCUUACUUGGUGUGAAGUUACCUUUCCACCCGGGGUAGAGAUUAUGUAGGUACCUUUGGUGUGACAGAAAUCUAACCCACACUUAGCACUGAUUCUAGUCCCAAUGAAACUAUGAGAUGCUCCCGAAUCAAACAGAAUAAGGACGGGUUGAUCACAGAUAGAAAAGGUACUCGUCAUCACUGGUGCGCCCUCUGGAAGUUCAGCAAGGGUGGUGAAGUUCAGCCUGCCUUGUCGGACCUGCACCUUUGGCUUCUUCCCCUUGUUGCCCAGUGUAUGGCUCUGACUGGGUCGUUGAUUCUGGUUGCGGGGGCAGUCCUUGGCGAAGUGUCCUGGGUUCCCGCAAGUGAAACAGCGGUUUCCAGUGACCGGGCGCAGCGGCAUCGGGAGAGCAGGGCGGGGUCCUUGCGGCUGGAAUCCGGGGAAACGAGGUGCUGCCUGCGGUGGAGGUCGAGCAACCCAUCUCCCAGGCUGUGCGGGCGUGCGAGGUGCUUGUGGGGAAACCAUUCUGUACUUCUGGGCAGGCGGGCUGGGUGCCGGCAUUGGGGCCUUCCUUUUCAUGUCGGCCUUGAGGGCCCUCAUGCAAUCUUCCUGGGAAAUGGCCAGGUUCACCAGUUCAUUGUAGGAACCCACUUUGAUGGGAUUCAGCCUUUCCUUGAGCUUCAAACUCAAGCCUCUGCGGAAACGGUCCCUCUUUUUCUCAUCGGAGUCCGCAUGGUAGCCUGCAUAGCGACACAGGUCAUUGAAAGCCUGCGCAUAGUGCAGACAUCGCGGCCUCCCUGGGUGAGAGCCAGGAACUCGUUGAGCUUGCGCUCCAGAAGACCUUCAGGGAUGUGAUGGCCCCUGAACGCCGUCUUGAAUUCCUCCCAACCGACGACGUGGUCGGCCGGCUGCAUGGCAUGGUAGUGAUCCCACCACAGGAGAGCAGAACCACGCAACUACUGCGCGGCGAACCGAACCUUGUUCUCGUCCGGGCAGUAGGCGGUGAGAAGGGAGAACUUGGACUCGAUAGUGCGAAUCCAGGCAUCGGCGUCAAGUGGGUCCUCCGUCUUGUGAAAUAGAGGAGGCUGGGUCCCCAGAAAAUCUUCGUAACGAGCAACAUGGGGCUGUUGAUGGGCCCUUCCUCCCUGAGGCUGCUGCUGCUGCUGCCCCUGAGCGAUGUGCCUCAACAGCUCGGUCUGGGCUGCCAAGAUCGACUCGAGGGUGGUCGGAGGCGGAGGUGGGGGAGGCACCUCGCUGCCACUGGGAACGGAGCCGGAGCGUGUGCGAUGCGCCAUCCUUGGGCGAGCCAAAACCUUAUCCCCGGGGUCUCACUAAUUCCGACCUCUGGUGCCGGGGUCGGGCGAAACGGAGCUUCUCAACACGGGAUCGGACAAAACGGAGCCUUUCAUCCCGGGGUCGGGCGAGGCGGAGACCUGCCGCGAGGGGUCGGGCGCGUCCGACCUCGCGACUCGGGGUCGGUCAACUUUGGACAGGCCCACAGGAGACGGGUGUGUGGUCACAGCACCAAAACCCACACAACUUGGCAUUCACGGCGCGUCGCAAAGGGUCAAAAGUCGAGUCAAGAGUGAAAGAAAAACAGGAACUGCUUUCACCAAGAUCAUUUCAUUGCUGGUCUUAAAAUAUAGGAGGAGUACUCAACUCAAGGCUAACCUAUUACAUCAUUGGCCAAAAAUAUAGGUCGUCGAGGAGUACAAUCAAAAAUAAAAUAGAACCGCUCAACCUAGUUUGUUAUAACUAGAAGUCGUCGAGGUUGCCCACGGAGGCAAAGCUAAGGACCGGAGAGUGAGCAUCACCAACUGGAGGCUGCGGUGAGGCAUUCUCAUAGUCCAUGCUUGAAAAGCCUUCGAUCUCCUCAGGCUCCUCCUCCUGGGCCAUCGGCUCAUCCAGCUGCACCUCUAAGGCGUGGAUGGCAUUAAGCUCAUCGUGAUGCUCCUGCAGGUGCUCAUUGGCGUUCGCCAGCUCCAUGUUCACAUCAUAGAACUGGUCAGCCAAGAUCUCCAUAUCGUGAUCCAUAUCCACAAUCUCUUCCUCCAAACGAGUAAUCUUGUCCUGCAUCUCAGCAAUCUGAACAUCCUUCUGUACCAGCUCGAGCGACUGGUCCACCAUGCCACUCUGCACGGUAGACAAGGCAACCUGGUUGGCCACUGCCAUCCCAAUCACCAUAGCCAUCGCUCGGCUCUGCAGCUCAACCAUCCUGUAGAACACAUUCAGGCAACGAGCUGAAACAAAAAUCGUGCACUGAGGAUCCAUAAGCCCGAGCAAGUCCAUAUGCUCCAUACGAUCCAACCAGUCCGGGUCCCUCGUACCCCGGGCAGGGAACAACCCAAUCGGGUCUAGCAUGAUCUCAAGAGGGUGUGCCCAGCAAAACUGGGUCAAGGUCUGCAAGGCUGCGAACUCCCAGGCGUCGUGGAGCGUGUGUCCCUCAGCCACUACCUCCAACAGCGACAACGGUGGCUGAUCCGGAGGCGGGGGUACCCGCACGUGUAUGCGGCUCCGCGGAAUCCCGUGGUCCUGGUACGCACGGCCCGCAUAAACCGGCGGCGACUGGUACCCGAAAGAGCGCAGGGUGUCCCACAACACAGUUGGAAAACCCUCGUAGUGAAGGCACCGUGAGUAGGUGGUGCCCUCCGUACCGACUGCCACGUGCACGGGCUGCGCCAUCUGUAACCAAGGGUCACGUGAGAAAUGGGGUUAACACUUGGAAAUCAAACAGAUUUCUGGCAGUUAGAGAAAAGCUCAUAACUCAGCAAGUAUUCCUCCAAAAUUUCUCAAAUUUUACCAGCAUGUUCUUUAGAUAGUGGGUAACAAGUUUGGUAUUCAAAGGUAGGGCUAGAACAGACCUAACAAGGUGAUAAUCUCAGAUUCCCAUUAAGUAUACCUGCUGGAACUCUUCAGACCGAGUCAAGAUAAACUGAAUACAUCUUCCAAACCAGAGACUUAACAAAACCGAAACUCUACCAGUAAGUCCUUCACUAAGUUCUAAAAAACUCUGCUUAAAGGACUCCUCGCAGAAAAGGUCCUUAAGGUGGUCGAAAUAGCAGAAACUCCGUUGGUGUGCACUUUGGGCUAACAGCCAACAGGGGGUCACCAAACUGAUCACAACUCUCAACCCAAAUGGUAGUACCUUGAGGCAGUUUUACUUGGGAGUUUUAACACAACUUUCUUAUACAAAGUUUCUGGAGUUAGCAUGGCGGAAAAAGGACAGCUAGACAAUCCUUAACGCGGUGCAUUACUUUUUACGACGUACUCGAGUUUGGUUUUAUUUCCUUAGGUUGUGAUUUUUAUUUCUUAAUGCAUGCACGUCCUAGUCGUCCUCUCAACCAAAAAUAAUUUCCAAAAACCUUUGGACUUACGUGGUCAGUGCCGGUGGCAAGGCAACAAUACGGCUCUCACUAUAAUAGCUAGUCGAGUUACUAGGCCUCGUUUCGAACGCAACGUUUGUUAGUGUACCUGCAGAAAAACACAACACAGCUUGAACCUUCCGUGCCAGCACUCAUGAAAGCGUCCACAAUCAUUACCGUUCACUAUAGAAAUGGCACCCAUGCGUUUAACACUGCAUGGACAGUGCAACAACCGUGGAAAUAGGUUCCUUUGAAUAGAAUCCUAUAACCCUUCGCAUUCUCGUGAUGCAGAAUCAUGCACACGUGUAACAAACGUGGGCGAACAACCGUGACGAUAGGCUCGUUGGAAUCGAACCAUACCAUCCUUCGCAUGUAUUAACAUACGGAACCUGCGCACGUAUAAUAGAUGUGGGCGAAACAACCGUGAUGAUAGGCUCGUUGGAAUCGAAUUCCCAUCACCCUUCGCAUACUCGCGAUGCGGAUUUCGGCACACGUAUGAUAGACAUGGCAACAAGUGCUGGAAGUUAGAAGAUAACCAAUAACUAUUAGCCACCUUAAAAAUAACCCCAAAAUCCCCUAGGGCUCCUCGAACUAAACUCAUCCUUAGCGAACUUACGAAUUUCUCAAUUUUACUUCUUCCAAAUUUUAGUUGGAAAAAGAGUUUUAAGGUUUGUUGUUCUCCGUACUGUGCUUCGAGCUCUGAUACCAGCUGUGGCGGAACUGCCCAAAUUAACCUGACUAAAAUGCAUUGAAGUCGCCUGACAUGCGAUUAUGCACUUUAAGCAAGUCAACUUGGUCGACCGUCGGAUUUCCUCCGAUAAACCACAUAAACAGGAUCGAGAAGCAUCGCUCACGCGAAGGUGAGUAGCACAGAUGACAACAUAGUUCAACAAUUUAUUACAUCAGAGUGUUUGAAAUUCAAACUGAAAUUUGCAUGGUUCGAAGUCAAAGGAAAACAGCGGAAACUAAACGUCGAUACAUGACAUCACGACGGAGCCGAUCAUGACAUCAAAAAAUUUCUUCCUUCGCCAUCCGAGGAAGGAUCCCACUCGACGGUCCAGCCUGGAGGAAGCUGGGUCGGCCAAGUGGUACCAACACCCAAACUAUUGACAUUACCUGAAAAAGAUUAGCCACAACAAGGCUGAGCAACUAGUACUCAGCAAGACUGACCCGUCGGAAAGACAUGACCGAGACCUAGACAUGCAAGGCUUUCUGGCUCUGGGGUUUUCUUUGCCAAAAGCGUCUAAAGUCAGUCCUUAUUUUCAACAUUUUAGCUCAUGUUAUAUGUUCUUUAUCCAUUCUAGAUUAGCAACUUAUACUAAACAAACAUGGUUUCCAAGCAAUUACUUAACAAGCAUCAAGAUUAAAAUCAUCAUCAUGUUCCAUCUUUACUCAGUGCAAAAUAGCGAUCUAGUAGUCCCAAUCUGUGAGAGGCAGAAAAUCGAUUCGAAUUUAUUUACCAUGCAUGGCAAACCUAAUCUCACGACAUCCACGCACCACGAAGGGUCGCUUCAUUUGUCAGCCGUCCCCAUCGAUCCCUUAGGCACGUGUCAGGGCCAACUUCCUUUGGCAUGCAAUGCUCCACAGUCCUGGCCUAUUGCUGCACUGUGACCGCACUUGCACCCACAUGAUGCACCAUGGGAACGACGUUCCAAGGACAGCCGGAGGGUAUGCCACGCCCCAGUUCAAUCAGGUACUAGGCUUCCUCAUCUCAUACUAGGUAUGAGAUUAGUACUUUCAAACACUUGAUCACGAAGGCCGACACGUUUCGACCAUAGUUCAUUUUCAUUUAGACAGACGGGGCAAUCCACCAAGUAUCGAACACAAGCCUGACCCCGUCCGUCGUCCUUAUAGUUGCGACAUAUCUGAAACAUUCAACUCCUAUAACUCGCGAGUGACAGGAGAUCACUCGACUUUUACCGAAACCUAUUAAGCAAUGCAACUACUCGGCCUUAGCAACUAGUAUUCAAAAACAAGGUACUAAGUUUAUGCAUCUAAGGUUCCAUUACAACUCCUCGAAACGUAAAUGCGCAAUCAAGUAAUCAAUAAUAUUGCAUGAACUCAAGAUAGGAAUUUAUGCUCCGGGGCUUGCCUUCAGGAAAAGCUUGCGGGUCCUCGGGGUCUUGCUCCGGUUCGGGCUCUCCUUCGAAGGGAUGCAGUUCCUCGGCGGGGUCUUCUUUCGGCGCCGGGUGAAGCUCGUACAUUCCGUCGGCGAGAUUCAACUCUACACGGAAAUGCAAUGCAGAGGUUAAACAUUUUAGAUGGUUAUUUCAACACACUCAUGUUUUAACACGGACACUUUGCUACAGGAAAGGUGGGGGAGUUCAACUUCUGUUGGUGGAGAACAGGAUGAGAGGGUCGGAUUGGGGGAAACUUAGGGUCUGACCCUCAGGUUUAAGGAAAAAUCGUACCGAGGUCCUCAGACUCAACACAGAGGAAUCCCCGAAAUUAUUUCAUCGAUACCCUCAGGUCAAAGAAAAAGUUACAACCGAGCCCUCGGGCGAGGCGGAGAAAGGGUCGGCGAAACUUGGCAGGGUCGGGCGAGGCGAAAGGAAAAAGGUCGGGCGAGACGAAAAGAAAAGGGGUCGGGCGAACCGAAACAAAGGGGUCGGGCGAAAUGAAAAGGAAGGGGUCGGUCGAGACGGAACACAAGGGGUCGGUCGAGACGGAACACAAGAGGUCGGUCGCUUACCUCCAGGUCUACCGGUGAAGCCUUGGGGCCGAACAGGAGUAGGCUGGGGUGGGAAGUCGUACGCGCUAAGGCUUGGGCAGCGGCGAGACUUCGACGGUGGUCCGGCAGCGGCGGUGCUUCUUGCGGACACCAGCAAGCUCGAGUACCGCGCGGAGGAGCGGAUGGCUGGUGUGUUGGGAGAAACGGCUUGAGGGUGGCGGCGAAGUCGCCGGAGUGUGGGGGUGGUGCAAAAGGGGUGAGCUCCACGGAAGCUCAGCGGCGGCGCGGGGAGAAAGCGGCGGCGCAGGUGCGGGCGGUGGCAAGGGGUGGCAUUGCUGGUGAGGGGGUUCCCUUUUAUAGGGCCGGGGUGGCGCGGAGGGUCGAGGCGGGGCUCCGGUGGGGAAAGGAUAAGGCCGGGAGCGGCGAGUGCACGGGCAAGGCGGCCAUUGGCCGGCGACGCCAUUGGGUAGAGGAGGCGGAGCUCUAGGUGGUCUUCGGCGGCGAUUGGCCUUGGGCGGUGCGCGUCUGGGGCUUCCGGUCUGUCGGGCGGGCGAGGCGGAGAGCUACCGUGGGGGUUGGGCGAACGGGCGGAGGCGCGGGAUGUCGAGGGCGUGUUAGCUUUCUUGGCGAACGGGCGGAACAGGGUUGGCGGAGCAGAGCCGUGGCAGGCGGAAGGCGGCACGCGCGUGGCCGGCGGUUGGCUGGCCCGUUCGCUCCGUCUUGUCGCAGGCGCGGGUUGGGCGCCGUGGCUCUCGUCCUGUCGCUGUCGUGCUGGGGAUAGGGCGCUGGCGAGCUGCCGGUGGCCGCUAGAUUUUUCUCACUAUGAAUAUAAUUCAUAGCAAUUACUUUGGAGUUUUUCAGCUUUCUAACAGAUUUAAGCCUCCGCUUCACAUGCCUCGAGGACUUCAUAUUAUCCUUAGUACUCAUAACUUUGAUCAAUACCGUUUGGUUAUCAUAGUACAUAAGGAUUGCCGGAACUGGUUUCUCCACCAGUGGCAAGUCCAUGAGUAGCUCUCUUAGCCACUCGGCCUCAACAGUAGCCGUGUCAAGUGCUACAAGCUCAGCUUCCAUGGUUGACCACGUCAAAAUGGUCUGUUUACACGACCUCCAUGAAACUACAGCACCUGCUAGUGUAAACAUAUAGCCACUCGUGGCUUUAAUUUCAUCCGCAUCAGAAAUCUAGUUGGAAUCACUAUAUCCUUCCAAUGCAGAUGGAUAACCAGUAUAGUGAAUUCCAUAUUCGAUUGUACCUCUCAUGUAACGUAGCACUCUCUCUAGUGCCUCCCAAUGAUCCUUCCCUGGAUUGGAAGUUAAACGACUUAAUUUGCUCACAGCAAAAGAUAUGUCGAGACAUGUUGCACCAGCAAGAUACAAAAGGGACCCAAUUAUUUGUGAAUAUCUCAAAUGGUCCAUCCCUUCAUCUUUAUUUUUCCUUAGCUUUACACUAGCAUCGUAGGGUGUAGGGGAUACUUUUGCAUUUUCAAAGCAAAAGCGACAAAAUAAUUUUUUCACAUAAUGAGAUUGAUUUAGAAUAAUCCCAUUCUCAUUUUUGGUCAACUUAAUAUUUAGGAUAACACUUGCUUCUCCCAGAUCCUUCAUGUCGAAGCCUGAAGAUAAGAAUGAUUUGACCUUCAAGCCCACUGCACACCGAAUUCGAAGGUCGACAAGGCGCCAUAGCAAGAGAUUCAGCACAGCGAGUGGGAAGACGAGCGUGUAACAGCGUCCAUUCAACCAGGACAUCUCCUGGUGUUAUAGACCUUCGUAGUGCAUCAGUUUCCCCAUCAAACAGCCUCAUCAAGCAGUAGAAACUGCCAAUUUGAACGAUAGAAACGGCUUCCAUCAAAUUGUUGAAACUGACACACCUUAUUGCUGUUUAAAACGGCAAUUUCAAUCACAUUGAAUUGCCAUUAGGCUCAGCAUAAAAAAAAUAAUAACUGCACAAACAAUAGUCACAACUCACGCGAUUUUCCACGUGAAAAUGUGCGUGAGCUUCAUGUGCGUGUAGCAACAAUCUCCUUCUCUCUCAUUUGCAUCUAUUUUGCAUAGAGAGGAGACUCCCAUAUUUAAGCAAGGCAACCUCUCCUUGAAUUAGCAAUAUAAGACUAAAGGUUGUGUAUGCUUUGGAAUUUUCUAAUUGGGCCACAUAUGGGCCUAAAUCCAAGACGGUGAAGGUUCUUCUAUCUCAACUCAAGGUGACGUUUAUAGCCUCGGCAUAUUGCUUCUUGAGAUGUUUACUGGAAGGAGCCCAACGGAUGAGAUGAGAUAUUCAAUGAUUCUUUGGAUUUGCACAAGUUUUCAGCGAAUGCUCUUCCAGAGAGAAAACGGGAUAUAGUUGAUCCGACAAUAUGGAUGCACACAGAUGCCUAUAACAGCACUAUAAGAAGUGGAAUUAAGAAUUGCUUGCUUUCUGUUGUUUGUCUUGAAAUAUCAUGCUCGAAGAAACAACCUAGGGAGCAGAUCCCGAUUCAGGAUGCAGCCAUUGAGAUGCACGCUAUUAGAGAUUCGUAUCUCAAGUUUGCCAGAUCUCUUUUGGUGGAGCAUGGAGUAGUAGCAACAACUCACAGUGAUUUCCCACAACAGUGAAUACAUAGGACUGAAAAUGGGCAAGAUGUUGCAGGUGAUCAGUUUACCUGAAAUAACUGAAGAUGUAUGAAGCUUCAGCUUUAUAAUUCGUCCAUGCAUUUGUUUGCAUCAGAUAUAUGGAAGUAUAAAAUAAGUUUAGAAAAUGUUUCAAAAUAGAUUAGAUCCAGAGGUUUUACUUGUCGUCUGUAUGACACAUUUUUUGUAGAGAAUUCAGUAAUAUGUAUGAUUCAUAAUACAAUCAAUGCUCUACAAAUUUCAAUAGCACAAUUGGAAUAAAAAGCUCAUUCAUUGAUUAUGUUGCUCUAGGUAACUCAACUUAUUGUGAUGUUCACUGUAGAUUUCUCCAUGGUCCAAACGACCUUUGUGAUCAGUUAUGUUUAUGCAUUUUGUAGAAUUGUAAAGUCUUUCCCUAACCUGCUGACGUAUCAGCCGGAGCAUGAGAAGGGGGUGCACCAAAUAUGGGAUGAGAUGGAGAGGAGUGAAUCAGGCCCAGAUCAACGAUCAUUUACUAUUAUGGUUUAUGGUCUUCAUUCCCAAGAAAAGCUUGAUGAGGCUCUGCAAUAUUACACAACAAUGAAGUCAAGAGGGUUGAUCCCUGAACCAAGGACCAAGAUACUGGUGAAAGCUAUACAUAUGAAGAAAGAUGGGGCUGUCACAGAAGAUCAGUCUGCAAAUAUGACAGGGAAGAAUCUAAAACUGGAUCCACGAUCUAGCCUAUUCCAUGUUCAUAAAUAGUUUGCUGUCAGAUCUUACUUCUAUAACCUCAACAGAGGAUUGCUGGGCACGUAUUAUGUGUCAAAAGAAUCUCUUCUACCAGUGUCCAGAUCACAAUGGCCACACCUUGGGCUACAAUAAAUCAUCAGAAAAGUGUAUUGGCAUCAUGUAUCCCAGAAAGUUUUGCUCAGACUUUCAAUGCCAGGGUAUGUUUUUCAUGUCUGAUAUGGAUCAAUUAUAUUGCAAGUACUGUAUUACACGCUCGUAUUAUGAAGGUUAUGUGAAAUAUGACAGAUGUUUGUUUAUUCAUCUGUUAUGCAUGGCUGUGUCUACUGUCUAGCUGUUGGCUUGUUGCCAACAUAUGCAGCAGCAGGUAGCUUCAGCCGCUCAGAAGCCCAAAUGAAGGAUGGCCCAGGCAGAAUAGCUAUGUCUAGACCCAGAAAGCUUAGGACAUGUCUUGCCAGCCUGCAGUUUUGUACUCGUAGCACCAACCAUCUCCGGGUUCUGGCCGGUUAUAUACAUGGUCUGGACUCUGGAAUGGGCAUCCGCUGAUCGAUUGAAACCUUGAGCUGCUUCCGUGUUUGUCUUUUACCAUCUAUAUAUUAUGGUUAGUCAACGGCAUGCAGUACACCCAUGCAUAUGAUUGCAGUAGGAUGACAUGGCGCGACCAGAACCCUUCUUUUGCCAGUUUUAGAUUCUUAUACACGGCCAACUGACGCAGCAGGGAGUUGCAUGCUAAGCAGUUCAGCGUAGGUGGUGAGUUCUCAACUCUGAUAUGGCUUAUGGAAGAACACUGUCACGGUGUUACCUAGCCGGUUGGAGGCCAACCUCUUACUAGGGACAGCAAUGGCCCUGUCCGGCCACUGUUUCGUGGCUGGUAUUAUUACCCCUAUGCAGUGAAUAUGACAUGUGGAUCUAUGUGUAUAUUAUGUCGUCAAAAGAACAUUAUAUGAACCGUUGAUCCACCUUUGAUUCUAUUAAUGUGUCAUGGUCAAUUGAUGUCAAACUCUAUUAUCUUCAAGUCUUAUUGUAUUGAUAAAAUCACGAUGCUGCUACUGCCAUUUUGAUGUUUAUAAAAGGGUAUUGAGAACCUGGUGGGUAUCCAUUGGAUGCGCAGGGUUGAUGGUGGGGAAAAAUGAGUGUAAAGGACAGGGAUGCAGUAUUUAGAAAGAUGGGGCUGCCACAGAAAAUAGUCUCCAAGUAUGGCAGGGAAGAAUCUAAAACUGAAUCCUUGAUCAAGACUGUCCCAUAUUCAUAAAUAGUUCACUGACAGAUCUUGCUUCCAUAUUCUGAACAGCUGAUGCUGGGCACAUAGGAGGUUAACCGGUCAGCGGAUCAAAGAAAAUCCACAAUGGCCUCAUCUUGGGUUAGAGACAAUCAUCGGUAAAGAAUCAUAUUGCCGGAUAAGGAUAUCUGUGAUUGGUGGGUGCAGAUCCAUGCUCAUUCAAGAAACACAUGAUUCUUUACGGAUGAUCAUCUCUCAGCACACCCUGCUGAUAAGGUUAUCUGAGAUUGGUGGGUGCAGAUCCUAGAAACAAGCUAGGGCUGAAUGCGCCGCUGUACUUGGAUGUUGUGGUGACACCGUAAUGAUUGUGUGUUUAACGGAGUUUCCCAUAGUGACUAGCGUGCAGGCCGUCCUCGUAUUUGAGAAAAAAAUCAAUGGGCGAAAUGUUUUCACCCAGGUAAUUGUUGCAUUGUAUGAAUAGGCUUAGAUACCUGGUUACUGUGACACAAGAAGAUUUAUCAUAUCUAUCUAUGAAUUAGUGUUAAAUCUCCUACAUAAAUAUCUUCUCUUAUCUCACUUUAUGUAUAUAUAUGACACAGAAGCACAUGUAUAUCGGCAUUGUAGAGAUAGAGAUGAGAGAGAAGCUUAUCUGCUUUUUGGAGAUAAAUAUUCAAAUUACUAGUGUAUGAGAGGGAUAGAAUUAUUCUAUCAUAUUGUUUAUUCAACAUCUAAAAAGAUUCCAUGUUUAGUCAUCUAUAUCGGCGUUGUAGAGAGAGAGACUAGUGUUCAUCUGGUUGGAAGGAUGAGAGAGAGAGGAGAGAGUUUGGAUGAGAUAGAGAGAUAGUGUUCAGCUGGUUGGAAGGAUGAGAGAGAGAGAGAGGAGAGUUUGGAUGAUAGAGAGAUUAGUGUUCACUUGGUUGGAAGGAUGAGAGGGAGAUGAGAGAGUUCGGAUGAGGAGGUAGAGAGUUCGGAAGAGAGAGAGAGGUGAGAGUUCGGAUGAGAGGUGUGAGAGAGGUGAGAGUUCGGAUGAGAGAUAAAGUAGCUUAUAAGGAUGAGAGAGAGAAAGCGGUAUUCAGCUGGAUGGUGGAGACUUCAUAUAUUACUAAUAAUGCAUCCAAACAACAUUUAAAAUUUAAUUCUAAGAAAAACUUUCUCGGUAAAUCAAAACAAGAAAAUUCAAUUGAAUCAAAUUCUACGGAAUCCAUUUCCUAUGAAAUCUAAUUGCUAGAAUAUGAUUCAUGGAAUGAGUUCCAAUUCUAGAGAUCCAAACGGGCCCUAAGAGAAUUGUAGUGAUCAACUCCCAAGUUGCAAUAUAUCCUAGGAAAUAGGUGGUUAUGAGGAUGAUACCUGCAGACAAUACUUUUAAUCCCUCAAUUCUUACAGAGAAUUGCACUAUCAACUGCAUUUUCAUUUGUGCCACGCUGCUCAGCUAUAAAAAACGGGGCAAAUCGACCAAAAUAAAUGAAUAAACCACAUGGUUUAGACUGGUGGCAUAUGUAUGUCUGAUGAGUUUAGAAUCCCAACAGACCUCUGUUUGCUUAUCCAACAGGAGGGAAAAAGUUUACUUACUAAAUCAGCUUUGCAUGUCAGGCUGCAAUUGUUAGAGAGUAGAAUUGGGUAAUUUGUGAACAUAAUUGAAUCAAAGUUUUGUCUCAGACUAGUAAUAGAAAAUGGUGAUGCUCCAUAGCUAGAACAACACGUUCCUACACUAGUUUAAAAAAUCCCCUGAAAUUGGGAACAAUGGUCAAGCCCAAACCAUACUUGGAACUUGGAAGGCCGCUGGCGGAUGUCAAAGUCAAAAACAGAAGCAGACAGCGACGUCUCACCAGAUCACGAAUCAGAUGCGAUGCAUAUACAUGUUGCAGGCAUUAGCACGCAUCCCUUAGGAUUAAACAAUUCAGCAAGUAGCUCCCCUGCUGACCAAGAAAAGCAAGCUCUGUCUCGCAGCAAGCUCUUCAAUACGCUCCAGCCCAGCUCUACCAUGGCAUUGGCAAUGCGCGUCAUGAGCUUGCUUCCUGCCACCAUCGCCGUGAUGAUCGCAGCGGCCUCCUGGGGAGCGCACGGCGGUGCCAGCGACGAGGCCAGCGCGCUGCUUGCUUUCAAGGCUGAGCUCGCCGGCAGCGGCUCCGGCAUGCUUGCAUCCUGGAAUGGCACCGCUGGCGUCUGCAGCUGGGAGGGCGUGGCGUGCACCAGCGGCCAGGUGGUGGCACUGAGCCUGCCCUCUUAUGGGUUCGCCGGAGCCCUCUCCCCGGCCAUUGGGAACCUCACUUUCCUGCGGACCCUGAACCUGAGUUCCAACUGGUUCCAGGGGGAGGUCCCAGCAAGCAUCGGCCGCCUAGCGCGUCUGCAGACGCUUGAUCUGAGCUACAAUGCGUUCUCUGGUACGCUUCCUUCCAACCUCAGUUCCUGUGUCAGCUUACUGCUGUUAGAUCUCAGCAGUAACCGGUUCCAUGGGCGUAUCCCUGUUGAGCUUGGAGACAAGCUAACAAGUCUUCAGAAGUUCUCACUGGGCAACAACAGCUUGACGGGUGCCAUGCCAGGAUUACUAGGUAACCUGUCAUCCCUGAACUACCUUGAUCUGAGAAAAAACCACCUCGAGGGUCCGAUCCCACAUGAACUCGGCAGCAUGGGCGGCCUGCAGGUCCUUUUACUCCAUGACAACAGACUCUCCGGUGUGCUUCCACACUCCCUGUACAAUCUGUCCUCACUGAAAAAGUUGGGGGUAGGAGACAACAUGCUGUCUGGAACCAUCCCUGCUGAUAUCGGCGAUAGGUUCCCCGGUAUGGAAGCUCUUGACUUUUCUAGCAACCGAUUCAGUGGAGCUAUCCCACCUUCGCUCGGCAACCUCUCUGCUCUCACAAAACUAGUCCUUCAAGAAAAUGGUUUUAUUGGAUAUGUGCCUUCUGCUUUGGGAAAGUUGCAAAGUCUUACUGCCCUUUUCUUGGGUGUUAACAGGCUAGGAGCAAACGACAGUCAAGGGUGGGAAUUCAUCACUUCACUGGCAAACAGCUCCCAGCUUCAGGUUCUUGUUCUCGGCAACAACUCUUUCAGCGGGCAACUGCCUAAUUCAGUCACAAACCUGUCAUCAACUCUGCAAGGUCUUUAUUUGGGAGACAAUAUGAUUUCUGGGAAUAUUCCAAUAAACAUCGGAAAUUUGGUUGGUCUUACAGUAUUUGUGAUGGGAAAUACUUCUGUAUCUGGACAGAUUCCAGAGAGCAUUGGUCAGCUAAGAAACUUGGGUGUGUUAGGCCUUUACAACACUAGCUUGUCAGGCCUCAUACCUUCGUCACUAGGAAAUCUUACACAGUUGAAUAGGCUUUAUGCAUACUAUGGAAACUUAGAGGGGCCAAUUCCAUCAAACUUGGGGAACUUAAAGAAUGUGUUUGUCUUUGAUCUCUCAACAAAUCGACUCAAUGGUUCAAUUCCUAUAGAGGUUUUAAAACUUCCUCAACUUUCCUGGUACUUAGACUUAUCAUAUAAUUCAUUAUCCGGGCCACUUCCAAUUGAGGUUGGUACCAUGGUGAAUCUUAACGAACUGAUUCUGUCUGGAAACAAGUUGUCAGGCACCAUACCAGCUAGUGUUGGGAACUGUAUAUCGUUGGUACGGCUGCUGCUCGAUAACAACUUAUUAGAAGGAAGCAUACCUCAAUCUCUGAAGAAUAUAAAAGGUCUUGCAUUACUGAACCUAACAAUGAAUAAGCUAUCUGGUAGUAUUCCUGAUGCCCUUGCUAGCAUUGGCCACCUGCAACAACUGUAUCUUGCACACAACAACUUGUCAGGUUCCAUCCCCAAAGUUCUACAGAAUUUGACAUUGUUGGCAAAACUGGAUUUGUCCUUCAAUGAUCUGCAAGGCGAAGUGCCAAAAGGGGGUCCUUUUGCAAAUGCAACUCACUUGUCAAUUGAUGGAAAUGAUGAGCUUUGUGGCGGAAACCCUCAACUUCAUUUAGCUCCGUGCUCCACAGCAGCUGCGGAGAAGAACAGAAGGCGAAUGUCAAGGUCACUUAUGGUCACCGUAGCGUCAAUCUGCGCACUUCUAUUCUUAGGUUUAGUAGUUUGUCUUAUCCAUUUGAUCCACAAGAGGCUCAGACAAGGAAAGGAAAAUCAACUCAUUCCCACAGUAAUUGAUGAACAGCACGAAAGGGUUUCAUAUCAAGCAUUAGCAAAUGGGACUGACCAUUUUUCGCAGGUUAAUCUGCUCGGACAAGGAAGCUAUGGUGCAGUUUAUAAGUGCACUUUACAAGACAAGGGAAUUACCGCAGCUGUAAAGGUAUUCAACGUGUGGCAAUCUGGGUCUACUAGAAGUUUUGUGGCUGAAUGUGAGGCACUGCGAAGGGUGCGCCACCGAUGUCUCAUAAAGAUCAUCACCUGUUGCUUAAGCAUUGAUCACCAAGGCCAAGAAUUCAAGGCACUGGUUUUUGAGUUCAUGCCCAAUGGUAACCUAAAUGGUUGGCUGCAUCGAGCAUCCAAAAUACAGAGUCUGAGCAAUACGCUCAGCUUAGCUCAGAGACUGGACAUUGCGGUAGAUAUCAUGGAUGCUUUGGAUUAUCUUCACAAUCAGUGUCAACCGCCUAUUAUCCAUUGUGAUCUCAAACCAAGUAACAUCCUCCUUGCCGAAAGUAUGAGUGCUCGGGUUGGAGAUUUCGGCAUAUCAAAAAUCCUUCCUGAUGACACUAGCAAAACUAUGCUGAAUUCGGUUAGCUUCACUGGACUAAGAGGUUCCAUUGGAUACGUCGCUCCAGGUAACAGAAACUAACACUGAUAUUGCUAUGUUCAGUUUUUAACUUCCAUUUUGCCAAGUCCAGUUAUCUCGGCAUGAAUCGUUCGUAAGUAGCUUGCCAUGAAUCCACUGACCAAAUAGUUUCUGAAAUCUCAAUUGACUGCAGAGUACGGCGAGGGUCGCGCCGUCUCAACUCUUGGAGAUGUUUACAGCCUCGGCAUACUGUUGCUUGAGAUGUUCACCGGGAUGAGCCCUACUGACGACAUGUUCAAAGGCUCCUUGGACCUUCAUAAGUUCGCCGAGGCCGCUCUCCCCGACAGAGCCUUGAAGGUAGCCGACCCGGCAAUCUGGCUUCAUGAAGAAGCAAAGGGGGAAGACCCGGCCACGGUGAGAAGCAGAAGCGAGAGGUGCUUGGCUUCAGUGGUCGGGCUUGGCGUGUCCUGCUCAAAGCAGCUGCCAAGGGAGCGGACGGCGAUGCGGGAUGCUGCCGCUGAGAUGCGUGCGAUCAGAGAUGCCUUCCUGGUUCAAUGUGCAACAGAGACUUGGCCUGCAGUCGGCACCAGCGGCCUUGGAAGCACAGACACUUGAAUGGUGGACGGAGCUACGGUCUCUUGACGCACCAAGGAGCCACCGGACUAGCUGCUCUGCAACUAACAGGGUGGAGAAAGCGCCCCUUAAUGAAAAGAAAAACAGCCGGUGCAAGGCUUUAUACGGAGGGGUGUUUGGAUCCCCGGACUAAAUUUUAGUUCCUGUCACAUUGUCCAUCGAAUAUUUCGAUACUAAUUAGGUCUAUUAAACAUAGACUAUUUACAAAAUCCAUUACAUAGAUGGAGGUUAAACGGCGAGACGAAUCUAUUAAGCCUAAUUAGUCCAUGAUUUGACAAUGUGCUGCUACAGUAACCAUUUGCUAACGAUGGAUUAAUUAGGCUUAAUAAAUUCGUCUCACCGUUUAGCCUCCAUCUGUGUAAUUAGUUUUAUAAUUAACUCAUAUUUAAUCCUCCUAAUUAGUCUUCGAAUAUUCGAUGUGACACGGACUAAACUUUAGCUCCAGGAUCCAAACAUCCCCAAAGAAUGUGACAGCCACUGCGUGUAUCCGAGAGCCUUAUCUAAUCUACCAAUGAUUGUUGUGUAUGGAUGCAUAUAGAUUAUGCACGAACUCCCUCCGUCCCAAAAAAAUGUACUACUAUUUAUAAUGUAUAAUAAGUAUCAUUAGAUUGAGUAUUGAGUAUACUUUCCUAAUACAUUUAUUUGAAGAUACAAAUGUUGAUACUAUUUUCUAUAUUCUUAGUCAAAUUUAAAAACGUUGACUCCUCGAAAAGUGAGAUGUGUGUUUAUUUUGGGACGGAGGGAGUACCCGGGGAUUAGUCACGAUACAAGUAGGGAUUAGCAAGCACCAAAACCUCAUUCAUUGCCCUUCGAUCGCUCAAAUAAAAGCAACCAUUGCAUAUGGUGGCGAUGCGCUUGCGGGCCUUUCUCCAACCUUCAUUCUCCAACCUCUCUGCUCUCGCGGGCCUUGAACUCGCAUGGAACAGUUUUAGUGGAAACGUACCCCAACUUUGAAGAGAUUGCAAAGCCUCAUUUUACCUAUCCUUAAGUGGCAAUAAGCUAGGAUCGAAUGAUAAGGACGGAUUGGAAUUCAUCACCAUGCUGGCAAACUGCAGCCAGCUCCAGCAACUGGCUUUUGACAAUAGUUCAUUCAUCGGGGAACUUCCUACUCAAUUGCAAAUCUAUCGACAACACUCCAAUUGCUCUGUAUAGGAAACAAUUGGAUUUCGGGAUUUAUUCCAUCCAGCAUCGGUAAUUUGGUUGGUCUAGAACUGCUUACGUUGGCAAAUACUUUCAUAUCCGUGAAGGAUCGAAACUGGCGACCAGAGGGGGGUGAAUGGGAGCCUCACAAAAAUUCGCGGAAGCAAUUUGAGUAAAAUUAGAAUAAAAUUUAUUUGCAAUUUCCAACACAGAUAAAAAGACAGGGGUAAGCAAAAAGCUAAAUCACGUGAUAAAGACCCACUAAACAAAAUAUUAAACAAAAGAGCAUAUGGUUGCAAAAAGGUUGUUUACUGUUCAUAGAAAGUGACCUCACCUUCCCUGGUGCAUGCGUGAGUGAUGUUUCUAGAAACAAUAUUAAUGUGUAAUAUUGAAAGUGCUAAUGAGAAGGAAAUUUGCAAAGCAGAGACACGACCUGCAAGUCACCUGCAGGCACAUGCGUGCGCUGUUCGGAAGCAGAACGCUGUUCCUGGCCGGUCACCUCCCUUGUACGGGGCACACACAGUAAAAUCCAGAGACGUGCGCUUCAGUAGAGCAGGCAGCGUACGAACUAAUCAUACGAGCUCAUCGGCGGCUGGCCCUGGUGCGACGCUGCGAGCCGUGGCUGACCGCCAGGAGCAGACCUUGUCCUCCCGCAACGAUGUGUCCCUGAACAGCAAAACGGGAACAACCAAACCGGCGGCGCAAACAACGAAAACAAAGGGAACGGAGGAAAAUCGGAUCUCGCACGAACAAAGAACAAAUCACAAGGACGAAUGAUUAAAGUGUAAUUAUUCUACAAAAGUGCAUCUAGCCUCCGCCCGAUCGUCCUCCCUCUCUUCAUUGGAGAGAUCAACAAAAAUCCCUCGCUAGUAUUGAAACCCUAGGCUAGACAAAAAGCGAGAAAGCAAGAGAACCCUCUCAACCCUAGGUGCCACAUAUUUAUAUCCUUAGGGUGGCACGACCUAUUUACACAUAACCCCCUACGCUAAAUAAAUCUAACGUAGGGGCGUAAAUUCCAAUUACGUCCUCCAUGGUAAAUUCCGCGAUGUCCGCAAUCCCUCCAUCUCUACGACGUGAUCUUCGCGAUGUCGCCGCACGACCAUCCGAAAUCGUAUCGCGAUCGUCGGAAUUUCCAUCUUGGGCCAACGCCUGUCGCACGGGCGUCCCGAUACGAUGCAUGGCUUUGUGGCUCAACCAGCGAACCCCGGAUUUUGUGGCAUAAUCCGGAAACCUCCCUCGACGUCCUCCCGCCGUGUAGCCAGGUACAGUAGAUGUAUACCGCACGAUCGCCUGUCCCUCGAACGCAAGCCUCGAUCCGCCCUUCUCCGCCCCCGCGGUUUUUCAACGUGGCAUCCUAUCUUCGUUCUUCACUCGUCGCCGCAUGUACCUUGUCUCCACCUGUCACCUGCAACCACAACCUACCAAGAGACACGUCACACGCACACCGUGUUAUCAAUCGCUCAUCACCAAGGUGCUAGCCCACCGGCAUCUCAAUCUCCCCCUUGAUGAGUGCAUUGACAACACCACACCGCACAAAUUUAUUCGUACGGAAAAAGAAAAAUAAAAAGAAAGAAAAAGAAACGAUCUUAAUCCCCAAAGACAUGGGCUAGCGAAAAAGCUAGGCUCGACACAAUAAAGACAGAAAUUCACUCUCCCCAAAGUGAAUCAAAAGCCAUAUCAAUCUCCCAAAAGCAAUCUCAGCAGCAAAACUCACAAAUUUCAGCAAAACUCCCCCUACAAGAAUGAACGAACUUCCCCAGCAAGAAUGAAGUUGUGCGCUACUCACUCUCCCCCUUGUUGACAAAGCACUCCAUCAAGAUAAAAGGCAAGGAACCAAUUUAGAGAAAAGCAUGUGAGAAAGCACAAGUUGAAGCUUCUGAGACAUAUGCCAAAUACUUAUAAAAGAACAACACUAGCUAUCCAGAGAAGGAACAAUACAAUGCCAUGACCAAUAAAAAUUUAGAACUGAAAUCUGUUUGAAAACUAAUGUGCCAGGCAAAAACGUGCACAUUCCAAACUCAGUGCAAAGCUGAAGACAAAACAUAUAGCAAGCUCACACGACAGAUACACAGCUUCAGUCCAAGUUCACUGCAACGCCCACAAAUGCAUUCACUUGUCAUAUUUAAUUCUAACUUUUGUGAGCAUGAUAAGCAGGGACAUGGGAAGCAAGAGUUGUGCCCAGCCAGUUUGUUUAAUUUUGUUUAUGAGCGAGAACCAGCAGGGACAUGGGAAAAACAGAGUUGCACCCAUAUUUAAAUUCUGAGUAAGGCAAGCAGAUCAUGAGCUAAAUAGCAGAGAUAUGGGAAUUCAGAGUUUUUGCUCACAACCAUACUAUGUACUCCCGAGUUAAAACUUGUAUUGUGAGUUACAUUUGCAGUGAAAACCCAUUAAAAGAAGCUGACUACCGAACCAUGAGCAAGAUAUAUGUCAAGUAUUCAACAAGUCACUAGAUCCAGAAAAGCAAACAUAGCCCAACAUAAUUUUUUAAGUAUAUAUCUGUGCUUUUUUUAAAAUAAAAAUUGGUCAAGCAAAGCAUUCAAACCUCUCCAAAAGCAUCGAUUGCAAACUAGCCAAAACAAGUAUAAAGCAUAUGUAACUGAAGCAACUUACAAUGAUACUAGAAUGGGUAACACACCCCGAACUCACCACGCAGACGUGCAAACGUGGUUUGAUCUAGUGGCUUAGUCAAAAUAUCAGCAAGUUGCUGACUAGUAUCAAUAUGCUUAAGAUCAAUAUCACCCUUUUCAAAAUGAUCCCUCAGAAAAUGAUGACGAACCUCAAUGUGUUUCGUCUUAGAGUGAAGCACAGGAUUCUUUGCAACACUUAUAGCGCUAGUGCUGUCACACAAGAGAGGAACGCGAGAAAACGACAAACCAAAAUCGCGAAGGGUAGCUAUCAUCCAUAAAAGCUGAGAACAACAACUAGCAGCAGCAACAUACUCAGCCUCUGUAGUAGAUUGAGCAACAUUAGAUUGUUUUCUAGAGGACCAAGAAACAAGCGAAGAACCCAAAAAUUGGCAAGUACCCGAUGUAGACUUUCUAUCCAAACGACACCCAGCAAAAUCAGCAUCCGAAUAACCACACAAACUGAGAGUCGAAGCAGCAGAGUACCAAAGGCCAAAUGCAGGAGUAAAUCGGAGAUACCUCAUUAUGCGCUUCACCGCCUGACGGUGAGAAGUCCUGGGGGACGCCUGAAAACGAGCACACAUACACACAGCAAAGUGUAUAUCUGGCCUCGUAGCAGUCAAGUACAGCAGCGACCCAAUCAUGCUUCGAUAUUCCUUCUGAUCUACAGGCUCUCCGUCCUCAUCAGCAUCCAAAGCUACGCUAGUCGGCAUGGGCGUAGAAAUUGGCUUCGCAUCAUCCAUCGCAAACUUCUUCAGGACAUCCUUCGUGUACUUUCCCUGAUGCACAAAUGUACCUUCCAAAGUUUGUUUUAUUUGUAAGCCAAGAAAGAAAUUCAGCUCGCCCAUCAUAGACAUCUCAAAUUCUUUGCUCAUCACAUCUACAAACUUUUUCACAAGAGCAUGAGAGGAACCACCGAAAAUGAUAUCAUCCACAUAAAUCUGAACUAUUAAAGUGUCAUUUCCUUGCCUGAGGAGAAAAAGAGUUUUAUCAACUGAACCCAUUUUGAACCCAUUUUUAAGCAAAAAAGUUUUCAAUCUAGCAUACCAAGCGCGAGGUGCUUGCUUCAAACCAUAUAAAGCCUUUUGCAACUGAAGAACACGAUCAGGAAAAUUGGGAUGUUCAAAACCAGGUGGUUGUUUAACAUAAACUUCUUCUUCUAUAAAACCGUUCAGAAAAGCACUUUUCACGUCCAUUUGAUAAAGCUUAUAACCACGUGAAGCAGCAAAUGCAAGCAAAAUACGAAUGGCUUCUAAACGAGCAACAGGAGCAAAAGUUUCACCAUAAUCAAUACCCUCUUUCUGAGAAAAGCCCUGAGCAACCAGCCUAGCUUUAUUUCUAACAACAUAACCAUCUUCCCCUUGUUUGUUCUUAAAGACCCAUUUAGUCCCAAUUGGUUUACAAGAGGGAGGAGGAUCAACCAAAACCCAAACCUGAUUCCGUUCAAAAUUUUCUAACUCCUCAUGCAUGGCAUUGACCCAGUUAGAAUCAGAUAAAGCAUGUCCAACAUCUCAGGGUUCAAAAAAGGCAACAAAAGCAGUAUGCGCAAAGACACAAUAAUUUUUAUUUUUCAUACCUUUGUUCCUUGUCGUGCGCUCAUCCAAAUUACCUAUUAUGUUCCUUGCAGGAUGACGAUUCUGAAUGUGUUGUGGUGCUGUACGUUCUGAAAUCGCCUCCCCCUCAACUGCAGCCGGCACCUGAUCAACAGUCGGUGAAGCUGCAGGCGCUGCUGUAGAUGUACGUGUCGACGACGGUCCAUCCUCCAAAGUGGUGGAGGGCGCCUGCUCAGACUGGGCGCCAGGCUCCCCCUGCAUCGCAGGCUGGGCGUCAUCGUCGUCGUCGUCGUUGCAUCCAUCUUCCUCUUUCUCAUCCUCAAAAAUAUCCUGCCCGAUCUCAUCAUCACCUGCACACUCAGAAGCAGAAGAAAAACAAGGCAUUGUCUCGUUGAAGGUGACCUCACAUGUCUCCUCGAUGCGGUUAGUAUCAAGAUUAAGCACACGGUAUGCUCGCCCUUGCAAGGCAUACCCCAAAAAUAACCCAUCAGAAGAACGCGAUUCAAAUUUAUCCAAAUUUCCCUUUUUCAAUAUAAAACACUUGCAGCCAAAGACUCGAAAGUGGAAAACUUUGGGAGGUCGACCAAAUCUCAACUCAUAAGAUGUUUUUCCCAGAAAAGCUCUCAGAAAAAUGCGAUUAGCAACAUAGCAAGCGGUGUUGAUCGCCUCAGCCCAAAAACGUCUAGGAGUUUUAUGUUCAUCAAGCAUUGUCCUAGCCAUCUCAACAAGCGUACGAUUUUUACGCUCAACAACACCAUUCUGGGGAGGAACGUAAGGUGAGGAAAACUGGUGAUCUAAACCUUGUUCUGAACAAAAAGCUUUCAUACGAGAAUUCUUGAAUUCCAUACCGUUGUCACUGCGAAUUGCUCUAACGGCAUUAUUUGACAACUCGUUUUUCAGCUUCAGAACAAGAUCAUGAACAUGUGAAAAAGCCUCAUCCUUAGAUUCCAAAAAGAACACCCAUGAAUAUCGAGAAAAAUCGUCCACAACGACGAGCACAUACCACUUCCCACCAGCGGACCGAACACGGGCUGGACCAACUGUGUCCAUAUGUAACAGCUCACCCGGUCGUCUUGUCAUCACCUGAGUCAUAGGUGCAUGAGAAGCAGCAACCAUUUUUCCAUGUUUGCAGGGAGCACAAACCAAAUCCUUCUCAAAUUUGAGUUUCGGUAAACCAGCAAUUAAAUUCAUGGAACUCAAGCGGCAAAGCAAAUCAAAGCUCAGGUGGCCCAAGCGACGAUGCCACUUUCAAAUAUCAGGGGAACCAUGAGCAACCAAACAACGAGUCUGUCCAAAAGAUUUAGAAAAAUCAACCUUAAAAACUCGUCCAAAGGGAGAAAUCUUGCAAACAAGGUCACCAGCAGAAUCAAGAACUCGCGAAUUGCCUUUCUUAAAACGCACUUCAAAAUCAUCUUCAAGGAGUUGCGAGACAGAAAGCAGAUUAUAAUGCAAAUUUUGUACCUUCGCGACAUCCUUUAGCAUGAAUUUUUCAGAUACAUUGAUGCAGCCAUGCGCCAAAACCUUACCUUUACUAUUAUCCCCGAAUGUAAUAUGUUCCUUACCACUCGCGGGGGUGAGGCUGGAGAACCAUCUGUCAUCUCCGGUCAUGUGGCGCGAACAACCGGAAUCCAUUAUCCAUAUGUUCUCCUCGCCUCCAUCCUGCAGUCAACAAUGAGCAUAAGAGUGAGCUAAUGACUCAACACUGGGGUUAGGAUAAUGCAGAGAAAACCAGUGCUGGGCCACUUGCUCAAAAGAGGCAUUAGCAAAAUCAAAACUCUCGAAAGAUUGACGAGAACCACGAGGGGGAAAAUGUAGCCUAUCAUUCCAGUGUGGUGCAGGAGCACGAGUAUAGCCUGUCAUUCCAGUGUGGUGCAGGAGCACGAGUAUGCGAGCGAAAACCAAAAGAACGACCAGCAAGCUUACGACCCAAAACAGGACGAUCAUGAGUACCACGUGCAGGGUACUGCUCACGUCUCUCAGCACGCUUCCGACGGAAGCAAAACUCAUAGAGAUGACCAUCAUGAUCACAAAAUUCACAAUGGUAAUGCUUAUGUGAAGGAGCAAAAGAAACCUUAGCCUUAGAACCAGAAGCAACAAAUUUAGGCUUAGGCAUAGCAGCAUGAACACAUGGAGAAUCAGAUGGCUUAACAUUCUGUGCAACAUUGAAGUGUUUAGGUUUAGGCACCCAAACCUGCUUUUUAGGAACCGAUCUGGAUGGUUCAACUAACAACCCCUCAGAUGUGACACCUGGACCCUCUUUCCUAGGAGGUGGUCCAGUUACUUAGCCAAAGGUGGAUUAAUUUCAUCCACAGGAGGUCCACUCUUUUCACCAAAAACAUGUUUCAAAUCGUAUCCAGGUCCAAAACGCUCAUCCCGUUUAAUUUGAGCAAUAGACAUACCUAUUUGAGGUUCACGAAUAGAGCACCAACCAAGAAUCACUCUCAAAUGUUUAUUUUCUUCUUCCAAAGCAGAAAACUUUACCCUCAAAUCAUUAUUUUCAGCAAAAAAAAGUAGUGCAAGUCAAACAGGGAGGCAAAACAGGACAAGAAUGUUUCUCCAACUCAGUAAUACGAGAUUUAGCAAGAUUCAAUUCAGAUUGCAGGAUUGGACAAGAAACACAAGCACCAAGUAAAGCAGAACCAGAGUGAAGUUUUUCCAACUCAAACUUAGCAUUUUCAAAUUUAUCAACAAUGGAGGCAUACUUAGAUUGCAACUCAGAAAGUGAAACCAUAUGCGCAGAGCACUCUUCACAUUCUACUUCAGCAGGAGUAGCAUCUUUUAAGACUUUUAAUUCAGAAUUGACUCUAUCAUACUCAGCCUUAAGUUUUACUAAAAUUUUAUUUUGUUUAUCAACAAUUUUUGUCAAUUCUUUAAUUUCUUCUUCUGCUGAAUUUUGUACCUCAUUGUCAGAAGAGUUGUCGCUGCGAUCAGAAGCCACAUCGUCAUCCAAGGCCAUGGUGCACAUCCCUCCCUUGAUGUCGGCGAGGAAGCAGAGUCCGUCAGUUUUCUUUUUGGGCAGCUCAUCCUCGGAGUCUGAAUCACUCGAGUUCGAAGAGGCAUCUGAAACAAAAUCACCAAGAGAAGAAAACAAAACAUGUGUAGCCUUUUUUAUUUGUUUAUCAGUGUACUUCUGGCCAUUCUUCUUCAUGCGCCUGUCACCCUUCUUUUUCUUCUUCUCCCUUGAUUGUUCCUGGCGCCUGGAGUUGUUGCCCUGCUCAAAUGUUCUCAUCUUGUUCGGGCAAUCAGCAGCAAAGUGGCCUUGCUCACCACAGCUGAAACAUCCUUCUGAGCGUCUUCUGUUGCGUCGGUUCUCAUAGACUCUCUUGAAUUUGUUGGAGAGCAGCACCAACUGAUCAUCAUCUAGCGCCUCCAACUCAUCAUCUGCAACAUGACAUAAAGAUGACAAAGCAAAGCUGGGAGAAACUGGAUUAGUGUUAAUGUUAGUCUUACUCCCAGAAACCAAAGCCAUAGGAACAUCAGAAGAAGAAACACCAGUGGGAUUUUUCAAUUUGCGCUUGGAGAGGACAUCAAUCUCUUUUGAUUUGAGCUUAUUGAAAAGCUCAUCAGUGGUAAGAGUCUCAUAGCCAGCGGACUCAACGAUCGCCUCUACUUUCAUAUCCCACUCAUCAAUAAGUGAAUGCAACAAUCUGAGAGCCCUUACAAGGUCAUCAUAAGGCAUAUCCUUAUUAAGGGCUCUCAUUUUGUUUACAAUCACUUGAAACCUUGCAAAAAGAUCUUUAAUGGAUUCACCAGGCAAUUGAGAAAAAGCAUCAAACUCUUUUCUGUGAAUUUCGAAUUUUCGUGUUUUCACAGCGUUGGAGCCUUCAUGAUAUUUCUUUAACUUAUCCCAAAUCUGAAAGGCUAGCUCCUCACUGGAAAUACGAUCAUACUCAGGUUUACAAAGAGAAGCUUGCAAAAUAUCAACUACCCGGUUAUUUGCCUCAAGAAGAGCAACAGCAGCAGGAUCAGUAGGGUCCUCUACAGGAAUCACAUAUGUAGAGUUUUGUAUGAUCCUCCACAGAUUCAUCCCCUUCCCCUUUAAAUAAGCUUUCAUACGCGACUGCCAAUAGUCAUAAUCAGUACCAUCAAAAUGCGGAGCGCGUGUAUUGUAUUUUUCGGCGGUCGCCAUGGUUUUCGUAACCGAUUAAGAUAUAGAAAACCUUAACCUGGCUCUGGUACCAAUUGAAGGACUGAAACUAGCGACCAGAGGGGGGGUGAAUGGGAGCCUCACAAAAAUUCGCGGAAGCAAUUUGAGUAAAAUCAGAAUAAAAUUUAUUUGCAAUUUCCAACACAGAUAAAAAGACAGGGGUAAGCAAAAAGCUAAAUCACGUGAUAAAGACCCACUAAACAAAAUAUUAAACAAAAGAGCACAUGGUUGCAAAAAGGUUGUUUACUGUUCCUAGAAAGUGACCUCACCUUCCCUGGUGCAUGCGUGAGUGAUGUUUCUAGAAACAAUAUUAAUGUGUAAUAUUGAAAGUGCUAAUGAGAAGGAAAUUUGCAAAGCAGAGACACGACCUGCAAGUCACCUGCAGGCACAUGCGUGCGCUGUUCGGAAGCAGAACGCUGUUCCUGGCCGGUCACCUCCCUUGUACGGGGCACACACAGUAAAAUCCAGAGACGUGCGCUUCAGUAGAGCAGGCAGCGUACGAACUAAUCGUACGAGCUCAUCGGCGGCUGGCCCUGGUGCGACGCUGCGAGCCGUGGCUGACCGCCAGGAGCAGACCUUGUCCUCCCGCAACGAUGUGUCCCUGAACAGCAAAACGGGAACAACCAAACCGGCGGCGCAAACAACGAAAACAAAGGGAACGGAGGAAAAUCGGAUCUCGCACGAACAAAGAACAAAUCACAAGGACGAAUGAUUAAAGUGUAAUUAUUCUACAAAAGUGCAUCUAGCCUCCGCCCGAUCGUCCUCCCUCUCUUCAUUGGAGAGAUCAACAAAAAUCCCUCGCUAGUAUUGAAUCCCUAGGCUAGACAAAAAGCGAGAAAGCAAGAGAACCCUCUCAACCCUAGGUGCCACAUAUUUAUAUCCUUAGGGUGGCACGACCUAUUUACACAUAACCCCCUACGCUAAAUAAAUCUAACGUAGGGGCGUAAAUUCCAAUUACGUCCUCCAUGGUAAAUUCCGCGAUGUCCGCAAUCCCUCCAUCUCUACGACGUGAUCUUCGCGAUGUCGCCGCACGACCAUCCGAAAUCGUAUCGCGAUCGUCGGAAUUUCCAUCUUGGGCCAACGCCUGUCGCACGGGCGUCCCGAUACGAUGCAUGGCUUUGUGGCUCAACCAGCGAACCCCGGAUUUUGUGGCAUAAUCCGGAAACCUCCCUCGACGUCCUCCCGCCGUGUAGCCAGGUACAGUAGAUGUACACCGCACGAUCGCCUGUCCCUCGAACGCAAGCCUCGAUCCGCCCUUCUCCGCCCCCGCGGUUUUUCAACGUGGUAUCCUAUCUUCGUUCUUCACUCGUCGCCGCAUGUACCUUGUCUCCACCUGUCACCUGCAACCACAACCUACCAAGAGACACGUCACACGCACACCGUGUUAUCAAUCGCUCAUCACCAAGGUGCUAGCCCACCGGCAUCUCAAUCUCCCCCUUGAUGAUUCCAGAUAGCAUUGGUCGCCUAAAAGACACGUCCGUGUUAGGCGUUUACUACACUAGCUUGUCAGGCAUCAUACCUUGAUCACAAGGAAAUCUUACACAGUUGAAAGCUCUCUGUGCGUACGAUAUAGCAACUUGGAGGGUUCAAUUCCAGCAAGCUUGGGGAACUUAAAGAAUCUUUUUAUCCUCGAUCUCGGUUUCAGGUCGAAGCAGAGCAUAAACCUUUCUCAAGACUACGAAGUUACCAUAGAGCAGAUCAGUAUGAGGGCCAGGCUAUACCCUAUCAACACCUCCCCUCUUGCCCUUUCGGUAAGAUUACCUCAAACUAUAGUCUUUAAUUAAUUAGCCAAGACCAGAGCCAUAUAGUUCCAAGUUUAAUCAUUGAGUUUAUUAAAACCAUCAUAACCCAAGGUAUUGCAACUAAGCAUAUCUACCCAACAAACAGGUAAAACCCAGGUUGACAAGGAAUGAUCAUAAAGAUUAGGUAAACCUUAAUAGGACCCAUCAAUAUUAGAUGCAGAGCAAUGCAAAAGUGAUUAAAUAUAGUUAUUGAGAUAAAAGCACAAGGACACACUUGCCUUUCUCCAAAGAAUAGCUGCUCAGAUUAUCUUCAGCUCUUGUUCCUUAAAGCUCUCGAACAACGUUCCUUCUACUUGCAUCAAUCAUCGGCACAAGCAUACAAAGCAAACAACAAUCAUAACUAAGAACAAUACAUCAAUCAUAGUAAAUCUUUAAAAGAGCGUACUAAAGGAUAAGGCUCGAAUCUAAGGUCAUGCUAACACAAGAAACGCUGGGAACGAAACUAUGGUUGAAAAGACAAAGCUAUCGAGAGAUUUGAAUUAUAAAAGAAAGAGAAGCCUAUGUGCUUCAUAUAUUUUAAUAAAGAAAAGAAUGUAAAUAUAUUUUAGAGAAACAUCCUUAGAAGGUUAUAUUUAUAUAUGAAAAGAUGAUGUAGAACUUAGUCAAAUUUUAUUUAUAAAUAUUCAAGUAAACAUUUAAUUUGAAAAUAAAGUAUAUGUAAACAUCAAGGCGCAUAGCUUUAUGAUUCAGGUUGAACUAACCAAAUAUAAUUCAAAAACAUAUUUAUAUUUAUAUUAGUCAAAUUAACAUAUAAUUAUGAAAACCAAAGAUGUAACUUAUGUAGCUUUUAUUUAGAAAACAAAUUGAAUAAACAUUAAUCAAUUUAAGUUUAAUUAUGAACCACCGUGGUGCAUCUCUAAUUCGCUUUUAAUUGAAAGAGUUAUUUAAAUAAGCAUUAAUAACUAAAUUAACAUUUAUUAUGAAAAGCGGUUAUAACACUAAGUAGCUUUUAAUUAAAGAAGACAUGUUUAACAUGCAUUAAUCAGAUUAAUAUUAAAUUUAUUUUAAAACAUGCAUGAUGGAAAGAUCACUACUAACAUGUAAUUUGUGUUAUCAUGAACCUAAGAAUGGAUAUAAACGGAGCUGUAACGAGGAGUCCAUGGGUUAAACAAGGUUGCAGGGCCUAAUCGCGAUUAACGAAAGGUUAUUGGGGCUAGCGAGGAAGAUUUACAAGACAUUGGAAUAGAGCUCACCAUUAGGUCAAAGCAUAGGGUUACAUCUGUUAAAGUGCGCAGGUUGGACUUGGUUGCACGGAUCCAAUAUAAUCAGGGACAUGGAUGAAAAUAAAUAAGACACAAGGAAAAACUAACUAUUUAAAGAGCUUCCAGGGGCCUAUGCACAGAAGCACCAUAGCUCAGCAUCCGGACGGGCUCCUAGACGGCAAAAUCAUCGUGUCAGAUUUAUAAGCCCAGCAAUGCACCAGGGGGUUACCCAAGUGGUUGAUUUGUAGGUGAGGGUGAUUGCGAAACCAAGAACUCAAAGGUGAUCGCGAGAACACGAAGCGACACGAAGGUUUUAGAUAGGUUCGGAUCUCCAGAGAGUAAUAUCCUACGUUCUGUAUGCUGGUGUGUAUUGCUUGAGAUUGAUCUGAUUGUUGGGAUGCCUUAUAAUGAAUCUAAUCUACUCGAUAGUUACAUAGAAAGUAAUAUGAGUUGGACAACAAUACGCGUUCCAUGAUAUUCGGGCAGAUUUGAACUGUCUUGUUGCCUUGACUUACACUCCAAGUAACUUCAUGCCCUUGGCCCGCACGCCCUGGUCGGGCGGGCCCUACUUGUCAGGUCCAUCUAGUAUCCUAGUUGAUGGGGGCUCAUGGGGUACCCAUAUCCCUCAAGCUCCCGAGCGAUGUGUAGGCGAACAGGAACUUGAGGUCAUCACAGCGAAACUUGAAAUGAAGUCGGCUGAAGCUGCGAAGGCGUCAUGGCGACGGAGAGACUGUGCAGUGCUCAAAAGAAGAAAAUUUGAGCAAACACAGAGCCAACGCAUAGAGCAAAGACGAGUGCUGAGUUGAUGGAUGCUGGCAUCUAGCAGGUCGGAGUGAAGGUUAUGGAGGGUGUCGCAAGACGCACUCCGUAGGAGUAGUCCCCAAGCAUUGAAGCGAUUAAGAUAAUCAGUACAAUGGUCAAAGAAGAAAAAAUUGUCUUCUGAAGCAGAUCCUAGUGCCUGAACACAAGGAUGGGCGCAGCCACAGAGGCCCGCCGACCAGAAGUAGGCACCCAGACCCAAGGACGAGGACUGGCAGGACCGCGGAGCCACGGCGACCUGAAAUAGGCACCCAACCCCCAAGAAUGAGGAGUAGCAGAGCUGCGGAGGCAUGCCGACCUGAAGUAGGUGCCCAGCCCCCGAGGACGAGGACUAGCGGAGCCAUGGAGGCAUACCGACUUGAAAUAGGCGCCCAGCCCCUGAGGACAAGGACUGGCAGGGCCACGGAGGCACGCCGAUAACAAUUAGGCGCCCAACCCUGAGCAUGAGUAUGAGGACUGGUGGAAGCACGUCGAGUCGCCUCCCGCCCUGAGCCGAGGCAGAGAGGUAGGCUGGGCGAUGGGAGGCACACCGAGUCAUCUGCGCCCACCAGCCGCCGAGUCUGGGAGCCGGACGAGUCACAGAAGCAUGCCAAGUCACCUCAUGCCCUGAGCCAGAGAGGUCAGCCGGGUGACGGGAGGCACGCCGUGUCGUCUGCGGUGCCCAGCACCCAAGCCUGGGAGCCGGCUGAGCCACAGAAGCACGCCAAGUCGCCUCCCGCCCUGAGCUAGAGAGGUUGGCCGGGUGAUGGGAGGCACGUCGAGUCGUCUGUGGCGCCCAAUCCCUGAACCUGGGAGCCGGACGAGCCACAGAAGCAUGCCAAGUCGCCUCCCGCCCCGAGCCAGAGAGGUUGGCCAGGUGUUGGGAGGCAUGCCGAGUAGUUUUUGAGCUGUAAAAGGACAAUACAAUCAUUAUGUAGCAUAGUGUAGAUCAUUCAAUAAUUUAACAACUCAGAAGUUUAAUUCGAUAUAGAAGUAAACUCUUGCGCAUCCUGCUAUUGUAGGUCAAGUAAUUUCCCAGGUAGUUAGCCUGUUACGUUUAAGCACCUAGCUUUGCUGACCACUGCUCACGGAGAGGACAGCUUAUCUCAGGCUAUAGCGUUGGGGCUGACCCGAUGCUCGCAUAUAGGAGACGCGCAUGAUGAGUCAAGGUUUCACGAAUUAAGGCGUGUGCUACUCGAGUACUUUAGCAACCGUUAAGAGGGACGGACAAGCCACAAAUCAGCCGGAACUCUACGGAAAAGCACCAGCAUGAGCUGGGCACCCAUGGGGUGUAGCCCUCGACCGCCCGUGUAGUGGACGGACCAAGCUGUAUAAGUAGUCGGGGUGCGAUCAAGGUGGUCGGUGAAAGUCACGGAGACAUAGGAGAGCCGAGGUGGUCGGCGAAAGUCACAGGGACAUGUAAGAGCCGAGGCAUAUGUAGGUAUACGGAAGCCGUAAAAUAUUUAAUUGUAAAUAAGACUUACCUUGAUUCAUGAUUGAGUCGGAGAACCCACAUGUCGUCUUCGCGUUUAGGCUUAGAAGCUCCUGAGCGUGGCCGGCGGACAGUUGUUGGUGAAGCAAACUAGUCGGUCUCCAUGCCCAACUAAUUUGUGUCGAGACUGAGUUGUUGGAGUUGUCAGGGACGCAUCUGUGGUUGCGAUCGUGGUAUGCUGCUGCCGAGUCGACGCGGCCGUCGGGUCGUGGUCGGCUGGCCGCCACGCUCGCAGUACAGCGUGCAUGGGUUGUGCUGCCAAACCAAGGGUGCAUGUACAUCUUUCCGAACCUCGUAAGGAAGCCCUCACGUAUUAAGGAAAUAAGAAAAAAAAUUAUUAGCUGCCGUAGUAAGCACCGAGCAACGUAGGAGAUCUACUGGAUAGAAUAGAUUAAAUAAUAAAGGGAAGGGAGAAUUGUUCCUUUUUUUUCCGUGGCAGAUCUGACGUGUCUGCAGGCAACAAGUUGGGGUCCACGUGUCGUGCUAAAUCAACCGGAGGCGUGGUGCUUGGCCUCCUGCGCCUCGCAAAUCUUCUGCAUCUGGAGCAUCCGCUCUAUGACGAGCUCGUACUGGCACUUCUCGUAGGCGUGGCACUCAGGCUCGCACUUCCAGGAGAGGUAGAACUCGGAGGUGCGCGCACUGGUCGUGGCAGGCGAGCAGCACCCGGGACUCCGCCAUCUCCACCUGCGUGAUGAUCUGGGGCUUCAAGGAGCCGAGCUGCACGCCGGCCGCUGCCGCCGCCUCCAUUUGUCACUUUCUUUCCCUCUCUCACCGGCGAGGUCAUUCUGUCGAUAGAUGGGUGCUGCGGGUUUGGUGCGGCGUGGGUAGGUGGGGUGUAGCAAGGACAUGGAGAGAGAUUGCAUACCUACUGGGCAAGCGGCAUGAUGGUCUUGGAUGGAGAACUUGCUCCAUCGGAGUAAAUCUGAUGGAUGCUGAGUUGACGACGGGCGUCGAGUCGAAGUCCACCGGCAUGCUCCCAAAGCGGAGCUGAAUUGGACUGGCGAGGAAUUCCUUCAUGCUCUUGGGGAAAACAAUGCCGGGGUGGGAUGCCAUCGAGCUCGCUGGGGAGGAUCUCAUAAUCACCUGUACCUGGCGUCCCAAUUGUCGGAUUUAUAAGCCCAGCAAUCCACCAGGGGGUUACCCAAGUGGUUGAUUUGUAGGUGAGAACGAUUGCGAAACCAAAAACUCAAAGGUGAUCGCGAGAACACAAAGGGACAUGAAGGUUUUAGACAGUUUCGGACCUCCGGAAAGUAAUACCCUACAUCCUGUAUGCUGGUUUGUAUUGUUUAAGAUUGAUCUGAUUGUUGGGAUACCCUCGGGGGUGCCCUUGGCCACUUUGUAUAGGCUAACGACCAAGAGGUGCAAGUUGGUUUGGAUCUAAUCUACUCGGUAGUUAAAUGGAAAGUAAUCUGAGUCGGACUACAAUACGCGUUCCAUGAUAUCCGGGCAGAUUUGAACUGUCUUGUUGCCUCGUCGUGCACUCCAAGUAACUUCAUAUCCUCGACCUGCACACCCUGAUCGGGCGGGUCCUACUUGUCAGGUCUGACCAGUAUGCUGGGGUACCCAUAUCCCUCACCUUGGUGCUCCGACAGUUAGGGUCGGCGGCAAGGAUGGGGAUUGGAAGCGGAGAUCGAGGGAACUUUAUGGAGAUGCUCACCGUUCCAUCCGGAAUUUGGCUAGCGGCGGAAGAACAUGGCAGCUAGCUCGGGUCUUUGCAAGUGACGGUACUUCAGUGGUGGAGCGGCAACGAAGAUUGGUGGCAGAGCUGCUCCUCGACGUCACGAAGCUCCCUGAGGCUCCAACUUGCUCCGAUAGUUGACGGGCACAGCGAAUCGGCCAGAGAAGGCCGGCGGCGGCUCUUGGCUUUGGCGGAUGUGGGGUAUGGCGGUGCUCUCGCAAGUUGGGAAGAGCGGCGGAGUGUGGCAGGGCAGCACCAGAGGCACUAUCUCGACUUUAUAGGCACGUGGGUCCACGCCUGCCUUGGCGCACACGCUGAGGUUCGGCGGUGGCGAUGCCUCAAGCUGCCGGUGGCCGAUGGGCCUAGCGGGCUUGGCUGAGCCAUCAGCUGGGCCGGGUCGGUGCGGGUUGGAUGGAGAGGUUCGGGCCCCAAAGGCUUGGCCCGAUCGAUUAGGAUUUUCCUUUUUUUCAGAAAUGAUUUCUCGUGAAUGAAAAAUCUAGAAAAAUUCUAGAUAAUUCAUUUAAACAACAAAAAAACUCUAAAAAUCCAAAAAUUCUAGGAAAAAUCCUAGAGAUAGUUUGGGGGGGGGGACAGGAGGAGUCCAAAUAAAAUACUUGGAGGGCGUGAAAAGGAUUCUAGAGCCUUUCAAAAAUUGGAUUUAGCUGUGGAAAAAAAUGAGAAUAAAUCUUAGAAAAAUAUGGAAAUUCUCAUAAGAACCUAAUUGGCAUCUAAACGUAUUUCAAAACCUUUGCACUCAUGAAAUACCAAGAUGCAUCGGCAUAAAUGCAACACAUACACAGAACCAUUGUAUUUAAUUCAGAAAACACAAUCUUUUUCCUAUACUAAAUUUCCUGUCAAGAAAAUAAAUAUUGGAAAAUUUUAAAAUUAUGAGAAAAUCAUUGUUUAAUUAUUCUUUUUAAUCACAUCCUGAAAUUUCAAAAAAUUUAGGGUCCAAAAUUCUUUUUACGGAAUUUGACAUUCAUGUCCAAAUUGGAUCUAUCCUUCAAUGAUCUGCAAAGUGAAGUGCCUAAAGGGUUUUUCUUGCAAAUGCAACUUACAUGUCGAUUUAUGGAAAUGAUCAGCUUUGUGGUCGAAUACCUCAACUUCAUUUAGCCCCAUGCUCCAUGUCUAGUGCAAAAAAGAAAUAAAGAAAUUUGUCGAAAACCCUUGUGAUCACCCUAACAUCAAUCAAUGCAGUUGUAUUCUCAGUUUCAGUACUUGAUGUAAUUGUGUUGAUCCGUAAGAAGCUUAGGAAGAGGCAUGAAAGUCAACUCAUAUCCACAACUGAGGAACUGUAUGAAAGAGUUUCUUAUCAUGCUUUGUCAAAUGGGACCAAUGGAUUUUCAGAGGACAAUUUACUUGGACAAGGAAGCUAUGGCAUGGUUUUAUAAAUGUACUUUACAUGACCAGGGCACUACAGUAGCUGUAAAGGUGUUUAACACACAACAAUCUGGGACUUCUAGAAGUUUUGUCACUGAAUGUGAGGCACUCAGAAGGGUGCGUCACCGUUGUCUCGUAAAGAUCAUCACUUGUUGCUCAAGCAUCAAUCACCAGGGUCAAGAGUUCAAGGCACUAGUUUUUAAGCUCAUGCCAAAUGGUAGCCUAAAUGGUUGGCUUCACCCAGAGUCUGACACACUUACCCAGACAAAUACUCUUAGCCUUGAACAAAGGCUACACAUUGCUGUCGAUAUCAUGGAUGCUUUGGACUAUCUUCAUAAUCACUGUCAGCCAUCAAUCAUUCAUUGCGAUCUCAAGCCAAGCAACAUCUUUCUUGCGGAAGACAUGAGUGAGUGCCCGAGUUGGAGGUUUUGGCAUAUCAAGAAUCCUUCCAGAAAGUGCUAAUAAAACCCUGCAAAAUUGGAAUAGCGCAACUGGAAUAAGAGGCACCAUUGGUUAUGUUGCACCAGGUAAUGAAAGAGAUGUUUUUGGUAUUUGUAAAAUGUUCUUAGUUCUUACGUAUACAAGACCUGCUGACCUUUGUUUUUUUUCCCAAUCAGAGUAUGGUGAAGGUUCUUCUGUCUCAACUCAAGGUGACGUUUAUAGCCUCGGCAUAUUGCUGCUUGAGAUGUUUACUGGAAGGAGCCCAACGGAUGAGAUAUUCAAUGAUUCUUUGCAUUUGCACAAGUUUUCAGAGAAUGCUCUUCCAGAGAGAAUAUGGGAUAUAGUUGACAAUAUGGAUGCACACAGAUGCCUAUAACAGCACUAUAAGAAGUGGAAUUAAGAAUUGCUUGCUUUCUGUCGUUUCUCUUGGAAUAUCAUGCUGGAAGAAACAACCUAGGGAGCGGAUCCCGAUUCAGGAUGCAGCCAUUGAGAUGCACUCUAUUAGAGAUUCGUAUCUCAAGUUUGCCAGGUCUCUUUUGGUGGAGCAUGGAGUAGUAGCAACAACUCACAGUGAUUUCCCACAACAGUGAAUAUACAUAGGACUGAAAAUGGGCAAGAUGUCUGCAGGUGAUCAGUUUACCUGAAAUAACUGAAGAUGUAUGAAGCUUCAGCUUUAUAAUUCGUCCAUGCAUUUGUUUGCAUCAGAUAUAUGGAAGUAUAAAAUAAGUUUAGAAAAUGUUUCAAAAUAGAUUAGAUCCAGAGGUUUUACUUGUCGUCUGUAUGACACAUUUUUUGUAGAGAAUUCAGUAAUAUGUAUGAUUCAUAAUACAAUCCGUGCUCUGCAAAUUUCAGAUAGCACNNNNNNNNNNNNNNNNNNNNNNNNNNNNNNNNNNNNNNNNNNNNNNNNNNNNNNNNNNNNNNNNNNNNNNNNNNNNNNNNNNNNNNNNNNNNNNNNNNNNGAGAGAGACUAGUGUUCAGUUGGUUGGAAGGAUGAGAGAGAGAGGAGAGUUUGGAUGAUAGAGAGGUUAGUGUUCACCUGGUUGGAAGGAUGAGAGGGAGAUGAGAGAGUUCGGAUGAGGAGGUGGAGAGUUCGAAAGAGAGAGAGGUGAGAGUUUGGAUGAGAGAGAAAGCAGCUUAGAAGGAUGAGAGUGAGAAAGCGGUAUUCAGCUGGAUGGUGGAGACUUCAUAUAUUACUAACUAGCAAGGUGUCCGUGCGUUGCUACGGAGAAAUGACGUUGCUUAGCGCGUAAUGUUUUUUAUCGUGUCGUGUAGCGGACCAUAUUUUUUAUCAUGUUGUGUAACUUUUUUAUUUUAGUUGUAUUAGACUGGCCACUUGAGUGUGUCCAUAUCCCUACCGUGCGGAGACCGCUUGCCAUCGAACUUGUUAUCUCUUUCUCUAUCUUGAGAUUGGUAGGCUUCUACAGCAAUUCUGCACAAAGAAGGCCCCACUUCGCCCCGAUCCCGUUAGUCCCGCGCCUACCCUCUCCCUCUCCGAUCCUUGCCACCAGCUCCUCCUGGUCCAGGUUGGGCCCGUGAUGUAGCGGCCUGUUAUCCUUCCACCGUUGGAAGCGAGCAGUGAUCGCUGCUCUGUGAACCCAACCUCACGCCGUUCCUACCACUUCAGGUCCAAUGAAGCCUGAGCUUUCGCUUGGGCCAAACAGGCCACUACCAACUUGGAACGAGCAGGGCCAGCAAAGGCACACAAUAGAUCCAAGCCCAGAGCCCAGAUACUUACAUUGACAAAGUGUUGAAGCGGUUCAGCAUGGAAGAGGCAAAGAAAGGGUUCUUGCCUAUGUCACAUGGCAUACAUCUCAGCAAGACUCAGUGUCCUUCGACUGCUGAUGAGCGGGAUCGCAUGAGUAGAGUGCCAUAUGCCUCGGCUAUUGGAUCUAUCAUGUAUGCAAUGAUAAGUACUCGCCCAGAUGUUUCAUAUGCGCUAAGUAUGACAAGUAGACACCAAUCUGAUCCAGGUGAGAGUCACUGGACAGCGGCGAAAAACAUUCUUAAGUACUUGAGAAGGACUAAAGAUAUGUUCCUCGUCUAUGGAGGUGAGGAGGAGCUCGUUGUAACAGGUUACACCGAUGCUAGUUUCCAAACCGACAGAGAUGAUUCAAAGUCACAAUCAGGAUUUGUCUUCACGCUAAAUGGUGGUGCUGUUAGUUGGAAGAGUUCCAAGCAGGAGACGGUGGCCGAUUCUACGACAGAAGCCGAGUACAUCGCGGCUUCGGAAGCCGCGAAGGAAGGUGUUUGGAUAAGGAAUUUCCUCAUUGAGCUUGGUGUGUUCCCGAAUGCGUCCAGCCCAUUGAAUCUCUACUGUGAUAACAAUGGGGCAAUUGCGCAAGCAAAGGAGCCAAGGAACCACCAGAAGAACAAACACGUAAUGCGGCGAUUUCAUCUCAUUCGAGACUUCGUUAACCGGGGUGAGAUCAAGAUAUGCAAAAUACACACGGAUCUGAACAUUUCUGAUCCGUUGACAAAACCACUCCCGCAGGCUAAGCAUGAUGCGCAUGUAAGAGCUAUGGGUAUUAGGUACCUUCUAGAUUGACUCUAGUGCAAGUGGGAGACUGUUGGAGGUAUGCCCUAGAGGCAAUCAUAGAGAUGAUGAUAUUCCAUUUGUAUCCAUGAUUUGUAUAUUGUGUUCAUUGAAUAUCCAUUAAAGGCUACUUGAAUUGAUUGCAAUUAUGUGAAUUGUAUGUGAAACUCUUUACUUGUAUGGUUAUUCUAAAGUUGUCCCUAGUCGGAGUUCAUGUAAGGACACACAUGAAUAUAAGACUAGCACAUGUAUUAGUUGAUGACUAUGUUUCACAAGUCAUGGACAUGGAGAUGUUGAACUAAUAAUGUGGACACAUGUGGAGACAUGUGUUAGGACUGACCCAACACGAGAAGUAGUUCUCUCUUUAAACAACAUAUACGCUUUGUCCUUAGACCUGAGAUUGUCGCAUGUAUUCUAGAUGUGGAUCGACCUACUUAGGGGCUAUCAAACGCUACACCGUAACAGGGUAGUUAUAAAGGUAGCUUUCGGGUUUGUCAAGAAGCAUGCUAUGAGACAUGGUCAAUCAAGAUGGGAUUUGCCCCUCUCUGAUUGAGAGUGAUAUCUCUGGGCCCCUCGAGUGAUCGGAUCCGAAAAUGCAUGGCCAUGCUACGUACGGUUAAGAGUUAACCUACAAAGGGAUUCCGAAUCAUAGGAUCGAGAAAGAGUGGUCGGCUUGAAGCUAGACCAAAUAUCGUGAGGCAAAGGGAAUAGCAUGUAUAUCAUGUUGUGAUGGUUCGUCUGAUAUGAUCUUCGUAUACGUAUAGGAGUUGGCACGUCUUGCUAGAGGCCGCUACCGACUAUUGGACCGAGUAGGAGUACUCGGGCCAUGUCUAUACGUAUCCGAACCCAUAGGGUCACACACUUAAGGGGCUGGAAGCCCAAUUCGGAUCUGAUCCGAGUUGGAUUAGGUUUAGGAGUACUAAUGGGCCUCGGAUCCAGAGGCCCGUCAGGAACCCCUAUAAAUAGAGGGGUGGGGGCGCCCUAGGGUUUACACCUUUUGGCGAAACACUUCUGCCGCGCCUCCCACGCCCUCGCCUGUUGCAACUCGCGGAUCUAGCAAUCCGGCUUGCGACGCUUCCUCCCUGCACGUGUGGAUACCUUGGAGGUGUUGCGCCUGCAGCACUUGGACGAGCCAUCGACGAGCCGCCGACGAGCCACGACGAGCCGACGACGAGCCGCGGCACCGGAGGCGAUCUUGCUGUGCACGUGGACGAGCUUGCUGUGCACGUGGACGAGCUGCUGAGGAGCUGCUGGACGUGAUCGACUACGUACGACUACGUGAUCAUCUUCACUGCACCGACGCAUAUCUACAUCUUCCGCACCAGUAGUGCGUCGAGUGGUAAUCCCGUAAUCCUUAUACGGCAGCUCUUCCUGGUUAUACGCGGUAGAAAAUUUUGUUUUGCGCUAGCGUAGCCUACCUCGUAUCCCAACAGUGGUAUCAGAGCCGUAGCUGCUUAGUUUUGGAUUCGGGAUGUGUGCAUAUGGAGAUAUGCGAGUUCUCUGUUUGAUCUAUGUCCUGAUUUCGUGCCCUUGCUGCAAUGGUAGUGUAACGACAUACUCCUACCGGUCGGUUUCCGCCAUCGGAGUUAAGUGAUACACGUAAAUCCAGUUGCAGUGAGGGAAGAUCAAUAUGAUUGGUCAAAUCGAGAUCCAGGGUCAUACGCCAGGCGCAUUAGAUGUGCAAUAGUAGAUGUGAUCUACUGCCGGGGUCGGGAUUUUGCCGUAUGCGCAUGCUUCGGUAAAUCAGCCGUAACUUUUUGGUACGAUCUCGGAUCGGGGCGAUUUCUAUACGAAAAUUGAUCUACAGAAAAAGUUACACAUGAAUUUCAACGGCUUCGCCGUUUUCGGCGAAAUUAGAUUUGCCAAAUUCGGCUUGGAAGAUGGAGUUUCGGGCCUCCCAAGUUUGGAACGUUAGGACGCCUAACUCUCUUUUGCAGGAUGUAUGUAUAUAUCUUGUGAUCAGUAUGGCCCCCUUAUGUAUGUGAUGCAUGUGUGUAACUUAUUCGUGACCUGCGUGUCACGCGUACGGCAACACGGCAGGAGCCAUAUGUGUUGUCACUUUAAUGUAUUUAAUGGUCUGCGUACCAAUCUGUGAUGAUCCAAGCAACUGUGUAAUCUUCAUUACUAGAUUCUUUACUAGCUAUUAGGCGUAAUAGCAUAGUUCUUGGAGGACUCAUCACCAGGAGGAUGGCGCACAUGGAACAUGGAGAUGGAGAUCACCAUGGUGAACAGGUUCUAUGGAGAUGGAGAUCACCAUAUGAAAAACGGGCCAUACUGUGUCACAACUGUGUGAAUGCUAUUCUGUUUAUGUUUUACUUUCUGCAUGCUGUGAUGUUAGAAGUAGAACGAUCCCUCACAAAGUUUAAGUUAGUAUGCCCUCCCAACUAAAACUUGCACCGUCCCAUGUCUUGUACAAUUAGUGGUGGGUCUAUGAAAUUAGGGUGCCACUAGUUUUCCUUGACUAGACGGGUUUGUGUCGGACACUUACACGCAUAAGGGUUGGUUAGCUUAACGAGGUCAUCUUAACGGUUAAGGACCUUGGGGCAUAAAGGUUGGGCGCCGAGACAUAGAGAUGUCACCCAACAACAGGAGUCAUAUGCGAUAUGAUUAGCAAAAGUUGCUUACCGAUCUACCUCGUUUGCUAGCGGUGAUGCUAAAGCUCACUAGUAGACUUGUUAGUUGUGGAUCCUGAAUCACUAAGUUUCAAUAGAGGGAUAUUGAUUUUAGUGGGAGUAGAUUCUGUUAAAAUAGUUUUUGCUCUAUCAUGGAUACGUUUGUCUUAGUGUAUUUUGCAUUACUUUUGUUGUAGAUUAAAUGGCACCUAGCAACACCACCGCAUCGUUUGCUUUGCGUUCGGUCCUUGAGAAGGACAAGUUGAAUGGAACAAACUACUCGGAUUGGAUCCGUAACCUGAGAAUUGUUCUCAGGGAUGAGAAAAAGGAAGAUGUUCUAGACACCCCACUACCACCAGUACCUGUUGAUGAUGCAUCUGCUGCCGUUAAGGCUGCUUACAAGAAGGCAUUUGAUGCUAAUCUUGAGGUAAGCUGCCUUAUGCUUGCUUGCAUGGAACCCGAGCUGCAGAUGCAGUUCGAAACAAAUCAUGAGGCUUACGAUAUGAUCGUGGCGCUCAAGGACAUGUUCCAGACACAGGCUAGGACCGAAAGGUUCAAUGUGUCCAAAGCCUUUCUGGAGUGCAAGUUAGCAGAAGGCGCAGCAGUAGGACCACAUGUAAUCAAGAUGGUUGGUUACACUCAGCGAUUGGAGAAGCUGGGCUUCCCAAUGGGCAAAGAGUUGGCCACUGACUUCAUUCUCUCAUCUCUUCCGCCUAGCUAUGGGAACUUCAUCUCGAACUACCAUAUGCAUGGGACGGAGAAGGGUCUGAAUGAGCUGUGUGGUAUGCUCAAGACAGCAGAGGUAGACAUUAAGAAAAGCGCUAGUACCAGCCAUGUGAUGGCUGUACAGAACAAGCCUACUUUUAAGAAGAAGGGCAAUUCUUGGAAGAAGAAGGGCAAGGCUGGAACGUCCAAGCCAAACCCACCGCCCAAGGCUAAAGCUGGACCUGCUCCAGAUAAAGAGUGCUUUUACUGUCAUGAACUUGGUCACUGGAAGAGAAACUGCAAGCAGUACCUAGCUUCGUUGAAGAACGGCGGAAGUAAGAGUACUUCUACCUCAGGUACGCUUGUUGUUUAUGUUAUAGACAACAUAUUUCUCGCUGAUACAGUUAUUAAUUCUUGGGUAUUUGAUACCGGAUCGGUUGCUCAUAUUUGCAAUUCGAUGCAGGGAAUGAUAAGAAGUAGAAGCGUGGAAAGAGGAGAAGUUGAUUUCCGCGUGGGCAAUAAUGCAAGAGUUGCUGCUUUGACCGUCGGGACGAUGCAACUCCACCUCCCGUCAGGAUUUAUUAUGGAGUUGAAUAAUUGUUAUUUUGUUCCUAGUUUAAGUCGAAACAUUUUGUCUCCUUCAUGUUUGAUGAGGGAUGGUUAUUCAUUUGCGAGUGAAAAAAAUGGUUGUGUGAAAAAAUGAUCUCUAAGAAUAAUAUGUUUAUGGCUUUUGCACCCAUUGUGAAUGGAUUAUUUGUUUUAAAUCUUGAUGGUUCACCUGUCUGUAAUGUAAGUGCUAAAAGGCCUCGGCCUAAUGAUUUGAGUCCUACCUACUUGUGGCAUUGUCGUUUGGGUCAUAUAAGUGAAAAGCGCAUGAAGAAGCUCCAUUCUGAUGGACUUCUAACUUCGUUUGAUUUUGAAUCAUACGAGACAUGUGAGGCUUGCUUGCUAGGCAAGAUGACCAAGACGCCUUUCACAGGAUUUCCUGAGAGAGCAGUAGACUUGUUGGAACUCGUACAUAGUGAUGUAUGCGGACCAAUGAGCACGACGGCUAGAGGAGGAUUCCAAUACUUCAUAACUUUUACUGAUGAUUUUAGUAGAUAUGGCUAUGUCUACUUAAUGAGGCACAAGUCUGAAACCUUUGAAAAGUUCAAGGAAUUUCAGAAUGAAGUUGAAAAUCAGCGUGGCAAGAAAAUUAAGGCCUUACGAUCUGAUCGUGGAGGCGAGUAUUUGAACCACGAGUUUAGCAAUCAUCUAAAGAGUUGCGGAAUUGUUCCACAACUUACGCCGCCUGGAACACCUCAGAGAAACGGUGUGUCCGAGCGACGUAAUCGAACUUUGUUAGACAUGGUUCGAUCAAUGAUGAGCCAGUCGGACCUACCGUUGUCAUUUUGGGGAUACGCUCUAGAAACAGCAGCUUUCACACUUAAUAGGGUACCAUCUAAAUCCGUAGUUAAGACGCCAUAUGAGAUGUGGACUGGAAAGGUUCCUAGUUUGUCUUUUCUAAAGAUUUGGGGAUGUGAAGUGUUUGUCAAGCGACUUCAGUCGGACAAGAUCACACCCAAGUCGGAUAAGUGCAUUUUCGUGGGAUAUCCAAAGGAAACUUUGGGAUAUUAUUUCUACAACCGAUCAGAAGGCAAAGUGUUUGUCGCUCGGAACGGGGUUUUCCUAGAGAAAGAGUUUCUCAAAGGAGAAAAGAGUGGAAAAACAGUGCAUCUUGAAGAAGUUCAAGAUGAGCCAAUCGGGCAAGAAUCAAUGAGUGAUGCUAACGUAGCAGAACAAGUUGAGAUACCCAUGGCAAGAGAAGCACCGCCACAACCACGAAGGUCGGCAAGGCUCCGCGAAAUGCGGGAAAUAUUAUUGUUGGACAAUGAUGAGCCUGCGACAUAUGCAGAAGCAAUGAUGGACCAAGACUCCGAAAAAUGGCAGAGUGCCAUGCAAUCCGAAAUAGAGUCCAUGGGAGACAAUCAAGUUUGGAACUUGGUUGACCCGCCUGAUGGUGUUAAGGCCAUAGAGUGCAAGUGGAUCUAUAAGAAGAAAAAGGACAUGGAUGGAAAUGUUCACAUCUAUAAAGCACGACUUGUCGCAAAAGGUUUUCGACAAGUUCAAGGAGUUGACUACGAUGAGACCUUCUCGCCCGUAGUGAUGCUUAAGUCCAUUCGGAUUAUUCUAGCUAUAGCUGCAUAUUUCGAUUAUGAGAUAUGGCAGAUGGAUGUCAAGACAGCUUUCCUGAAUGGAAACCUAGCUGAGGACGUGUAUAUGAUACAGCCCGAGGGUUUUGUCGAUCCGAAAAAUGCUGGAAAGGUAUGCAAGCUUCAGAGAUCCAUUUAUGGAUUGAAGCAAGCAUCUAGGAGUUGGAACAUUCGUUUUGAUGAAGUGGUCAAAGGGUUUGACUUCACCAAGAACGAAGAAGAGUCUUGUGUUUACAAGAAGGUUAGUGGGAGCUCUGUAGUAUUUCUAAUCUUAUAUGUGGAUGACAUAUUACUGAUUGGAAAUAACAUUCCUAUGCUUGAGUCCGUAAAGACUUCACUGAAAAAUAGUUUUUCGAUGAAGGACUUAGGGGAAGCGGCAUAUAUUCUGGAUAUUAAGAUCUAUAGAGAUAGAUCGAGAAGGCUUAUAGGUUUAAGCCAAGAUACUUACAUUGACAAAGUGUUGAAGCGGUUCAGCAUGGAAGAGGCAAAGAAAGGGUUCGUGCCUAUGUCACAUGGCAUACAUCUCAGCAAGACUCAGUGUCCUUCGACUGCUGAUGAGCGGGAUCGCAUGAGUAGAGUGCCAUAUGCCUCGGCUAUUGGAUCUAUCAUGUAUGCAAUGAUAAGUACUCGCCCAGAUGUUUCAUAUGCGCUAAGUAUGACAAGUAGACACCAAUCUGAUCCAGGUGAGAGUCACUGGACAGCGGUAAAAAACAUUCUUAAGUACUUGAGAAGGACUAAAGAUAUGUUCCUCGUCUAUGGAGGUCAGGAGGAGCUCGUUGUAACAGGUUACACCGAUGCUAGUUUCCAAACCGACAGAGAUGAUUCAAAGUCACAAUCAGGAUUUGUGUUCACGCUAAAUGGUGGUGCUGUUAGUUGGAAGAGUUCCAAGCAGGAGACGGUGGCCGAUUCUACGACAGAAGCCGAGUACAUCGCGGCUUCGGAAGCCGCGAAGGAAGGUGUUUGGAUAAGGAAUUUCCUCAUUGAGCUUGGUGUGUUCCCGAAUGCAUCCAGCCCAUUGAAUCUCUACUGUGAUAAUAAUGGGGUAAUUGCGCAAGCAAAGGAGCCAAGGAACCACCAGAAGAACAAACACGUAACGCGGCGAUUUCAUCUCAUUCGAGACUUCGUUAACCGGGGUGAGAUCAAGAUAUGCAAAAUAAACACAGAUCUAAAUAUUUCUAAUCCGUUGACAAAACCACUCCCGCAGGCUAAGCAUGAUGCGCAUGUAAGAGCUAUGGGUAUUAGGUACCUUCUAGAUUGACUCUAGUGCAAGUGGGAGACUGUUGGAGGUAUGCCCUAGAGGCAAUCAUAGAGAUGAUGAUAUUCCAUUUGUAUCCAUGAUUUGUAUAUUGUGUUCAUUGAAUAUCCAUUAAAGGCUACUUGAAUUGAUUGCAAUUAUGUGAAUUGUAUGUGAAACUCUUUACUUGUAUGGUUAUUCUAAAGUUGUCCCUAGUCGGAGUUCAUGUAAGGACACACAUGAAUAUAAGACUAGCACAUGUAUUAGUUGAUGACUAUGUUUCACAAGUCAUGGACAUGGAGAUGUUGAACUAAUAAUGUGGACACAUGUGGAGACAUGUGUUAGGACUGACCCAACAUGAGAAGUAGUUCUCUCUUUAAACAACAUAUACGCUUUGUCCUUAGACCUGAGAUUGUCGCAUGUAUUCUAGAUGUGGAUCGACCUACUUAGGGGCUAUCAAACGCUACACCGUAACAGGGUAGUUAUAAAGGUAGCUUUCGGGUUUGUCAAGAAGCAUGCUAUGAGACAUGGUCAAUCAAGAUGGGAUUUGCCCCUCUCUGAUUGAGAGUGAUAUCUCUGGGCCCCUCGAGUGAUCGGAUCCGAAAAUGCAUGGCCAUGCUACGUAUGGUUAAGAGUUAACCUACAAAGGGAUUCCGAAUCACAGGAUCAAGAAAGAGUGGUCGGCUUGAAGCUAGACCAAAUAUUGUGAGGCAAAGGGAAUAGCAUGUAUAUCAUGUUGUGAUGGUUCGUCUGAUAUGAUCUUCGUAUACGUAUAGGAGUUGGCACGUCUUGCUAGAGGCCGCUACCGACUAUUGGGCCGAGUAGGAGUACUCGGGCCAUGUCUAUACGUAUCCGAACCCAUAGGGUCACACACUUAAGGGGCUGGAAGCCCAAUUCGGAUCUGAUCCGAGUUGGAUUAGGUUUAGGAGUACUAAUGGGCCUCGGAUCCAGAGGCCCGUCAGGAACCCCUAUAAAUAGAGGGGUGGGGGCGCCCUAGGGUUUACACCUUUUGGCGAAACACUUCUGCCGCGCCUCCCACGCCCUCGCCUGUUGCAACUCGCGGAUCUAGCAAUCCGGCUUGCGACGCUUCCUCCCUGCACGUGUGGAUACCUUGGAGGUGUUGCGCCUGCAGCACUUGGACGAGCCAUCGACGAGCCACCGACGAGCCACGACGAGCCGACGACGAGCCGCGGCACCGGAGGCGAUCUUGCUGUGCACGUGGACGAGCUGCUGAGGAGCUGCUGGACGUGAUCGACUACGUACGACUACGUUGAUCGACUACGUACGACUACGUGAUCGUCUUCACUGCACCGACGCAUAUCUACAUCUUCCGCACCAGUAGUGCGUCGAGUGGUAAUCCCGUAAUCCUUAUACGGCAGCUCUUCCUGGUUAUACGCGGUAGAAAAUUUUGUUUUGCGCUAGCGUAGCCUACCUCGUAUCCCAACAGCGCACCAGGCAGCACGGGCGGCCGGGGCCGGGGAGGCGACUCUGGCGUGGCCGGCUAUGGUGGGCAGGGAGAGGCAGAUGGUGGCGCAACGGCGGCAUGGAGAGACGGACGUCGGGCACGGACGGGUGAAAGGGGAGAUGGGGAAAGAAAGCUGGUCCCACCUGCCAAUGCAGCCGGGGUCGGGGUGGGGCGGGCAGCGAGGCCGAGGCCGGGCGGCACGACCGGGGCCAGGGAGGUGGCUCUGGCGUGGCCGGCUGUGGUGGGCGGGGAGACUCGGACAGCGGCGCAACGGCGGCACGAAGAGGUGGACGUCGGGCACGGACGGGUGAAAGGGGAGACGGGGAAAGAAAACUAGACCCACCUGUCAAUGCGUUAAUCUUACCUAUUAUUAAACAUCAGGGCGACCUCUCGUUGAAAAAAAAAAAUGGGCACAAGUGUUCCUCACUUUAAUAAUAAUAAUAAAGUAUAGAUAAUGUAUCAAAUAGCAUUUGUAAUUUAAUUCUAAGAAAAACUUUCUCAGUACCAAACAAGAAAAUUCAAUUGAAUCAAAUUCUACGGAAUCCAUUUCUUAUGGAAUCUAAUUGCUAGAAUAUGAUUCAUGGAAUAAGUUUCAACUCUAGGGAUCCAAACAUACCCGUAGUUAUUUCUUAUGCAGCUCAAAUCAGACGCAAGGUACGUCCUAACUAAAAGACGUAAGUUACUUUAUGUUAUCUUGUGAAUCAGUGAUUAAUUACUUCCAAUCUUAUGUAAAAAGAACUACGAGUUAAAUUCUUUGUCAGAUUUAUACUGACAAGUUACAAGCACAUGCCUCUGCAGUAACAGGCGAGCCCUAGACUAGUGGGCAAACCAAAAACAACAUGGUUCGUCAACUGAUCGAAUGCUAAUGACUAUUUUGCUAGGAGAAUGAACAUGAUUCAUACAAAAAAGGGGAGUUAGUAAAAGGGGAGCUACUAACUUGGUCAAGGUCUCCGUCCUCUGGCGUGGGGAAGGGGCCAUCUUGCUCCACUCCACGUCUGCGUGGUUGCUCGGCGGGCGCGACGGCGUCGGGUGCGGAGUGCUGACGGCGCGUAGAUAUGUCAUUGUUGAUCAGGACAUGCACUUCUAUCACCAUCUGUGGUUGGCGUCCGCGGCCGAGCGGGUCAAGGUCUCCGUCCUCUAGCGUGGGGAAACAGGAUCUCUUCAAUCAGUGCUUCUACAGAAACGGUGCACGGUCACCACGGACCAACGACAUACCAUGAGAAAAGCAGAGCUAAAUGUUGCAGUAGCAGAGUAACCGGAGACUGCAGAGCACUUGCUGCUAAAAGCUGCCUCUUAUUUUGUAUCGUCUUAACAGAAGACUUUAAGUCAGCCGCCAUUCGAUUCGAAUAUAAACUAGCAAGUUGGCCCGCGAUAAUAGCGCGGCUAGAUUUGAUACAUGUGCAUAUGCACGCCUAAUUAAAAUUGCUCACUUGUAACAAAAUAAUAACAACUUGAGUAGUUGAUUAUGAUCUUAUGUUGCAGUUUUUGCCAACUUUUCCUAGUAUUAUUGUGUUGAGUAGAAAGCCUGUGUAGAAAAAGAUACAAAACAAACAAUAGUGUCAACUACUCUCCAUGCUUGCUCAAAUGAUUUUGAAAAAAAAAAACAACCGCGCUCUAAGUCCUAGGGCGGUGAUAUUCCUCCUUACUUUCCUCCUCUCGUUUUCCUUGCACAAUCCAGGAUGACAAAUACCACAAACCACUUAGGCUCGAUCAUGUUUCAUCAUCACAUUCCUCAAAUCUUGAUCACGUUGUUGUCUUCGUUAUGCUAGCAGUACACAUCUCUCCGCCUCAUAAGAUUACUAAGGUCUCAUAAGAUUUUUGAUGGAUUUGCAUUAAUAUUAAUAUUGCCACCAAUCUAGUCUCAACCUUGCUUGUGUUCUCCAUGGUCAUGUUUUAUUCAAACUUGCAAGACCUACAAGCGCAUAUGAUGGUUCUUCUAUAUACAUAAUAUAUCGCAUCUCCUAAGACAUAUAUCGCGGGCCGGCGGCGCGCGGGGGAGCGGCGCCGGUGGAGCGGAGGCGACCGGCGGUGGGCGGAGGCGGGUGGGUGCGGGCGCAGGCGGAGGUGGGUGGGCAUGCGGGGGAGCGGCGCCGGCGGAGCGGAGGCGGGUGGGCGCGGGCAUAGGCGGAGGCGGAGGCCGGCGCGGGCGCGUGCGGAGGCGGACGGGUGGAGGCGUGCAGCGGCGGGCGGGCACGGGCGAGUGGCGGCUGGGCCGGCGGCGGCCUCGCGGCACGGGUGGAGGCGGAGACCAGCAACGGCCGGGCAGCCCUCCGGCGAGCGUGGGGCUUUUUUUUUAUUUUUUUCAAAAUUUUUUAGUCCCGGUUGGUAGUUGGUAACACCAAUUGGUACUAAAGGGGGCCUUUAGUUCCGGGUGGAUUACCCGGGACUAAAGACCCCCUCUUUUGUCUUGAAAAAUUUAUCCCGGAUAGCUUAGAGAGAUUUGAGCCUAUCCAACCGGGACUAAAGGUGAGUUUUCCAUCGGUGAAUGUCAGAGGAGGCUCAUCCUAAAUGGUGACACCAUGCUGAUCAUGCAAUUUAUCAUUAUUUUAUCGCCCUCAUGCAUGCUGCAUGAUAGAUAUUGGUACUGGGCAGCUUAGAUUCCUCAGCGCAUCAUGCUGCUCAGCCAUGGAGGUCAAGUCAUCACUAUUGUCCAUAUCACAACGCCUCUGCCUUCUCUUGUUGUCCUCCCCCUUCCCUCUACCUUGCACCUUCUUGUUUUGCUGAUCCUAUUGUCAGUUUGUUGCAGCCAUUUAUGGGCACCUCUUUCAUCCAUUGUCCACUGUUGUUGCCCGCUGCCUCAGUUCUUCUCUGACCAAAGCGGUCGUAUCGCGCUGGUCGGUAGGAAGCCAUCGUCUCGCAAAAGCAUAGUCGUCGUCGCCAAACCACAUCUAGCCGAUGCCGAACCAUACUUUUGCCAUCUUGUUUGCCAACUUGCCGCUAUGGAAGCCUCCAUGCAUCGCUCAUCGAGUCUAUCCUAUCUCUAUCAGCUCCUGUGGUAUCCUGUUUUGUUUUUGCCUCAACCACGAAGCCAUAGGUUGCUGGUGCUAAAUUGCAGGGCCAGCAACAGGUAUUUCCUCUCCCUGGCCUUGCGGCCAUGCUAUGUAUUUUUCUCUCUCAAAAAAAAUUCCAAUGAUUUAAUCCUAAUGUUCCGAUCAUGUGUGAUUGGUUUAUUAAUUAAAGUUAGAGUUAUACUUUAAGUAUAUUAUAUAAAAAUAAUAUAUAUAUAUAUAUGUAUAUAUAAAAGUUACCAUGCAAAGUACAACUUCCAAUAAGGUGGAGAGGUUCGGAUGGAAUUUUGAUUCAACUUACUCUAUUCUAGAUAUUAGAGUUGUACUAGCAAAAUACCGCUACGGUAAAAAAAUCAAUUGGGUUUUUCAAACUAAUAAUAUUUUUUAUUUCCAUCACUAAAUUUUUAUUCCACUUAUUGGAUGUCCACACAUUUUAAUAGAAAACUAAAAAAUGUUUGACUAAUUAUUUCCUUCACUCAAAUACCCAUUAAAUUAAAAUAUUUUUUUAUUCAAGCAAGAGAGUUAAAUCAGCCUCCGAUGGCCACCGAUGGGGGCUCUUUAGUCCCGGUGGGUAAUAUCAACUGGGACUAAAGAACCCCUUUAGCCCCGGUUGUAAAAGCUAGUGGCCCUCGGGAUUCUGGUGGAGUGUUUUGUCCCGGUUGCAACUACCAACCAGGACUAAAGGAGACCUUUAGUUCCGAUUGGUGUUUCCAACCUGGACAAAACGCUCCCCGCCUCCACACACACAAUGCGCGUGUCCCACUUUCUCUCCUCCCUCUACUUAAUUCCAGUGCCUAUGCCUCCUCUCCUUAAUUCCAACACCCACAUGCCUCCUCUCCUCCUCCCUUCGGUCCCUACCUCCUCUCCUCCCUCUCUUCCUCCGCCGGAUCCGGCCGGCCCCCACUCCCUCUCCCCAAGCUCCUCCCUCUCCCUCGGCCGCGCAGGUCAGGCGGUGCGGCCGGGGCCGGGGCGGCGUGGGCGGUCGGGGCUCGGGAGGAUGACAGGUGGUUAUGAGGAUGAUACCUGCAGACAAUACUUUUAAUCCCUCAAUUCUUACCGAGAAUUGCACUAUGAACUGCGCUUUCAUUUAUGCUACACCGCUCAGCUAUAAAAAAGGUGCAAAUCGACCAAAAUAAAUGAAUAAACCACACGGUUUAGACUGGUGGCAUCUAUAUGUUUGAUGAGUUUUGAAUCCCAACAGACCUCUGUUUGCUUAUCCAACAGGAGGAAAAAACUUUACUUACUAAAUCAGCUUUGCAUGCCAGGCUGCAAUUGUUAGAGCAGGAUUGGGUAAUUUGUGAACAUAAUUGAAUCAAAGUUUUGUCUCAGACUAGUAAUAGAAAAUGGUAAUGCUCCAUAGCUAGAACACGUUCCUACACUAGUUUAAAAAAUUCCCUGAAAUUGGGAACAAUGGUCAAGCCCAAACCAAACUUGGAACUUGGAAGGCCGCUGGCCAAUGUCAAAGUCAAAAAACAGAAGCAGACAGCGACGUCUCACCAGAUCACGAAUCAGCCUUAGGAUUAAUACGCUCUGUCUGGCAAUGCGGCAAUGCGCGUAGCUCCCCUGCUGACCAAGAAAAGCAAGCUCCGUCUGGCAGCAAGCUCUUCAAUACGCUCCAGCCCAGCUCUACCAUGGCAUUGGCAAUGCGCGUCGUGAGCUUGCUUCCUGCCACCAUCGCCGUGAUGAUCGCAGCAGCCUCCUGGGGAGCGCACGGCGGUGCCAGCGACGAGGCCAGCGCGCUGCUUGCUUUCAAGGCUGAGCUCGCCGGCAGCGGCUCCGGCAUGCUUGCAUCCUGGAAUGGCACCGCUGGCGUCUGCGGCUGGGAGGGCGUGGCGUGCACCGGCGGCCAGGUGGUGGCACUGAGCCUGCCCUCCUAUGGGCUCGCCGGAGCCCUCUCCCCGGCCAUUGGGAACCUCACUUUCCUGCGGACCCUGAACCUGAGUUCCAACUGGUUCCAGGGGGAGGUCCCAGCAAGCAUCGGCCGCCUAGCGCGUCUGCAGACGCUUGAUCUGAGCUACAAUGCGUUCUCUGGUACGCUUCCUUCCAACCUCAGUUCCUGUGUCAGCUUACUGCUGUUGAGGCUCAGCAGUAACCGGUUCCAUGGGCGUAUCCCUGUUGAGCUUGGAGACAAGCUAACAAGUCUUCAGAAGUUCUCACUGGGCAACAACAGCUUGACGGGUGCCAUACCAGGAUCACUAGGUAACCUGUCAUCCCUGAACUACCUUGAUCUGACAGAAAACCACCUCGAGGGUCCGAUCCCACAUGAACUUGGCAGCAUGGGCGGCCUGAAGGUCCUUUUACUCUAUGAGAACAGACUCUCCGGUGUGCUUCCACACUCCCUGUACAAUCUGUCCUCACUGAAAAAGUUGGAUGUAGGAAACAACACGCUGUCUGGAACCAUCCCUGCUGAUAUCGGCGAUAGGUUCGCCGGUAUGGAAGUUCUUGACUUUAGUAGCAACCGAUUAAGUGGAGCUAUCCCACCUUCGCUCGGCAACCUCUCUGCUCUCACAAAACUAAACCUUCCAGGAAAUGAUUUUAUUGGAUAUGUGCCUUCUGCUUUGGGGAAGUUGCAAAGUCUUACUGACCUGUUCUUGACUGACAACAGGCUAGAAGCAAACGACAGUCAAGGGUGGGAAUUCAUCACUUCACUGGCAAACUGCUCCCAGCUUCAGUAUCUUGUUCUCGGCAACAACUCUUUCAGCGGGCAACUGCCUAAUUCAGUCGCAAACCUGUCAUCAACUCUGCAACGUCUUUAUUUGGGAGACAAUAUGAUUUCUGGGAAUAUUCCAAUAAACAUCGGAAAUUUGGUUGGUCUUACAGUACUUGAGAUGGCAAAUACUUUAGUAUCUGGACAGAUUCCAGAGAGCAUUGGUCAGCUAAGAAACUUGGGUGUGUUAGGCCUUUACAACACUAGCUUGUCAGGCCUCAUACCUUCAUCACUAGGAAAUCUUACACAGUUGAAUAAUCUUUAUUUAUACUAUGGAAACUUAGAGGGGCCAAUUCCAUAAAACUUGGGGAACUUAAAGAAUGUGUUUGCCUUUGAUCUCUCAACAAAUCGACUCAAUGGUUCAAUUCCU
RNAcentral lists this long non-coding RNA (163448 nucleotides) under Setaria italica (foxtail millet). RNAcentral's name for it is "long non-coding RNA (SITA_LNC003510)". The record is from RNAcentral. Lineage: Eukaryota; Viridiplantae; Streptophyta; Magnoliopsida; Poales; Poaceae.